RNAcentral lists this long non-coding RNA (116956 nucleotides) under Capsicum annuum. RNAcentral describes it as "long non-coding RNA (CANN_LNC002317)". The record is from RNAcentral. Lineage: Eukaryota; Viridiplantae; Streptophyta; Magnoliopsida; Solanales; Solanaceae.
CUUUUUCUUUUUUUUUCUUUUGAAAAGAUCACCGAACCCGAGAAGGGCGCCUACAUAUCUCACCCCUGAGAGGGGAUAAUCAGGUGUGCAUAGUUCGUGAAGUCUUGCCGAAAUGGCCAUUAAACUCUUUUUCCUUUCCCCUUUUUUCUUGAAACUUUAAAAAGAAAAGAAAGUAACAAAUUGUCAAAAGAACUAACGAAAAUCUUUUUGCAUUUUUUCAUGUUUAAAUCCCUGUACAAAAUGGAACCUAUGAUUACCAAAGGAAAAAAAAUUUCUGUUUUCAAUUCUGAAUUUCAUACAAAAAUAAAACUUGAAACUAUUAAAGAAAAAUCAUUUUGUAGUUUUCUUUUAAAGAUGUAUAUGAAACACCUACUCUAAAUGAAGAGUGAAGAAAAUAUUUUUUGAAUUUUUCAUAUUCCUAUACAAGAUGCAACCUAUGAUUACCAAAAAAAAUCUUUUUUGGAUUUUUGAUUUUGAAUUUCAUAUGAUGAUAAAACUUGAAACUAUUAAAGAAAAUCCUUUUGUAGUUUUCUUUUAAAGAUGUUUAUGAAAUACUUAAUCAAAUAAAGAGUGAAGAAAAUCUUUUUCAAUUUUUUAAAUAAGAUCCCCGAACCAACAAUAGGCUGCCUACGUAUCUCACUUCCGAGAGAGGAGAAUCAGGGGUGUGUAGUUCGUCCAGAUUGGACAAUUAAAGAUUAACUGACAAAAUGACCCUAACUUAAGAGACACGACCAAAGGUAGAUGAAUAAAAUAUUUUUUGAGUUUUCAAUGCGACACAUAAAACUGACACCAACAACUAUGAAAGAAAAUCUUUUUGAUAUUUUCAUUAUAUGAAAUGUACAAAACUUCUAUCAUUUUUUAAUUUUCUUUUAUAAAAACUCCGAAAAAGAAAAAUUUUGAAAUUUUUGAAUUAUGAAUGCUUGCUAAAGAAGACAAAGGAAAAUCUUUUUGACGUUUUUGAUUUAUUUUUUUUUUUUGGAAAAUGAAUGCAAAAAGUAAAAAAUCUUUUUGGAUUUUUGAAUUGUGAAAAACGAAAGCCAUAAAGAACUCUAAAAAAAACUACGAAACACUCUUUUUUGACUCACCUUUUCUUUUUCUCUUUUUUCAACACUUUCUUGUCUACACACUUUACUUCUAACACAUGCUUUCCACAAAUUGAUCCAUCAAAUGACCAUGUUACCCUCAGAGAUUCAACAUUUAGCACGUAGGGAUGCUUUAGAGGUGAGUCUCCUACAAAGGGUCUCGCGGGUCCUGCUAGGUCUUAAUAUGAUGCAAAUAAGCAUGUCCUAAAGGAUGACCUAUGCUGGGGCUCACUAAUGAGGUUAUUCGGGAGAGCAUAUGAUUGAUAGUGGCUGCAAGAGCUUUUUACCCACUCCAUGACACCGACGGCUCCCCCUCCUAAAAUAAGGGUGACUCAGCUAGAGUUCGUGUACAACACGUGUACUACAGACUUGUUGUAGAAAGAAUAACUCGGGCUAUGCACAUGAUGCCAGAUAUAAAGAGGUAACACAUAAGAAGAAAGACUGUAAACACGUAGCACGUAGGCACUCAAUAAUGAUAAAAUAAAUACAAACAAUGUCUAUACACCCAUAAUGUCAAACUAAGCUGAUAAAACUCCAAAAAAUAAGCUCAAAUUCUAAAAAUCUCCAGCAGAGUCGCCAGAGCUGUCACACCCCUUUUUUAACCAAAAAGAUUAUUCAUUUUAAGUUCAAAAGGGUUUUUAUUAUUAAAAUGACAAAAUGAAGAUUGGUUCCAAAAAAAAAUUAUUUUUACAUUCAAAACUCAGAGUCACCACUUGGCAUAAUCCGGUGUGCCAAGUCACCUUUGGAAAACCCUUUUUAAAAUGAUUUGACUCUUUAAAACUGGUUUACGAACAGAGAUUCCGCUAAGGAAUUCUGUUGACCGAGGGAAAGAUGUUAGGCGCCCCUCAAUACCGAGGUUCGACCACGGUCACUUGGUUAAGCAUAUCGGCUAAUUUAACACUAUGAAUGUAUAAACCACACAAAACACAUAAAACAAUCAAUCAAACACAUAAAAUAAAAUAAAUUCAAAAUAUAGUGUUCAGUCCAAUUAUACAGUCCAAAAUAAAAAAAUACAGAAAUAUAAACCUACGCUAACCUACACUAAUCCUAAACUAUGCCCCAAUGCUUACCCAGUGCCUUGGGUCUUUGUCACGACUGUCCUCCGGAUACAAAAUACUUUGGGGCAUUCCCCGAUGAAUAAACAAAAAUACCUCGGGGCAUUCCCCGGUCAAAUGAAUACAUCUUCAAAUCUUGUGUGAUAAAGUAGAAAGAAACAUUGACAUGCACAUUCAAUCAUUCAACAAAACACCACCUAAAAUUUGCCGCAUUUGCCUACCCAACUCGACCUAAAACAUGAUACUAUCACGUUUAACAAUAUUCAUGCUCAUUCCGAGUUAAACAAAAAUAAUAAUAAAUAAAAGUUAAUCUAAAUUCACUCUUUAAUCAACUUCUCAAUUUCACCCCGAAUUAUCUUUUAACAUCGAAUUUCCACAAUUUACAAUCACCAUUUCAAUAAUCCUUGAUCAUUUUUUAUUACCGAAUUUAAACAACAAAUCAACAUCACUCAAAUUUUGUGAUCAAAUGCAUGAACAUCAACGAAAUCAAACAAUCAUAAUCAACCAACACAUAAUCAUAGCCAAUUCAACCAAUUCAAAAAUAAAGAAAAGAGAACGGGUUGGGGGUUGAAGAAAUGGACCUUAAUAGAACUUGUUUUCGUCGAUAAUAAAGAAAAUCCAAAAAUCAAAAUCCUCGAACAAAGAACCCCACGACGAAUAGAGCUCCAACUCAUGAAUUAAACCUUUUGGACUGCAAAAAAUCCCCCCACAACACGAUAACGAGGACAAGUCACUGAAACAGAAGCACUAAAGCCCCUCAAAUCUGACAAAGAACCAAAAAUCGAUAGAAACUAAGCUCCGGUGAGCUGACAAUGACCCAAAACAACUGAAACAGCCAAAUUUCAUCUAGAUAUCAUUUAGCAAUCGAAGAGAAAUAAAGGGAUUUUGGCAAUUUUGAGACUGGUUCAACCAAAACUGACGACAGAUAUUGAUUUCAGUGCAGAUUCAGUUGGAAAAUGUGAAAGGGAAUCGGGUUUUUCACUUUUUUUUUAUCUCUUCGUUGGAUGUCCAUCAAUCACCCUCUAUUUUUAUUUUUCCCUUACUGAGUGCAAACAGUGGGUGUUUUUGUAGCUAUGUGCGUAUGUGCGAUUUACUGUGUAGAUAUGUGUGUGCAUUGCUAGGAAGAAAAAAAGAAGAGAAAAGAAUGAAGUCCCCCUGGGUGUAUUGUGUGGUCCUCUAUUUGUGUGUGGUGUAUCAGAAUCUGUUAGUGUGGUAUAUCCUUAGUUGAAGGGAAAAAAUAUAACCAAGAGGGAGGUGCAUGGAUAGGGUAACGUGGGUUAGGGGUAAAGUGGGGUAGGGGUGGGGUGGGGUGGGGUGAGUUGGUUGAGAUAAAUUUUGUUAGAAUAAGGGAAUAUUAGGGAUUUAAUUUGUUAGGAAUUUAUUGAAAUUUUGUUAUUUUUUGUCUUUUUGUGAGGUAUAAUUAUAUGGGUGAGGGUGUAUGAUAACGUGAGGUAAAAAUGGAUGAAUUGGGUUUUCUAGAGGGACAAAAUUAGGUGUCUACAGUGUGAAUUAGUUGCAUCUUUUGUGAAGCUCUCCAAGUUGAUUUUGGUAAAGGUUUUCUGUGUUGCUUACUGAAUUGGCAGGCAAGACAUUCAGAAGCGUUAACAUCCAAAUUGGAUAAGCUCUUCACCAUAUUCAAUUUUUGCAUUUUUAAAAGCCCUUGAUAAUGAUAGUGCCCGAGUUUCCUCUGCCAUAACUCAGCAAUGUUUUUUUUUUUGCUGAAUACACCAUCUGUCUUCUUCCAAUUGAUUUAUGAGAAAUUUCUGCCUCUCAUUUUGACUUAAAAUAGGUCUUGUCCAGAUGCUUCCUUGAUCAAGCAGUAUUUAUCUUCAAAAUAUAAUUUGAAACCUUUUUAUAAUAACUGACCAACACUUAACAAGUUCUAGUCCAAAUCUGGUAUAUAAAGAACAUCAGAAAUUAUUUUAGUGUCCGAUUGUGUUUCAACUGUAAUGGUUCCCAUUCCUUUUGCUGAAAUAUAACCCCCAUGGAUGAUUCUAACUUUUAUAACUUUAGUAGACCUCAAAUAUUUGAAAAUAUCAUUAUCGCAAGUCAUAUGGUUUGUGCAUCAGCUAUUGAUCAGCCACGACUCAGCUAUUCAUCUUUUGAAGCUCAAAUUCACAUACCAGAUUCAACACUUGUAUCCCUCGAAUCCUUUCAUCUCCUUCAUACUCAGUCUUGAGAUAAUCUCAUACCUUUUUUGGUGAUUGCAGAGAUAUGAUAUGAGUUAAGAUAUUAGAUAAAACUGCAGUAAAUAAGUAUGCCAUUGCCUUUGAUUUCCUAGUAUUCCUUUCCUUAUGAGUUUUAAUCUGCGCCACCGUGGGAUUGUCCGGCAAGGGAGCUAUCUCAUAUUCAUCUUCAACAGCUUACUAGAGAUCCAAAGCUUGUAGAUAUAUCCACAUUCUAACUGCCCAGAUUUGAUAACUUUCUCCAUCGAAAGUUGGUGGUGCCAUUGAAGAAAAAUUUGCUUCUCCGUUCAUGAUAUCCACUGGAUCAUAUUAAUGUACACACUCAUAGGUCCCUUAAGAUUAAAGCUUCGAUACCAAUUGUGGUUUAAAAUAUUUAAAAGGAAAUAAUGCAAGAAUUCAGUUCAAAAGCUAGCCGCUGAAACAGAGAUGGAGUUCAAAGAAGAGAAUAGGCAGAGAGGUUGAUUAUUUUCUUAUAAAAGCCGUGUCUUAUUGAUCAUCAGCUGGUUAACUUAAAUAGUUGCUAUUACAACUAAAAAUAGGACAAAAUAAAACCUAUUUCUACCAAAAAUAUGUUGGGUUCAAAGUGUGUAUGAAGUGUGAAUGGAAAAUGGAAAAUGGUGGAGGAAAGGAGACACCCAAUUUAGAAAGUGUACUCCAAAUUGGAAAAUUCACUAAUUCUCGCACAUUGGUGGGAGAAGGGAACUUUGGAGUGUUUAUAAUAAGAACACUUAAUCCACAUGGUAAGUGAGGCAAGAAAUAAGAGAUGCCUCACAUCGUCGUCGUCGUCGUCGUCGUCGUCGCUCGGUUCGGCUUCAAAUUUGGAUUUGGCAAAUAAUCGAUCGAUGAGAUCUAUCUCUUUGGAUAAAGUUUAUUUGAUGAAAAUAAAGAAAUCCAGACAGAAAUCUAAUUCAAAAAUACAAAAAGCACAGUAAAAUAUUUUCUGAUUUUGGUACUCUAUUUAUACAUGCAUACAGAAGUUUGAACUGAUGCACUGUUUCAGUAAACUGAUGCACUAUUUCAGUAAACUGAUGCAUUUUUUUGACAAACUGACACACUUAUUCACGAAAUGGCAUGCCUGUUCAGAACAGUCACACUGUUUGGAUGAAUGGACAUGAAUUUUUAGAAAAGGUUACACCUUUUAGAGGAACCUUUGCCACUUUUUAGAAGAGGCAUCUUGUGGCUAUAUAAACCUGUUUUCACCCACAGGUUUACAUACAAAAAUUUUCAGAAUACAAAACACUUCUUGUCUUACAAAUUACUCUGUGUGAUCAAUCAAGACAUUCUUUGCGUUCGAAGCUAUUCCAAUUGUUUGAGGUACCGCUACAAUUGGUCUGUUUGGCCAUUUUAUCCUGGGAGAAAGAAUUCCACAACCUUAGGUACAGUGAGGGGAAUUAUUUCCUUAAGGAAGCUCCGUGAAUUCAGACGACUUGGCUUAUUCAUUUCUGUUUUAUCUACUUUCUAAAAGAAUAAAAUACACCUCUUGAAAAGGUUAUUUUGAUCUUGUGUUGAGGGUAUUUGAUAUACUUUAUUGUGUUCUUGUUUAUACUUGAAUUCUAGUUGAAGUUAUUGUUCUGCAUAUACAGAUUUUUUGUACCCGAAGUACAGAUAAAAUAACAAUCUUAAGGAAAUAAAUUUACAGAAUCUGUACAACUUAUUUUUAGAGAUUAAAGCUUUAAGCUUUCUACUCUGCUUGAAUUUAACUAGUGAUUAGAAGACAAAAUCUUCAUCACAAGUUAAAGUUCACUCGGUUGACGAUUUGAAGUUAUAAAAACUUCAUCAUUAAUUAGAAACAAAAAGAAAAGUUGAAAAGUUAUUUAACUUUAUAAGUAGUAUUCUAAAAAUACUAAAUUUUUUUGUCUUCUAUUGACAGGAAAGAUAAAUAACGAAAGUCAAAUGAUGGAUGCGACAACAUCUAUGGGGGCAACUAAUAUUGCCACAUCAAGUCGCACAAAUGCUCCGCCAACAAUGGCACCGGCGAAGAAGCCCGGGAAAUUUUUGGGCAUUGACUUCAAGCGGUGUCAGGAAAAGAUGUUCUUUGACCUCACCACUUUAUGUAUGCAAUGGUUCACUAGCGAAGAAACUCCUGAGGUACCCGACGGAACCUCGGACAAAGACCGCUUCAUUAUUGUAGAAGCUUAGAAACUUCGGACUUCCUUUGCAGGAAUUAUAUUCUGAGUGGUCUCCAAGACAACCUUUAUAAAGUUUAUAGUGGAACCAAGACAUCAAAGGAACUAUGGGGGGGCACUUGAACAAAAAUAUAAGACUGAGGAUGCGGGAAUUAAGAAAUUCCUUGUUGCACGGUUCCUGGACUUCAAAAUGAUAGAUAGCAAAUCUGUUGUCUCUCAAGUACAGGAGUUCCAAGUCAUCAUACAUGAUCUCCUAGCAGGAGGUAUAUCUUUGAAAAAUAUCUUAGUUGAACAAAUUAAAAAUGUUCUUAAUACUCACAUAAACUAUUUUGUAGGUUUAAUUGUGAAUGAUGCUUUCCAAGUAGCAGCGAUAGUUGAGAAGCUACCACCUUUGUGGAAAGACUUCAAAAACUACUUAAAGAGUAAACGCAAGGAGAUGACUGUUGAAGAUCUUAUUGUCUAACUUCAUAUUGAAGAGGAUAAUAAAGCUGCCGAAAGAAGGUCAAAGGAAAAUUCUACAAUUAAUGGAGCACAUAUUGUAAAAGAUGAUCAAAACAAUUCCAAGAAAAGGAAGAAAGUUGAACAAGGAAGCAAUCAAACCAAGAAAAAUUUUAAGGGAAAAUGCUUCAACUGUGGCAAUAUUGGCCACAAGUCCACAGAUUGUCGUGCCCCAAAGAAAGGAAAAAAGAAGGAUCAAGCAACUAUGAUUGAAUCCCAACAAAACUCAUUGGAUGGCAAUGAAAAGAGUUUUGGGGUAUCUUAAAUACACUCAAAACUAUGCUUUGGAUUAUAAUAAAUAUCCUGCGGUACUUGACGGAUAUAGUGAUGCAAAUUAGAUCACCGGAUCGAAUGAAGUAAAAUCCACAAGUGAAUAUGUAUUUACUAUCGGUGGAGGAGCAGUUUCUUGGAAAUCAUCUAAACAGACUUGUGUCGCUCACUCUACAAUAGAACCUGAAUUUAUCACAUUAGAUAAAGCCGGUGAAGAAGCAGAAUGGCUCUGGAAUUUCUUAGAAGAUAUUCCGUAUUGGCCCAAGCUAGUGGCACCAAUAUGUAUACACUGUGAUAGCUAAGCGGCAAUAGGUAGGGCAGGGAGCAUGAUGUAUAACGGUAAAUCUCAUCAUAUAAGACAAAGAUAUAAUACUGUUAGAGAACUUUUCUCUAGUGGAAUUAUCACUGUAGUCUAUGUAAAGUCAAAGGAUAAUAUGUCGGAUCCACUUACAAAAGUCCUAUCUAGAGAAAUAGUAGAAAGAACAUCUAAGGGAAUGGGUUUAAGGCCUAGGGCAAGUCAGCAUGACGGUAACUCUACCUAGCAGACUGGAAAUCCCAAGAGCUAGGUUCAAGGAGAUCAAAUAAAUUUGUGUCUGUUAGGUUCAACAUUGUCAAUUACCCAACUCAUUCUCAUAAUGUAGACAAUGUACAGUAAACUAGGAUAAGACUUAAAGUGAAAAGUCUUUUAACGAUUAUCUAAAUUUGGCAGAUUUGACCAAAUAGUUUAAUUUACAAGAUUGAAUGUUUAGAAAUCACCUAUGCGAAGGCGAAGUGGAAGCCGCUUUAAGGAGAAUAUUAGUAAAGGUCUAUUCUCUAAGCUCUCAUGAAACCGAGAUGUGUUCAUGGCUGAAAAGAAUAAAACCGUGAGAACCAUAAAUGUUAAAAGGCUGGUUGUGUGACAUGUAUUGUCUAGGUGUACAUUAAAUCUCGAUGUUUCAAAGAUAUUAAAUCUACUAAUUGACCAAGUGCAUCCGAUGCAUGUUCACUAUGGAAAGUUCAAAGGGAAACCUACUUAUCCAGAUGCAAUCAGUCUUUGCUUGAUGAUCACAUACUUUUCCGUACAACUUUUAUGAAAAAUAGUCAUUCCCCAUUCAUGUGGGGGAUUUUUGAGUUCAAAGUGUGUAUGAAGUGUGAAUGGAAAAUGGAAAAUAGAAAAUGGUGGAGGAAAGGAGACACCCAGUUUAGAAAGUGUACUCCAAAUUGGAAAGUUUACUAAUUCUCCCACAUUGGUGGUUGAAGGAAACUUUGGAGUGUUUAUAAUAAGAACACUUACUCCACAUGGUAAGUGAGGCAAGAAAUAAGAGAUGCCUUGCGCCGUCGUCGUCGUCGCUCGCUCGGCUCGUCUUCGGAUUUGGAUUUAGCAAAGGAUCGAUCAAUGAGAUCUAUCUUUUUGGAAAAAGUUUAUUUGACGGAAAUAAAAAAAUCUAGACAGAAAUCUAAUCCGAAAAUACAAAAAACGCAGUAAAAUAUUUUCUAGUUUUGGUACUCCAUUUAUACAUGCAUACAGAAGUUUGAACGGAUGCACUAUUUCAGUAAACUGAUGCACUGUUUUAGUAAACCGAUGCAUUGUUUCGACGAACUGACACACUUAUUCACGAAAUGGCAUGCCUGUUCAGAAUAGUCACACUGUUUGGAUGAAUGGACAUGAAUUUUUAGAAAAGGUUACACCUUUUAGAUGUACCUUUGCCACUUUUCAGAAGAGGCAUCUUGUGGCUAUAUAAACCUGCUUUCAUCCACGGGUUUACAUACGAAAAUUUUCAGAAUACAAAAUACUUCAUGUCUUACAAAUUACUCUAUGUGAUCAAUCAAAACAUUCUGUGCGUUCGAAGAUAUUCCAAUUAUUUGAGGUACCACUACAAUUGGUCUGUUUGGCCAUUUUAUCCUGGGAGGAAAAAUUCCACAGCCUCGGGUACAGUGAGGGCAAUUAUUUUCUUAAGGAAACUCCGUGAAUUCGGACGACUUGGCCUUAUUUAUUUCUGUUUCAUCUACAUUCUAAAAGAAUAAAAUACACCUCUUGAAGAGGUCAUUUUGAUCUUGUGUUGAGGGUAUUUGAUAUACUUCAUUGUGUUCUUGUUUAUACUUGAACUCUAGUUGAAGUUAUUUUUCUGUAUAUACAGAUUAUGUGUACCCGAAGUACAGAUAAAAUAACAAUAUAUAAGUAACUAAUUAGUUUCCUACCAAAGAUAGAAAUCCUAAUUUAACUAGGAUUCGUAGGUAAAAAAAAAGCUGGAGAAAAAAGAAAAAACAGACUCAACAGAUCUUAGUUAACAUCUUGGGCUAGCAGAAGAUUUACCCGAUUAUACUUUCUUAUGUUAUUUCUCUACACUGAAUGGUCCUCAUACUUCCAUUAUGUUGUCCCUUUGUUGUGGAUAUUGCUUAUUUUUAUAGCUGAAGUUUAGUUUUUUGGUACUCUUGUUGUUUGUACGUUUUUCACCUGGAUAUAAUAAGGAACUUUCAUUUCUAGUAGAAGUCCUCGAGCAGCUUUACUAAUAGUAAUAAAUUAAAUAAGUGGAAGGCCUAACAUUUUAUAUUAGUAUAAGGAAGGCGCUAGCUAGAGCCCAACCUAUACAAGGGUUUUCCACCUCCGUCUGGUUGUUCUGCUAUGAUGUAAUGUGCAGCAAGAUGUAUGGUAUAGGGUCCCCUAUUUUCUGUCCUGUAAAGUCCUUUAUGGAUUUCGAGUUGGGAAUAGAGUUGUCGCAUAGGGAGGAGUGCCUUGUUUGUAGUUUUUCUAUAGUUACAGUGUUUUGCAUGUGUCUUGUAGUUACUUGGUUGUAGUGUUUUGGUAAUGUUUGUGAUUUCGGAUAGAUAGAUUAUUGUAUUAUUCUAUGGGUUGCAUGUUUCUUUUAUUUUUUAGUGGUGCGUUAUCCCAUUUUGUUGUUUGUUUUUAUGUUUUUUAUUUGUUAUACUAUUAUUUGUCAUGAGCUGAGUAUCUAUCAGAAACAGCCUAUCUAUUCUAUCUGAGGUAGUGUUACGGACAACGUAUACUUUACCCUCCCCAGUCCCCAUACUUCCGUUACCCUAUCCCUUUGUUGUGGCUAUUACUCAUACUUCCAUUACCCUGUCCCUUUGUUAUGGCUAUUACUCAUCUGCAACGUUCAACUUGAGUCAAUUAUACUCAAUCCUAUAACACUAUCAAUGCAUUCCGUAAUAUAACGUAGGUACCUCUAACUGUUUAGGUAAACAUUGAUUUCUUUGCUCACCUUGAGACUAGGGAAAAGUUCUUAAUGUAAAUAUAGUAACCAUGUUACUUGAGAGUUGUAAAAUUUUAGACUAGUAAGAGUAUAGUUCUUGGUCUAUAGUAUUAUGUCGGUAAUUAUAAACAAGUAUAUUAUCUUUAAGGAUUUGUUUCAUAGAAUAUUAACUACAUAUAUCAUUAAGUCUAAAAGAACACACGGAAACACAUGUCUGUACCUAGUUGUGAUAAAGACGUGAACAUAUACCUGAGGUUUGUUCGAAUACUUUAGCCGUAAUUGAAACCUCGCGAUUUGCAUUGCCUAAAGAAUCAAUAUUUGAACAUUAGUUGUUUGCUUUGGUCCAUGCUAAUUAGGGGAGUAAAUAAAGCAAUGUAGAUUAUUUUUAAACAUUUGAUUUUACACUUGUACGGUGUGUUGUGCUAGUAAUCAGUAAGAGCAUUUUUUUCUUAAUAGCUGAAGUUUUGUUUCCGGUACCCUUGCUGUUUGCGUAUUUUCGACCUGGUGUUAUAUACCAAUUUUCCCACAUUGGAAAAAUAGAGAAAUACUGAUGGGUUUACAGGCUAAAUGGGGUCUCCCAUCUAUCACCCAAGAAGGGUACCAGCCGUGACCAACUGGACUCAGCCAUAACCAACGAGGUCGUACAGAUUAGUCUUUCGGAUUGGACUCUCCUGUUUGGUUUAUAUCAUUGGGUGAAAAGAUCAAAGUGUUAAUCCUCAUACUUCCAUUAUCCUGUCCCGUUGUAAAGGCCAAAGGGUGCAGAGUCUUCUGUGAACAGAAUUAUCUACUUAUUACUCGACUUUUUCCCCCACUCUAACAAAAGUAUCAGUAGUGUUCAUCUUACCACUUAGAACCUUCAUGAUUAAAUGUUGUUUUUAUAAUUAUUAGUUUUAAAAUUAUGAGUUUCUUGUUUAAUGUCAUUUGAGAAAUAUAUUAGGAAAAAUUUGAUAUAGAUGGCAUAAAUGGUCAUAGGGAUCAUGUUUGAAACAUAUGAGAAGGUGUGGUACAAUAGGAGAGGAUACUACACAUGAAUGUGAAGUCUAAGCCAUUGCAAGAGGUACUAAAAAAAUUUGCCUAAGGUAACAUAUAACAUACCCAUUAUAUUCCCACGGAGUGGGAUCUGGAGAGGGUAAUGUAUGCAGUACAUACCAUGAUACAAGAAUGAUCACAGAGAUGGACUUAUGAGAGUGCGUGUUGGACCCGAGACUUGGAGUGUGCAAAUAAAGUGCAACGGAGCACCAAAAUACACACCAAAACCGUCCAUACACCACACUUGAACUAAACUUGAUGGGCGUCUCUCACUUAAGGGACCUUUUGGUCAUUUUAAAUUAUAUUUUGUAAUAACUAUAUAAGGAACAUUUUAGGGUUUUAUUAGUUAGUUUUUGGAUAUUGUAAGACAUAACAUUUUGAGAUACAAAGUCCUCUCUCCUUUGAGGCAAAUCGAAACUAGGUUCACAAGUGAGGAUUUCACUUAUGUUGUUUGUUCAAGCUUGGAAACAUUGGGUGCUUGAAGGAUUGAGGUCCCUCUUGUGUCCAUGUAAGAGAGUAGAUGUUCCUAUUAUCAUUGUAUUAAGGGUCUAUGUGUUUGAAUCACACUUAGGUUCUUAGUUCAUGAGAUAGUGUAUGUCACUCUACCUAUCCCUUUGUUUUGUUAUAUUCGUGAAGUUUGUGUUCUUGUAAUCUUAAUCACAUGUUGUUGUUCUCAUCUUGUUGUUGUUAAUCUAGUUUAGGUCUAGCUAAAAAUAGGUGUUAAACACCUUGUUAUCUUAUUAUUCUCUUGUAGUUGUCUUAGCCGAGAUUUGGUUCCAUUGUGGUCUCGGUUUCACCUUGUGGUUGUGGACUAUUUUGGCUUAUUUCGGUGCAUUCUUUGUUUGAUUUGUAUCAUUUAAUAUUAGAGCUUGUGGUUGAUUUUUUUUCAACAAAAUCAAUCUUGGCCUUGGCACUUGAAAAUUUCAAAAAAAAAAAAAAAGUGUUCUUGUUGUAUCCUUGGCCGAGAACUUGAGGUUCUUGUUGUUGUUGUCUUGGCUGAAAAACUUAAGUCUAGGUAUAGGAUUUAUUUUGUUUGUUUUGUUGUUUCUAGUGUUACCCUUGUUCUUUACUAGCACUUUGAGUCUAGAUCUAGAUUUGAGCUUAAAUUGUUGAGGUUGUUAUUGUGAACAAGGUAGUGGCCGUGUGUUGAUGUUGUUGUUCUUGGCCGUGUGGUGAUCUUGCUGUGGAUUUGGUUGGACGUUGGUCGAUAUUGUUGUUUUUCUUCAAAGGUUGUUGUUGUGUUCUUGUUGUUCUUCACUCCUUUAAUCUCUUGUUAAAACAAAAAGUGAACAUUAGAUUUACAAAGGUGAAAAACCAAGUUGUAGUACUUGUUGGUAAAAGAACAUGAUCACAUCACUCAAAAGACUUGACAACCACUUUUCACCUGCUUUCCAUGAUUUAAGGACCUUGUUUCAAGAACAAAGUACAAAGAAGGUCAAAUCUUUCUUUUGAAUUUGAAAAAGAAGCUCCAAGACCAUAUUUCCCUCCAUUAAUCAAAUCCACCAAUUCCAAAUUAUAAACUUGGUCAAGACUUGAAAUCGAAAGGUAAAAUUUGACAAAACCGUGGCCAAUAGUGGACUGCCAUGUCACUAAUUUACUGUUCAUACAACAUUUUUAAGCUCAAAUUUUUAGAUUCUUUAGUUUCAUUUUAUUAUUCCUUAUUUGCGUUUGUUGGUUCGAACACUAAUUGACAAGCUAGUAAACUCCUACUAGAUUGUAAGUUAGUUUUGUGUCCAUUUGUUCAUGGUAAGCCUUAUUUGUGUGCUUUUUGCCUUUUCUAAAUCGUUGAUUAGUUUUUGAAUCACGUCCUACAAGAUUCGUUUGAGUUUUAAAACAAAAUUCUAAUCCGGACAAGAGUAGACUCAAUCCUCAACUCCUCGUGGAUUCCUUAGCUGACUUACAACACUUGUGAAGCUACGAGUAAGGUAAUCAAAGUAUGAGAGUGUGGCGAGGUUAUUUUUGAGCUAACUUGUUAUUGUUUGGUAGGUGCUUUCUUAGGUACAUUGCGAUGGAGGGAGCGACUUCCCAAACCAUGGGCAACAAUAAUACCAAUAUCCUCAUGGCUUCUAUUGAGGGCCUCAACCGCACUUUGGAAAGAAUACAAGUGAGUCUUGGGAAGUUAGAAAUGGAUAUGUCUUCGGUGAAAGGGGAAGUAACAUCAAUAAAAGGAGAUAUGACCACUAUGAGUGGGACUUUGGUACGGGUAGAAAGCCAAAGAAGUUCCCGACCUUCUACUCCUCAAAAUACUUCUAAAACCAAUACCCCCAAAAUAUUACACCAAAUGAUCCAUCCUUCAAGACAACCACCAAAUGCUCCCUAAGGUCAAGAGUAUGAAAGAACAAUCCACCCUCCACUUCACUAAGUCCAACAAGAAGGAUUUGGAACCCGAAUUCCACCACCAAACCCAAGCCCUCUUCUUAACCAAAGCCUCUCUAUUAAACCAAAGGCCUUACUUUCCACCAAAUCCAAAUCCACUUAAUCCAAACCAACCUAACCGUGUAGAGGGAUAUAGUAGGGAGGAACAAUAUGGGGGUUAUGGAUAUUAUGGUAAUGUUUACUUGAGAGAAAAAAAGGUGAAGGGUAGGCAAGGUGAUUUAGGCUGAGAGGUGAGGGGCGUCCACUAAACCCGACAGCUAGGCAUCAAUACCGUCAAAGUUAGUCUUCCAAUCUUCAAGGGUGAGAGUGAUUCCGAGGCGUAUCUUUCUUGGGACUCAUCUUGUGACAAGAUAUUCCAUGUAAAUAAUCUAACCAAAGAGAAGAAGAGUUGUUAUGCUAUUCCUCACUUUGAGGAUUAUGCAAACACUUAGUAGGAGUAUGUGAAGAGGUUUGUUGAUGUGUUGAUUGUCGGGAAGACACCUCUAUAGUUUAGAUUGAGGUACCUUAUGCGUCAAAGGUACUUACCCGAGGGAUACAAACAUGAGCUUUUUGCCAAGUUGUACAACUUAAGGCAAGGAAACAAAAGUGUCAUGGCAUACUAUGACGAGUUUCAACAAUUGAUGUUAAAGUUUGAUCAUCGAGGGGAAUAUGUGAGCCAUGACAUUAUACGAUUCAAGAUCGGGUUGAAUAGAGACAUAGCUUCUCGCAUGACCCUCCACAAGUUUGACACCAUCGAUGGUAUCUUCCAAGCGACAUUGGAAGUUGAAAAGGAACUCUCGGUUUCCAAGUCCAAGAGUAAUCAACAACCUUUCUCGAAUUGGCACCAACAUAAAGAGCACUCAUUCAUGCCAACCAAAACAAGAACAAAGUUGUCCAAACCAAAACCAAGGCUGCCCAAAGGUAUCCUCCAAGAAACGAAGGUAAGCCAAAUCCUACUUCUCAUCCUAAGGGAUUUCAAUGUUUCAAUAUCAAGGAUGGGGGAACAAGGCUAGUGAAUGCCCAAACCAGAGAAAUGUAAUCCUUAGGGAGGUAAAAUUGUAUUACCUUGGUGAGGAGGUGGGACUUAAAUAGGAUAAGGGUGAUGAAAAGUUCAAGAUGAGAGCAAGAAGCUAAAGUGAAAAUUGAUGAAGGCGAGAAAGGUGUGUGACCGUGUGAUUGUGAGGUUGAAGUGCCUAGUUAUAUGACAAGGAGAUUCAUGAUUAGUGAGGUCUUAGAAGAAGAAGCCGAGAGUGAGGAGGGUGGAUAAAAAGAGAAGUCGAGAAUCAUGAUGGUGGGAUUUUCCCACAAGAGCUCUUUGUUAUUCAUUAACCUAGAUACUAGCCCUUUGGCUAGUAUCAAAUCUUCUUAUGUACAGGUUGUAGAACAUGUAAGUCCAAAGAGAAUGCUUGAUGAUUCCAUGGAUUCCUUGGUAGAACAUCCUAGCCUCGGGAAAGGACAUGAAGAGUUGACUCCAAGAGGAGAGCUUGCGGGUGAUGAAGUCUUGAAUUUGUGGGCAAAUUCCUUUCAAGAUGAAUAGACUGAUACAAGAAUGACCACGGAGAUGGACUUAUGAGAGUACGUGUUGGACUCAAGACUUGGAGUGUACAAAUAAAGUGCAAAGUAUCAUCAAAAUACACACCAAAAUCGUCCAUACACUAGACUUGAACUACACUUGAUGGGCGCCUCUCACUUAAGGGUUCUUUUGGUUAUUUUAACUUAUAUUUUGUAAUAACUACAUAAGGAAUAUUUUAAGGUUUUAGUAGUUAGUUUUUGGAUAUUGUAAGACAAAACAUUUUGAGACACAAAGUCCUCUCUCCUUUGAGGCAAACCAAAACUAGGUUCACAAGCGAGGAUUUCACUUAUGUUGUUUGUUCAAGCUUGGAAACGUUGGGCGUUUGAAGGAUUGAGGUCCCUCUUAUGUCCACGUAAGAGAGUAGGUGUUCCUAUCCCUUUGUUUUGUUGUAAUCGUGUAGUUUGUGUUCUAGUAAUCUUAACCGUGUGUCGUUGUUGUUCUCAUCUUGUUUUCUUCAUCUUGUUGUUGUUAAUCUAGUUUGGGGCUGGCUGGAAAUGGGUGUUAAACACCUUGUUAUCUUGUUAUUCUCUUGUAGUUGUGUUGGCCGAGAUUUGGUUCCAUUGUGGUCUCGGUUUCACCUUGUGUUUAUGGACUAUUUUGGCCUGUUUUGGUGCAUUCCUUGUUUGGUUUGUAUCAUACCAGUACCUCAGAGGUGAGGUAGAGCGGUUGCUACUAAUAGACCCCUGGCUUAGACCAAUGUUCCCUAACAUUUAAUCUCUCAAUUUCAUCCUAAACAAAUAUGAUUUAUCUUAUGUUGGUGCAGAAGCUCACCACCAUCCUGUUAUGGAAUGAAAGAGACAAGAAAGAAAAUUAAACAGAAAUUGAAUGAUAACUCUUGAUAUUGAUUCUUUUCAUUGAUUCAAAUAUAAGAGUGCAUCUCUAUUUAUAAGAAACUAAAUAAAAUAAAUUAGGAAAAUAUGAUAUUUUCCUUAUAGCUAAUAGACUAAAUAUUCUAUAAUUAAUAAAUCCUAGACUUAAAAGGAAGUAAAUAAUAUAAAAUAUUCUUACACUAAAAUAUAUAUACAAACUCAAGUUGAUGUAUCCAACUUGAGUUUGAACACUUAAUUAUUCUUGAAAACCCACUUUUCUUUGAAUUUGUUGCAACAAUCUAAAAAAGUUGGUCUUCCUCAUGUUCAUGCUUCUCUUUCAUAAGUAGUGCUUUUGAAUUAUCUUGAGUGUAUUUGAACUUGCAUACUUUUGUGACAUGACCUUUUUGUUUGCAACUUUCACAUAAUGCAUCGGAUCACCACCAACAAAAUUUUUCUAAGUGUGUUUUCUUUUUGCAAUAUUUUCAAGGUGGAUAAUCAACCUUUCUUUUUUUAUGGUUCACAUAAAAAUACCUUCAACAACUUUUUCUUUCCUGUGAGCUCUUCUUUGCUCUUGUGCUUGAAGAACGUUUGUUGACACCCAAUUUUAAUUUUUCAUGCCUAAAAUUAACGCAUUCAGACUUUCUGACCGUUAAAGGGCACAAAGUACAUUUAUUUUUUUACAUAUUUUUAUAAUUUUUAACAAACUAUUGAUAAUCAUCAUUAUUUUAGGAUUUUUAUUAAUUUAUUGUCAUAUUUUAAAUUUACAUAAUUUAUUAAUAAUUAUUCUUAAUUUCAUAAAUUUUACAAUUUUUAUCAAUUUAUUAUUAUUUUAAUAUUCUUUGUGCAGACAUCUACCUACGUACAUAACGUAACACUACAACUUUUCUUUUACAUAUUAUAAUUUCAAUUGUUUAUAACGUAAUGCAUUUUUAAAUUUAAUUAUAUUAUAUUUGUUGUUUGCAUUUUUCUGUAACUAUACAUCGACAUUCAUAUUUUAUACAUUAUUUAAUACAGUCUGCAACAGUAAUAUCUACUCAAUUAUUUUAAUACAUAAAGUAACAACUCAGUUAAGUCAAGGUCUUGUCACUUUUUAAAAAGUGAUAUUUGAAUUGACGGGUUGAGGUUUCAUCCAUUGAAUAAAUAUUUUUAUUUAUUAGUUAAAAGGAUGCAAAAUCCUUUGGUUAAAAUUCGUGGGAGAAGCAGGCAAGACUCGUCAACAUGCCUGCUUCUCCUGACUACUUCUCUUGCCUGGUUUAUCAGCUGCUUUUUUCGUAAUUUUAUUAUGUCAUCUCUAAUUAAUUAUUAAAAAAUUAUCACAAAGUCAUUUAAGUAUUAAAACAUUUAUAAUAAUUAAUGUUAAAUUUACUUAACAUUUUAUAUGAGACCCAUUUAAUUUUUUUUGCAAGUAUUUUUGUUUAGUAAUUUUGUUAUAUCACUUCUAAUUAGACAUGUCUGCUUCGUUGUUUCAACCGUAAUUUUACUAUGUCACUCCUAAUUAAUUAUUAUGACCAUUUAAGCAUUGUGUCAAUUAAUAAUAUUUGAUAAAAAAAAGGUAAAAUAGAUAUAAAAUAAUAAGUUAAUCAAAAAAAUUUCACAAGUAUGUUUUAUUUUAAUUUUGUUAUAUCACUUCUAAUUAGUUGCCGUGAGUUAUUAAGAUACGUAACUUUACUAUAUCACUCAUAAUUAAUUAUUAUGUUUAUCUAAACAUUAUGACACUUAAAUUGAAAUAGAAGAAAAAAUAUUAUAUAUCACAAUAAUUUAAAAACUUAAAUUAUUUAAAAAAUAUAAUUGACUAUCAGUGUCAUAAAAGUUUGAACAAUGAGAGCGAUAUAUAUUAUUAAAAAUGAUUGGUAAUAUAACUUUAUCAUUUUGCCUCUCUUAAUUGGGUCUUGUUGUUAGUUUCGAUAUUAAUGGAUGACUAAUAUCAAAACAUUAUUUAUAUUUUUAAUGGUACUCCUCUUUAUAACAUUUUUCAAGAAUACUAACAACAAGCAAUAAUCAAUUAGACUAAGAGUAUAAUGAAAAAAAAAUUAUUUUAUCUUGAUAAGUAAAAUAUGACAAAUAAAAUAAGACAUCAAAUUAAAAAAUUUAAAUGGAAUAAAAUGAGACGGAAGAAGUAGUUUAUAAAUAAGGGAAGAAAGUUUUAAUAAUUUACACUAAAAAAAUACACAUACACACAAAACACACACCAACAGACGUACAUAUCACUUUCCCUCUCCUUUCUCUCUUUCUCUCUCCCAAACUCACCGCCGCCGGUACCAAUGGCUCGCCGGAGGUAGUGACCGGCGAGUUCCAAUCAGCCGAGUUCCCUUUCCCUUCUCCCUUUUACCCUACUGCUGCUCGACGCCGGUAAAAUAUAAGCGACGCACAAAUCAGCCGGUGAACUCCAUCACUGCUCCGGCCAGAUCUGGACGAAAUGAUCCAAGAUCCGAGCUCCGACACACCACACCGAUGCUGUCCACCAAAAAUAGCCCAGAUCUGGUCGUGUUUUAUUUUUCCGGCGAUUGCCGUUGAAGCAACGCCGGUGACCCAUUCCCUAUUGGUCUCUAUUUUUAUUUGAUUUCAUAUUUGGCAGCAGCCAUGGCCAUGAUACCAAAAAAAGAGCUCAAAUUUGGGUGAGUCCCCACUAACGCCGGCGACCCCUCGACUCGUUAAUGUCUUUUUCAUAUAAGUUUGGACAUAUUUUUGUGUUCUCAUAUGUUUUUUUUUUAUGAUUUGCUAGACUGUUUUGAUUCUGAUGAUUUGGUAUAAUUUUGCCGGAUAAUAUUACUCACUGGAUUGCUGCUUGCUUAUGUUGCUCUGGUAUUGGUUUUGCUCUGUUAUGUCCUUGUGACAACUUUAGUUUUCAUUUGUUUAGAUUGCUGAUUUUUUAAUAUUAUUGGAUGAUUAUCCUUGUAAAAUACUGAUAACAAAUCAAUACUAUAUUACUUUGACCGAUGGAGAAAUUAUUCAUUGAUUUUCGAGGCCUUCACCAAUAAAAAGAUAGAAUUUUACCUAUACGAAUAAGUGGCGAAAUUCUUAUAAUAUUUUUAAAAUUUUAUUUGAGUACAUUAUGAGAGUGUUUUGUACAGACUAUUGAGAUUACUCAUCAAGAAUGAUUUUCAAAGAAACUUUAAAUUUGCAUUAUAUUUUUUAUAUUUUUAUACUUGUACAAAUAUUAUCAUAGUGAAAUUUUAUUUUUUUAGUGUUGGAAGGAAUAUUCUUUAUUUACCCAAUUAUCAUCACGCGUUAGAAAAAUUUAGGUCGUUACUAUUUAUAUAAAAGGAUUAAAUUGAUUUAGAUAUUUAAUCGAAUAAUUCAUAUUUUUUAACCUAAAAACAUUACGUAAUCUUUUUUUUUGAACAAAUUUUUCUUUAUUUAAUCUUUUUAUUUUUCAUAUAUAUUCUCAUGUACUUUUGUUUAUUUUCAUACACUUUUUAUAUAUAUAUUUUACGAUAACAUAUGUAAUUUACACAUUCAUUAUAUAUAAAUUGUUUAUAUUGUUUUAAUACUUAUUUUGUAUUUGUAUUUACAAACAUCAAUUUUUUCUCUUUUUUUUAAUAAACCUAAGUUUAGUCGGAAACCACAUUUGUGGAUUCUGAAGGGUGUCUAAUACCUUUUCUUUGGAAUAAUUUGAACACUUAUCUAGAAUCUAAAUUGAUUAGUAAAGUAAACCACAAGUCAUACAUAUUAAUACAUAAAUAGCUUUCCUUAUUUUUCUUAAAUAUUAGGUGGCGACUCUGUACGUAAUUUAUUCUUUUAGAGUCGAUAAUGUCGUGUUUGUUUUGAUCUUAGAUAAAAAAAUCAGGUAUGACAAUGCUUAUCAAUUCAGCAAGAGAGAUGACAGAGAGAUCUUUAGACUCUUCUAAAGUGGAGAUUUUGGACUCAAAUCUUUCAGGAAAAGUCACCAAAAUUUUUCAACUAUUUUAUUGUCUUUAAAAUCUUUGCCAAACAAUCUGAUUAUAUUGACAAUAAAAGAAAUUCUAUCAGAAUACUUAAUAAUUGUCUCACCUUCUUGCAUCCUAAGAGAUUCAAAAUCUUUUUUUUAAAUUCAGAGUUUGAUUUUGUCUACCUCGUUUACUUCCUUGGUGCUCCUUUUCAAACUUUUCUUAAGCUUCUUUUGUUGUUUCGCAUGCAAUGAUUUUUGAAAAAAUUGAAUCAACAACUGAAUUUUGAAUUACAAUUUUUUCUUUAUAUUUUUUUUUAUUUCUCUUUUGAGUAAAGUUUGAUUUCGGCAGCAGAAGAUUUAGCUGUGAGUGGUUGUAUAGGUUUCUCUUUCUUUACAACUUCCGACAAAUCAUAAGCUUCAAAUUAAAAUUUUAUCUUAACUGCCCAAAUUUGAUAAUUUUCACCAGUGAAGUUUGUGGAGAAAAUUGAAGGAGAGAUGUCUUUUAAGUCUUGAAUGAAGGAUUGGUGACAUUGACCAACUUAAAGGGUCAAACAUUAUUAGAAAACUUGAUUAAGUUAAUUGUGAACUUGAUUAAUAUUUUCAAAACUUUCUAAUCUUUUAAAAAAUACAAAUCAACCUAACCCACACCCCUUUUCAAUCCAAAUCAACCAGUCUCUCUUCUCUUUCUCGAUAGUUUCUCUCAACUCUCUCUCAACCAACAGUUUUGCAAAUUUCUCCUUUCAAUCCUCCGCAACUUCAACAUCUGACAACAAAUAGUUGGGAUUCGAGUUCCUUUUCGACUUCAACCUUCAAUCGAUGUGACAGCCUUACUCUCUGGCCACAACAGCUUCGAAUUCUUCAACCUUCAAUCGACGUGACAGCCUUGCUCUCCGGCCACAACAGCUUCGAAUUCAUCAUCGUUCCUUUUCUUCUUUCACAGGUAAAAAUUUAUGGUCUUUUUAGUUUUGAAGAAAACGAGGAACUUGAGUCAACUUCUCUUAUAGUAUUGUUAAUAAUUUCAAUAUUUAUUAUUUUAAUUUGAAAUGCGGUCUCAAUAAAACCUUAAUUUCUGGUAUUUCUUCUCUUCUCUUUUCGAAGUGAAUAAUUAUUUUUUGUUGUUUGUUGCGUUUUUUUUAAGUUUGAUUUUCUUUGUUUGUGUUUAUAAAAACAAAACAACAAUUUGGGUUGAUUUGUUCUUUUCUUGUUCUUGGUAAAAAUGGUGAUAUUGUUGUUUUUCUGUUGAACAAAAUCGUGCUACUGUUUUUUUUAUCGAACAGAUUAUCCUUCUGGUGCAACAUAUAACCAUCCGAUGCAACAGAUUUGUCAGAUGAUGCAAUAGAUCAACCAUCUGAUGCACUAGAGGAACCAUCAGAUUAUAAUUUUGAUGCAACAGAUUUAACAUAUGAUGCAAUAGUUAAACUAUUUGAUUCAACAUAUUAACCAUAUGUUGCAACAGAUUAAGAAUUGGAUAAAAAAUCUGAUGCAACUAAUUAACCAUCUGAUGCAACGGAAGAACCAUCAAAUUAAUGUUCUGAUGCAACAGAUGCACCUCUUGUUGGAUAAAAUCAUAUCAACUCUUCCAACAGGACAUGUCCAAGACAUGAUUUUUUCAACUGAUCAUUCAUCUGCCGCGAUAGACGACCCUAUGUUGGAAGAAAUCUAAACAAUAUUGACCGUUGAUAAUUGUUCCAACAGAUCACUCAUGUGUUGCAACAGAAGUAUGACCUAUUACACUGACUAUUCAUCUUUCUCAAUGGAUGAGUGAUAUGUUUUGUAUUGUCACAACAGAUUACUUAGUCGUUGUUGGAGGUUAGUUAACUGUUCCAACUUAUCACUCAUAUGUUGCAAUAGAUGUGUGAUCUGCUGCAUAAACCAUUCAUUUUUCUCAACAGAUGAGUGAUAUAUUUUGUAUUAUUGCAACAGAUUACUCAUCCGUUGCAAUAUGUUAUUUAACUGUUCCAACUGAUCACUCAUGUUGCAAUAAUGUGUGAUCUGUUGCACAGACCAUUCAUCUAUCUUAAAAGAUGAGUGAUACAUUUUGUAUUGUUGCAACAGAUUGCUCACCUGCUGCAACAGGUUUGUUAUAUACUGCAACAGAUAUACUACCUGUGCAACAGAUAAGUAACUUGUUGGAACUGUUAUUUUACUGUUUUGCUUGUUAGAUUUACUAUUAUUCUUUUUUAACGAUACAUUAAUCAACUAUAAUAUAUUUUUUUAUGUUCCUAUUAAUUUUAGAUAAUAUGGCUCCCAAAAGAACAGAAAUUGAGUCAAGUCCAAGUAAAGGAACAAGUGAAGCAGUUAGGAUACAUCCACCAUCUAUGAGCUUGCUUUACAAAUGUUAUCUCAAUCACGAGCAGAAUAUGAUGAACACAGAGAGGAGAAAUAUUUCAGAAGAGAUGAUCCAAAUGCUAAUAGCCCUUCCGCCGAAGAGUUGGUCAAAACCUUCAGCAUUGAUUAUUAUCUUGUGAGAAUGCAGUGCGAUGGUGCCACAAAUUUAAAGGGUGAUUUCGUGGUUAAGUCAGUCAUGGGAAAAUCUUUCGACACCUUCAAAAAAAUACUUCGAGAAUAAAAAUUGGAUGCUUAUUUCAGGGACAGCUACUUUGAAAAAUAUCUUGAUUUGCCAGAGGAUAAAAAUGCUCGUUUCCAAAUGAAAAUGGUAUAUGAACUUCUCAAGCAUAGGUUUAUGUACAAAAACAAAGAUAAGAUGGAUGAGGUGUGGAUAAAUUACUGUGGCAUACCUGUUUGUUUUGGUUGGAAGGAGUUUGCCAUAGUUAUUGGACUAAAAUGUUAUCCUCCUUGUCAAGUUAUACCUAUUCUAACCCAAAAAAAAAUACCCUGCACACCCAAAAUAGGCAAAGGCAAGUCAUUUGAUCGUGAUGACCUGAUGUCCAUUGUUGGUCCACGCUUCAAAAAUAAAAAGUUGAUAGAAGCGUUGAAAGGUAAAGAACUUUCAAAGAAGCAUAAGCAGUCAUUGUGCUUGAUUUUGUUUGUACAUAAUAUUCUUUGGGCGAGAGACGUUAACAACAUAAACAUUGAUUUAAUAAAGCUAUCAUAGGAUCUUAAGGCGUUUAACAGUUAUCCUUGGGGUUAUAAAAGCUUCAAAAUGACUGUCCAAUAUUUGUUGACUCUGUUAGCGCCAAAGACAGUCAACUUAUAUGGCUUUCCAUGUGCUUUUAUGGUAAAUAUUUCUUUCUUUUAUUAUGAUAUCAUUCAUUUUUUUUACUAAAUAAUGAUUUUGAUUUAUUGGCGUUAUUUUUUAGGCUUGGACGUUUGAAGUCAUUCCUCAUUUGAGACAACAAGUGAACUACCAGGAAGAAGUUUCUUGUCCAAGAAUCUUGAGGUGGUUGUCGGCUAAACCUGAUAAAAAUGUAAAAUUUCUUGAUCUCUUCAAUCCCCCGAAGGAUACAGUAAGUAUAAUUAUAAUUAAGUUUUUAUUUUAAUUAAAGAUUUCUUUGAAUGAUCUAAUCAUCAUUCUAAUAUAUGUAAUGAUUUAUUUUAGAUUGUGCAUCCGUCGCUAGUUCCGACCAAUUGAGAGUUGAAGAUGCCAUUUUUUCUUACUGUAUGGUCUGUACAACUUUAUCGGAUCCUAAGAUCAUCGACGGAAUAAAAAUAGAAUUGUUUGGAGCAACAACCAUUACAAGAAAAAUAAUUUUGGAGGGUGGACUUGUUGUUGUUGAUGGUCUCAGUGGUGAUAGAGCUAUUGGUGGUGGUAGUGGUGCUGUUGUUGGUGCUAAUGAUGCUCCUCUUACAGUAUUUAAAACAAACCAUUAUGAGUAUGAUCAUACUGGUUAUACAGAUUUUGCCUUCCAUAAUGAAUGUUGUGCAUACAAAUAUCAAGACUGUAGGGCGAAACAUGAUGAAAUGAUUAAUGCUAUUAAUGCAUUAACUGCUUCUGUAAAGAAAUUGACAUCUAAGAGGGGUGUCAUUCCAUCAAAAAGGAUUUUAUUUUCAUCCACUCCAUUAGAGAUUAAGGCUAAGAGGAGAAGAAAAGUGAUUUCUAAGGCAUUAUCAAGCAUCCAAAAAAGCGAAAAUUACAACUCCUCUGUCCGUGUGUUGCACUGAGCAAUGUACAAUGUCCAAAGAAGAGUAACACGAGCUGAACAAAGUGAAUAUAUAUGUCUUCCAACUAACAAAUAGACACAUUUCUGUUUUAACAGAUGACACAUCUGCUGAAAAUUAUCAAACAAAUAUAUGCAUUUGUUACAACAGUUAACUAACUUAUUGCACCAGAUAAAGUACCUGUUGCGACAUAUGUAUCAUCUAUUUUAGUAAAUCAAACAGCUCUUCAUACCACUUUUAUUUUUACCAACAGAUGACCUAUCUACUGCAACAUAUGAGUCAUAUGUUGCAACAGAUGGUUCAUCCGUUGGAAAUUAUCAUACGGGUCUUCCUCAUGUAGAAAUUUGACCCAACAGUUGAUUCAUUGUUGCAACAAAAAUAUAAUCUGUUUGGGACAAUUUAAAACAGGAGAAAGACCUGUUUGAUUUGCUAGAACAGAUGAGUUAUCCUUUUCCGUUUUGUUGUAUCUCCAUGAUUAGCAUUGACCAAUUUUGACUUUUCAGGUGGAUGUAAAAGAUAUUUCUAAGCGGUAUUGACGAUAUGCUACUAUACUCUUUUUAUGAAAAUAGGAAGAACAGAAAGCGCAGAAACCAUACGUAAGCGACAAUAAAGAUUCACGCCAAGAAAAUCCAAAUUCCAUAGCACUGAAUGAAGAACAAUUUGUCCAUAUUGAGUAGAUCUUUAUAGCUUGAGUCUAUCAAAGUAAUAACCUCACCCCUCCUUCGAAAUCCUUGGCAUCAAUACUUAAAUUAUUGGUGUAUUUGAUGAGAUUUGUACCCAUAAUAAUUUUUUUACAUUUCAUUAUUCGUUGAUUUUAUUUUAGCUAAUUUCUUAAGGCUUCGAUUUAUUUUAUUUUGUCUAUGAAUUUUAUUUUUUUCUUAGAUUUGAACUUAUUAAUUGAAAUGGAAUAACUAGAUUUAAAUAUUACAACUGAUAAUGUAUCUGUCGCAACAGAUGGCACAUCUGUUGAAAAAUAUCGAACAGAUUUAACAUAUGUUGCAAUAGGUAUAUAAUCUAUUGAAAUUUAUCAAACAUGUCUUCCCACUGCUGCAACAGAUAGACUUAGGUAGAAACACCGACAUAAUGCAAUAGAUGACCAAACUAUUACAACAAAUAAAUUAUAUGUCAGAAUAGGUAGAAUAUUUGUUACAAUGGAUGGAGAAUCUGUUGUAUUAUAAAAAUUCAACUUUCAUUGGACAUAAAAAAAAAUUAUCACUACAUGUAAAAAAGUGAAAGUAAAUUAAAAUAAAAAAGGUAGAACCCAUCGACAGUGUUCAAUUCUAACACAUAAAAUAAAAUAGGCAUCAAGUAGACAAUGUUCAUUCUAAAUACGUAAAAUAAAAUAAGCACAAAUGUAUCAGGUUGGCACUUUUUGCUGACUUGGCAUCUAAUUUGGCCCCCAACGGUCAUUUUUCCUCCAUUGUCCUAUAUAUUCAUCUUUUUCCUAAAAUUUAACCCUAAAUUCCUAAAUCUUCUUCUUCGUCGUUAAUUUUUUUAUCUAUCCAAAUUCUUCAAAUUAUUUGCAUUUGGUCUUUCUUUUCUUCAUUUUUUUUUAUUUUUUUCAACUGAGUUUGACAAUGUCGAGCGCAUUUUUCACUGUUUUUGUGAUAACGAUUUUCGAUAUUGUAAGUGCGGUCAUAAAGCUCUAUAGAAGACUUAUUGAACUCAAUAAAAUCCAGGUCGUAGUUUUUUUACUUGUAAGAUUUCAAAGAUAAUUUUUUUUAUUUAAUUAGUUGAUUAAUUACUGACCUGUAAUUAUUUUGUAAUUGUAUUUUUGUUUUUAUAGAAAUUGGGUGGAUGCGAUUACUUUGAUUGGUAUGAAGAAUGACACCCUUCACAAGUAAAUCGUGUAAUCUGAAAGUCAAGGCUUCUAAGAGAAACAAAAUCGAGCAAGAAGAUACUACAUUAUUGUUGUUAUUGCUACUAGUUUGGUGGUGUUGGGUACAUGAAUUUUCAAGCCUAAUUGCUGAAAUUUUCAUAGUGGUGUAUUUGCUACUGGUUUGGGGUUGUCGAGCACAAGGAUAUUCAAGCGUAAUUAUUACAAAAUAUCAAACAGAUUUAGGCAUAUAUUCUAAAAUUUAGGUCAUCUGUUGGAAAUUAUCAAACAGGUCUUUCCAUUGUUGCAAUAGAUUAGACUUAGAUUAGAAAGAAAUAACAUCGACAUAAUGCAACAGAUGACCAACCUAUUACAACAGAUAAACUAUCUGCUAGACCAGAUAGAAUAUAUUUUACAACAGAUUGACAAUCUAUUGCAUUAUAAAAAACUCAACUUUUAUUCAUCAGAAUAAAGUUAUUGCCACUACAUCUACAUGUAAUUUAAAGUAAAGUGAAGUGUGACUAGAAAUAAAAAAUUAUUAUUUCACAGACUCUUCUAUAUACACAGGAUCCAAGCGUCCAAUUAGUACCCCAUAAGCCCAGACCUCUUGCAGGUUUACCACAGCGUUGUCAUACAAAAAGUUUGUUGGCUCGGCCAUUUCUGUUUUGAUCAACAAACAUUCAGUGUGUGCAAGAGCGUGCGAGCCGUUCGCAUAACCUGUAUCAUUUUUUGGAAGGGUCAUGCCCUUGUUUCGACUUUCUAAAUCCCAUGAUUUCUUCAUCAACACUUCCUUUGGUAAAUGAUUUAUUAGUUUACUCUCCCUCAAUAAGAUGGGCAACAACUCCAUCAGUGGCUGCACGAGGAGAAAAAGAUCGACAUCGUCGACGACAGGAUCAUUACAGUCAUAAACUUUGAUCUUUCCCUCAUCGAGUAGUAUCUCAAAAGCCCUAUAAUGUAUGUCGUUCACGCUAAUGACUGCAAUAAUCCUCUUUUCAUCGGUCUAGCUCUUGCCGUGUGAAUUUGGCCUCUCUCCUCUAAUAUAUUUUAUCAUUUUUUCUUCCUCUAAGUCCAAUGUAGAAUUAAGAAAUCAAGUCCCGCGCCACAGGAUGACGUUUCAGAAUUGAGUUGAUCGUACUUAUCCUUGAGCUUCUUGCAGAAGUUGAGGUCCAUUAUCCUAUCGACAGCAUCAUAAUCUUCCGGGUAGCGUCAUAAGCUUCCGAAUAAGUUAAUUGCCUUUUUCUCACGAGGCAGAGAAUUUUGUCAACAUGUUAUAUAAGAAGACAAUUUUUAAAUAGGUUAGUUGUAAAGUUGGUUUAUCUGUAGCAUAGGGUUCUCUGAAUCAAUAAUCCAACGCAACUUAUACAACAGAUGGAUAGUAAGUUGCAACAGAACCACUACCAGUUGCACUAGAAUACCCAGGUGUUGCAACAGAUUUCACAUCUGUUGUAUAGCUUUUUUUUCAUGGGGUAGAUUAGAUUAAAAGGCUAGGUUAGAAAAAGCAAACUUGUCUUGUCCUCAUUCAACAUACGCAUAUCUAUCAUAAUUUGGAAGUCUUGGGGGGGAAAGGGAGGCGUGGGGUAAUCUGGUGCGCCUGGCUUGGCAUUCUUGGCCUGUCGCAGAUCCCUCUUCUCUUUGGGGCCAAGUUCCGUGUAUAUGUCCACUUUCUUGAAUGGCCCAUGAACUUCAACAACUUUUUGAGUGGUAGAAGUUGCAAUUAUUUUUUAUUUUCGAUAGGAGAGUACGUCGAUUAUUGCUCUUUUCUUUCUCCUAACCAACACUGUAGGAGUGUAUGGCUCCCUUACCUUCUUGGAUGGUAUUAUACCCCUCUUGGAUUUGAAUUCCUCAACAGCUUUAGAAAUAGCCUCUACUUUUUCAAAGAGUUUAUCUUAUUGUCCUUGCACUCUUCGCAUUCGUAAUGAGAACACGAGGGUGAAGAGGGGUGAGAGGACCUGUGUAAGGGUGAAAAUGGGUGUUUUCAAACAUAUUUAUUUUUUCUUGAGCAUCAACAUGCUUAUCAUCAUGAAUGGUAGCAGCAUCAGCAUGCCUGCCUCCAACACCAACAAAUCCACCAGAAGAAGCACCCAAAUCUUCCUUAGUAGAUUGGUCAUGAAGAUCCUCAACAUUGGGCUAACCUUGCCUAACUGCUCUUCUUAUGGCUGUUGCUCCAGCCAAUUCCUUUCUUAUUAACUCCACCAUUAAGUCUGCUAUAGUAUCAACAUGACCUAGAGUAAUAUAAAAAGUCAUCAACGACUCCGCCUCAGUAGGCACGAUCCAUGGAUGCACAACCUAGAAAAAAAUGACGGAUAUAUUUAAACCAUAUAAUAUACUAAUUUUCAUAGUUGGGUUAACAUUUUAACGGUCAACUUCUGCAACAGAUUAAUAAUAUGUUGUAUCAGAUUACCCUUCUAUUGCAUAGUUUGUAGUAUUUGGUUAAAAUCUAUUUGAGUCGGGUUCAGAGAAUCAGAGAAACACAAGGAUAAUCUAAUACAAAAUAUCAAUCGUCUGUCACAACAGAUUACUAAUCUGUUGCACUAGUUAAACAAGAUGGGAAAUCUGUUGGGUUACAUGUUAUGCAACAGAUGAUCUGUAUAUGUAUUAAUAAUAUGUUACAUUAGAUUACACAUCUGUUGCAUAAUUUGUAGUAGAUGGUUAAUAUUUUAGGAGUCGAGUUCAGACAACUAAAGCAACAGAUGGGUAAUCUGAUGUAAGAUAUCAAUCUCUGUUGCAACAGAUUAUCCAUCUAUUGCACCGAUUGGCACAGGACGAGUAAUCAAUUGCAAUAGAUGUCCCAUCUAGUGCAUCAGAUAUAACAUCUAUUGCAGCAGAUAUAACAUCUGAUCAAUAUCUUUCAUUGAGUAAAAUUAUUUUACUUGAAGAAGACGUACUGCAUCAUCCGGGGGGUUAAAGAGAUCAACCUCCUUAAUUUUUGUGUUGCUCUUUGCAGCCAACCAUCUAAACAUCCUUGGAUGAGAAACCUCAUCCGGGUAAUCCAUUACCUGCUUUUGGAGAGGAGGAAUGGCUUCAAAUGCUUAAGCCUAAAAAAUAUAAACAGGAAGCGAGCAAAAAAAAGUCAUAAUAACUAUAUUCAAUAUAACUUAAUGGAUAAGUUAAAAUAGUGAUUAAUUUUACCAUGAAAGCCUAAGGAAAGCCGUAUAAUGUGGUCGUCCUUGAGGAUUAUUUUUUAGUAAUUAUUGGACAGUUAAGUAGAAGUUGUCAUAUCCCCAGAUAUAAUUGUUGAAUUUAUCAAAAUCCUCAACACGCGCCAACAAAUCAUCUUCUAUGACCUUGUUGACAUCUCUUGCGAAUAUAACCAAAUGGGAAAACCAAACUAAGCAUAAUUGUUACCUGUACUGCUUUGGUAUGGUUUUAUCCAUGAGAUCAGUCAACAAAUCCGAUGCUUUGUAGCCACGUCGAGCAAUGUCAAAUAACCCAUCUAUUUUUUUCUUGCGUUUUCUUGCCUUGGAUCUUUUGCAGGGUGUUCUCUUGGCAAUAGGUGGUUCUUCUGGAUGAUGGCAUCUCAAGCCCGUCACUAUGGUAAACUCUUGCAAGCCAAAACAAACUGGUAUGCCACAGUAGUUGAUCCAUAUUUCAUCCAUCAUUUUGUUGCCCCCGUCCUUCAGAUCUUCAUCAUCCCCCACGUACUUGAUCUUGUGCUUGAGAAGACCAUAUAACAUCCUCAUAUGGAAAUGGGCAAGGGACUCAAACAGCUCAAUAAAACAUCCAAAGAAGCUCUUCUUAAAAAGUCUAUCUAUGUUUUUGUACUUCAUAAUUUUCCUAAAAUAAAUAAAUUUACUCCCCAUCUUACAUUUAAGUAUAAUUUCACCAGUUAGUUCUUAUUCUGCUUUUUUGUCAUUUAUCGGCAUCGCAACUUAAAACCUGUCAAUUCUAAAAGUUUUGAUAGGAUCAUGCUGGGAUGUCGAUAUUAAUUCACGCCCCAUUGGUGAUCCAUUAUCAUCAUGUUUAUAAUCAUCCUCUUUCUUUUUCUCUUUCUCACUCUCUAAUUUCUCCUCUUUCUCACUUUGAUUUUCUUCAUCACCGUCAAAAUACCCUUGUCCACCUCCCUCAAUGUUAUUUUUAUAUCUCUCCUCAACUUUACUUUUUUUCCCUGACUGAGAAUGUUCAAGAAGCUCCUCCGAAUCCCUCUGUACUGUAGCCUUUUUUGGGGGUGGUCAGACAUUGAUCCACUUUCACUUUCUUUUCUUUUGGGAGACAUAUUUUACCUACAAACAACAGAAAAAAUAAAAAUUACAUUACAAUUGAUGUAUGCAUAAAUUUUAAAAAAUACAUUACAAACACCACCAACAAAUGCCACAAAUACCACGAAUACUGACACCAUCGAUAGCCACCACAAACAUCCCCAACCAAUACCACCACAAACACCACCAACCAAUGCCACCAACAGCCACCACCAGUUCCACCAUGAUGACGACGACGAUGACCAUCACCAUAAUUACCACAAAUACCAACCAACAAUACCACGAUCGUCAAUGAAACAUUGCGAUAGAAACUAGGAUUUUCUCAAGUUCUUUCUAUGAUUUUACCAUCAAAACUAAAAAUUGUAAACCCAUUCUCGAAGAUAAUACAACUAAAAGUUUUCUUUUUCAUCAUUAACUUAAAAGUCCUAUUUUUUUAGAAAAAAAUAACAAAUAUAGAACUCUUCUCAAACUCUGUUACCUAUGAAGACAGAGAAAAUUACUGAUACAAGCAAGAAUGGAGUCAAAAAUAACAUCUAUGUGAUCGAAAAUGAGAAGAAAAUCAAUCUGUUGUGAAGGGUAGAGCAAUUUGUUAAGUAGUUGUAGUGGUUGUUUGUACUGUAUAAUUGAGUGAGAAAGAGAAAAGAGCGAGAACUCGAGAUUUAAAAUCAUGAAAUAUUUUUCUCUCAAAUAGAUGAUUUGUAAGGGUUGAUUUGUAUUUUGGAAAAGAAUGACAAGCUUUGAAAAUGUUAAUAUGGUCCGAAGUGACCUAAAUUAUUUUUUUAAAAUUAUAAAAGAUAUGCGUAAUUUUUAACACUCUUAUCAUGCAAUUGCCAAAAGACUCAAUUGAAGUUGUAGUUGACCCUAUGACAUAACUCACCCACCCCUGGUCCUAGAUUAAUCAAUUUAGGUAUAUGAACUCAAUUGAAAUUGUAUAAAAAUAAAUGUUCAACCUGUUACAUCAGAUAAUCAUCUAUUGUAAAUUAUCAAACAGAUUAAGUAAUCUGUUACGACAAAUUACCCAUCUGUUGUAAAUCAUCAAAUAGGGGCUUCCAUCUGUUGUAGUUUACCCUAUGAAAACUUACCCCUGGUCCUAGAUUAAUCAAUUAAGGUAUUAGUCUAACAUAUGAGGUAGUAAGAAUUGGUUUAGUUCAUAGUGAUCGAUCGACGACUCUGGUCGGGAGGAACGCAAUACCAUCUCACCAUUCAAUUGCCAAAAGACUCAAUUGAAGUAGUAGUUGACCCUAUGAGAACUGAACCUUGGUCCUAGAUUAAUCAAAUUAGGUAUUAGUCUAAAAUAUGAGGUUGUAAGAAUUGGUUCAUCUCAGAGUAAUCGAUCAACGAUUCUGGUCGGGAGGAAUGCAAUACCAUCUCAUUAUUCAAUUGCCAAAAAACUCAAUUGAAGUUGUACUUUACCCUAUGAGAACUUACCCCUGGUCCUAGAUUAAUCAAUUAAGGUAUUAGUCUAACAUAUGAGGUGCUAAGAAUUAGUUCAGCUUAGAGUGAUCGAUCGGUGACUCUGGUCGGGAGGAACGCAAUACCGUCUCAUCAUUCAAUGGCCAAAAAACUCAAUUAAAGUUAUAGUUGACCCUAUGAGAACUCACCCCUGAUCCUAGAUUAAUCAAUUAAGGUAUUAGUCUAACAUAUGAGGUAGUAAGAAUCAGUUAAGCUCAGAGUGAUCGAUCGACGACUCUGGUUGGGAGAAACGCAAUACCAUCUGAUCACUUAACUGCCAAAAUACUUAAUUAAAAUUGUAGUUGACCCUAUGAGAACUCACCCCUAGUCCUAGAUUAAUCAAUUAAGGUAUUUGUCUAACAUAUGAGGUAGUAAGAAUCGAUUAAUCUCAGAGUGACUGAUCGACGAAUAUAGUCAGGAGAAAUCCAAUACCGUCUUAUUAUUCAAUUGCCAAAAGAGUCAAUAGAAGUUGUAGUUGACCCUAUGAGAAAUCACCCAUGGUCCUAGAUUAAUCAAUUAAGGUAUUAGUCUAAAAUAUGAGGUAGUAAGAAUUGGUUCAGCUUAGAGUGAUCGAUCGAUAACUCUGGUCGGGAGAAACGCUAUACCAUUUUAUCAUUCAAUUUCCAAAAGACUCAAUUGAAAUUAUAGUUGACCCUAUGAGCCUGGUCCUAGAUUAAUCAAUUAAGGUAUUAGUCUAACAUAUGAGGUAGUAAGAAUCGGUUCAUCUCAAAAUGAUCGAUCGAUGACUCUGGUCGGGAGGAAAGCAAUACCAUCUGAUCAUUUAAUUGCCAAAAUACUAAAUUGAAGUUGCCGUUGACCCUAUGAGAACUCACCCUUGGUCCUAGAUUAAUCAAUUAAGGUAUUAUUCAAACAUAUGAGGUAGUACGUAUUGGUUCAUCUCAGAGUAAUCAAUCUACGACUCUGGUCUGGAGGAACGCAAUACCAUCUUAUCAUUCAAUUUCCAAAAAACUCAAUUGAAGUUGUAGUUAAUCCUAUGAGAACUUACCCCUGGUCCUAGAUUAAUCAAUUAAGGUAUUAGUCUAACAUAUAAGGUAGUAAGAAUUGGUUCAGCUCAGAAUGAACGAUCGACAACUCUGGUUGGGAGAAGAGCAAUACCGUCUUAUCAUUCAAUUGCCAAAAGACUCAACUGAAGUUGUAGUUGACCCUAUGAGAACUCACCCCUAGUCCUAGAUUAAUCAAUUAAGGUAUUAGCCCAAUAUAUGAGGUAGUAAAAAUCCGUUCAGCUCAGAGUGAUCGAUCGACAACUCUGGUCGGGAGAAACGCAAUACCGUCUCAUCAUUUAAUUGCCAAAAAAGUCAAUAAAAGUUGUAGCUGACCCUAUGAGAACUCAGCCCUGGUCCUAGAUUUAUCAAUUAAGAUAUUAGUCUAACAUAUAAAGUAGUAAGAAUCAGUUUAGCUCAGUGUGAUCGAUCGAUGACUCUGGUUGGGAGAAACGCAAUACCGUCUCAUCAUUAAUUCCCAAAAGACUCAAUUGAAGUUGUAGUUGACCCUAUGAGAACUUACCCCUAGUCCUUCAUUAAUCUAUUAAGGUAUUAGUCUAAUAUAUGAGGUAGUAAGAAUCGGUUCAGGUCAGAGUGAUCGAUCGACGACUUUGGUCGAGAGGAAUGCAAUACUGUCUCAUCAUUCGAUUGCCAAAAGACUCAAUUAAAGUUGUAGUUGACCCUAUGAGAACUCACCCCUGGUCCUAGAUUAAUUAAUUAAGGUAUUAGUCUAACAUAUGAGGUAGUAAGAAUUGGUUCAUCUCAGAGUGAUCAAUCGCGACUUUGGUAGGGAGGAAUGUAAUACUGUCUCAUCAUUCAAUUGCCAAAAGACUCAAUUAAAGUUGUAAUUGACCUUAUGAGUACUCACCCCUAGUCCUAGAUUAAUCAAUUAAGGUAUUAGUCUAAUAUAUGAUGUAGUAAGAAUCGGUUCAGCUAAGAUUGAUCGAUUAACGACUGUGGUCUGGAGGAACACAAUACCAUCUCAUUAUUCAAUUGCCAAAAGACUCAAUUAAAGUUGUAGUUUACUCUAUGAGAACUCUCCCCUGGUCCUAGAUUGAUAAAUUAAAGUAUUAGUCUAACAUAUGAGGUAGUAAGAAUUGGUUCAACUUAGAGUGAUCGAUCGACGACUUUGGUCGAGAGGAAUGGAAUACUGUCUCAUCAUUCGAUUGCCAAAAGACUCAAUUAAAGUUGUAGUUGACCCUAUGAGAACUCACCCCUGGUCCUAGAUUAAUCCAUUAAGGUAUUAGUCUAACAUAUGAGGUAGUAAGAAUUGGUUCAACUCAGAGUGAUCGAUCGACGACUCUGGUCGGGAGAAAUACAAUGUCGUCUCAUCAUUUAAUUACUAAAAGACUCAAUUAAAGUUGUAGUUGACCCUAUGAGAACUCACCCCUGGUCCUAGAUUAAUCCAUUAAGGUAUUAGUCUAACAUAUGAGGUAGGAAGAAUUGGUUCAGCUUAGAGUGAUCGAUCGAUGACUCUGGUUGGGAGGAACGCAAUAUCAUCUCAUCAUUCAAUUGACAAAAGACGCAGUUGAAGUUGUAGUUGACCCUAUGAUAACUCACCUCUGGUCCUAGAUUAAUCAAUUAAGGUAUUAGUCUAACAUAUGAGGUAGUAAGAAUUGGUUCAGCUUAUAGUGAUCUAUCGAUAACUCUGGUCGAUGACUCUUAUCGAAAGAAACGCAAUACCGUCUCAUCAUUCAAUUGCCAAAAGACUCAAUUGAAGUUGUAGUUGACCCUAUGAGAACUCACCUCUGGUGCUAGAUUAAUCAAUUAAGGUUUUAGUCUAAUAUAUGAGGUAGUAAGAAUCAGUUCAGCUCAAAGUGAUCGAUCAACAACUCUGGUAAAGAGAAAUGCAAUACCGUCUCAUUAUUCAAUUACCAAAAGACUCAAUUGAAGUUGUAGUUGACCCUAUGAGAACUCACCCCUGGUCCUAUAUUAAUCAAUUAAGCUAUUUGUCUAACAUGUGAAAUCAAUUAAAAUUGUAUUAAAACAAAUGUUCAACCUAUUGCAACAAAUGUCUUUUCUGUUGGAUUUAAUCAAAUAGAUUAAGUCAUCUAUUGCAACAUAUUACGCAUCUGUUACGACGGAUGACCGAGCUUUGGUAAUUUUCAAAUAGAAAUUUUUAUCUAUUGCACUUAGAUAUUUAAAGACCCUUUUUUUUCUAAAGCAAUUUAGGUAAUUCCUGUCCGAGAUAAAAAAAAAAGGUAAAAUACUAAGGCAGUAAAAAAUAUUACUUGGAUAACUCAAAAAUCUCCUGAGUGAGUAGUCUAAUCUGGUCUUUUCAAUGUCACCGUCUCCUUGUGCCCCUUAAAAGAUAAAAGUUAUUAAUGAAUAUUUACAACCUAUAUCUAGAAGAAUACUCUUUCCUUCAGUCAUAACAUAAGUAAGACUCAAGACUCAACUCAACUCAUCUAUCACUCUUUCUUUCUUUCCUUUUUGCCUCUUUUUUCUCUCUUCUUUCGAAUGAGGAUGCUUUCGGAUCUCAACCGAUCAAUAUCUUUUCUCGACUAAAUUGGAUGUUCUGAUCCCUUUACUUUUUUGACAUUGCAGGUAUGGUUCACUAUUGCUAUUUCCAUCUCGUCUUCUUUUUGGUAUGUCAUUUGAAUUAGAUAUUUACAUUUGUUGCUAUUGAUGAUUUACCCAUUACCUGUUUUUUAUUUAUUGAGAAAAUUGAACGAAAGGUGAUUUUUAAGUCUUGAAAGAACGAACCUUUGUUUUUAUAUCUGUUACAAAAUGCCUUAUCAAUUGAACAGAUGGGUAAUAUGUUCCAUCAGAUUGGUCAUCUGUUGAUUAACUUAAUUUUGUAUUACCCUUUGGUACAAAUAGAGCAAGUGUUUUUAGAAAUCAAACCAGUAGCAAGGCUGAUUUGAUUUAUUCAAAUAGAUGAUCCAUCUAUUGUAACAUGUCAUCCAUCUGUUGCAACAGAUGCCUCAUCAGUUGAGUAGAUGGGUAAUCUAUUAUAUCAGAUUGGUCAUCUAUUGAUUCUCUCAAUUUUGUGUUACUUUUGUAAUGUUCUUUUUCUUCUUCUUUUGUUUGACAUCAAAUGUAUUUCUCUUAUUUGUAGAUAAAAGAAAGUGAAACUAGAUCAUUUUUUGCCUGACCAGUAUCAAAGACUAGUGUAAAAAUGGGUUCAGAGGAAUAAGCUGCUUGCAGAUGGAACCACUUUAUAGGUGGGAGGUAUGUAUUACUGAUCAACUUAUCGUGAAAACACACAUCCAGUACAAUGAUUUUGUGAAUAUUUGUUCUUUACCUAUUACGCAUUAAUUCUUCAAACAAUAUAUGACAUUUUACAGUUAAGAUUGUUAGGUUCAAAAUAGUAAGGUUGAGGGACCAAGUAGGUGGUGUCGAUACCCUGUUACAAUUUAAUGACUAUUUAUGCUCAUGUUUUUAUGUCAAGUUUAGGGAAGGGUUCAAGUUUUUAGCGGCAGUGUAAAUAUUCAAUAGUGAUUGGACCGGUUUUAAUGGCUUAAUGGACUUCUUGAAAGACCUCCAAAGCCUCGCACUGCAGCAAACACUAAUGGAACUAAUAGAAAUUCCCCUGGUCCAAAUUUAUAUGGAUGGCUUAUUAGAGAAGACUAUUAUACAGCAGUAUGUGCUUGGGAGAAUACUUGUAUGGGAAGGGGGAGGUUGAGAAGGUCAUAUAUCAUCUCAGACCUUGUUUAAGAGAAAACACAAGUUAGGAAGGAAAGUGUAGCAAAAUUGGCUGAUGAAAUUGACAUGAAAAAUAAAAAAAUAGGAUGAGCUGCGAAUGUGAAAGCGUAUCCAAAAAUGAAAAUCCAUCAGUCGUUAAAGUAAAAGAAGAAUGCUCAAGAGGACUGAAGCUGGUCACUUUUCUAGAGACUACAACUAGUGAGCGUGGCCUCAAUGAAGACCCACAAAAUAUAGGACCAGAACUCUAAGGAAGUAGCUUCGCGAGCAUGGAAGGUUGUAAGAUUGUUGGUCAAAAUUGAAACCUGAACCAACUACUCCUGAAUUAAAAAUACGGGAUCAAGACAAGGUGGUAAUUUCUCAAGUUAAACUUGCAUCCCAUGCCUCCUGUUUAUGGCUCUGUUCAGGUCAAAGGCAGUGGAAACAACAAGGCAUGAGAUUUUUGUCUAACUUCAGACCUUUUUGUUUACUGCCAUCAACCUGAUCAUAGCCACAAACAGAAGGCAUGGUAUGCAAUUUUAACUUAAGAAAUUGCCACCUUGGCUUGAUCCCGUAUUUUUAAUUUAGGAGUAGUUGGUUCAGGUUUCAAUUCUAACCGACAAUGGUAUCAAUUUCCUUUACUCGUGAAACUUCUAUCUUAGAGCUCUGAUCCUGCACUUUGUGAGAGUCUUCAUGGAGGCCAUGCUCGCUUGUUACAUUCUUUAGCAAAGUGUCCAGCUCCAGUCCUGUUGACCAUUCUUUUUUUCAACGACUGACGGAUUUUUAUAUUUGGAUACAUUUCCACAUCUGAAGCUCAUCUAGUUUUCCAUUUCUCAUGUCAAUUUCAUUGGCCAGAUUCGCUAGAAUUUCCUUUCUUGCUCCCCUGUGUUUCCAUCCUCUUAAACAAGGUCUGAGAUGAUAUAUGGAUUUCCCUACCACCACCCCUUCCCGCACAGGUAUUCUCCCAAGCACCUUUUGUUGUAUAAAAGUCUCCUCCAGCAAUCCGUCUAUAUAAUUUUGGAAUAGGGGAAUUUCUAUUGGUUUCAUUAUUUUUUGCUGCAGUGCGAGGCUUUGAAGGCCUUUUAAGAAGUCCAUUGUACCAUUAAAACUAGUCCAAUCACUAUUGGAUAUUUACACUGUUGCCAAAAACUUGAACCUCUCCCCAAAAUUGACAAAAAAACAUAAGCAUAGACCGUUUUUAAAUUAUAAUAGGGUAUCGACACCACUGUAUUGGAACCCUUCAAUCUUAUCAGUUUGCACCUAUCAAAUUAAACUGUACAAUACAGGAUCUUAUUUGAAGGACUAGUGUCUAAUCUGUAAAAAAACUACAUUCACAAAAUCAUUGCACUUUAUGUGUGUUUGUCGCGGUAGACUGAUCAUAAUACAUAACUCCCAUGCAUGAAAGUAGAUCCAUUGCACGUACCUUAUUCUUCCUGCCCCAUCAAAGACACUACAGUAUUGUUUAUUCAUCUGCACACAUGUGAUGACUAUUAAAAAAGAGCUGUGAAGAGUCGUGACUUUUUAUCUUAACACAUUCAAAACUAUUGAUGAAUCAAAAUCUCUAUCUAUUGCAAUUGAUGAAUCAACUGUUGGAAGAAGUCAAAAUAUCUCCUCUAAUAUAUGGUCUAUCUGUCACAACAGAUAAUCCAUAUGUUGCAACAGAUUGUAAAUCUAUUGCGAUAGACCAAACAUUGUUUAUUCAUCUGCACGUAUGUGAUGACUACUAAAAAAGAGGUGAAGAGUCAUGACUUUUUGUUUAACACAUUUAAAAUAGCUGAUGAACCGAAUUCUCCAUCUAUUGUAACUGAUGAAUCAGCUGUUACAAGAAAUCAAAAUAUCUCCAACAUAUGAUCCAUCUGUCCCAACAGAUAAUCUAUAUAUUGCAAUAGAUGGUAAAUCUGUUGCGACAGACCGGACAAGGUUUAUUCAUCUACACGUAUGUGGUGACUAUUAAAAAAGAGGCAUUGGUGACUUUUUAUCUAACACAUUCAAAACAGCUGAUGAAUCAAAUUCUCUAUCUGUUGUAACUGAUGAAUCAAAUGUUAGAAGAAAUCAAAACAUCUCCAAUAUAUGGUCCAUCUGUCACAAAAGAUAAUUUAUAUGUUGCAACAAAUGGUAAAUCUAUUGUGGCAGAUAGACGAUCUAUUGCAACAGCUCAAUAAUAACGAUUGUUAUUAAUUCUCAAAACCAUUUUGAAAAGGUGAAAAGUAUUAAUGUAAACGAAAAAGUCACGACUUUUCACAGAAACAAAAUGUUACCAGUUUGAAUGUAAUUAAUACAAUGGAGCUUGACAGACGUGCCUUUUGUCCUUACACAUCCAGAUUCAAUCCUUUAUAAAUAGGUCCCUCAUUAAUCUUCAUUCUGCUAAACUUUAUUUAUUUUCUGCAUUUUUUCUUUUCAUGUGACAUCUUCAACAAUUUCUUCAAAGAGCAUAUUCCUUUGUCGUUGAGGUAAGUUUUUUCUGGUGUAAAUCUACCAGUUUGUAGUAUACGUUGUAUUACAUUUGGACUCUUUUGUUUACAUUUGUGAAUUCAUAAGUGUUCUAGAUAAGGCUGAUCCUGUUUGGGACAUUGCUAUUCUGCACAACACCAUAUGGGAACUACAGGUUAGUGACUUGUAGAUGGAGUUGGUCGCCAUGAGAGCGACGAUGUUCAGAGAGAUGCAAAGGUUGAUGAGGACCUUGCUGCUAUGAGUUGAUUGGCCGGCUGUCAUUAAUGAUGAUGAUGAUGAUGAUGAUAAUGAUAAUAAUAAUUACAAUGUGCUUUUUCUUUUAGCAUAUGUAUUUUAAUUUUUCUAUAUCGGAUCUAUACCUAAUGUAUUUUAGUUUUUGUUUAAUGAAAAAUUUAUUUUUACUUGACUUUGACUUUUAAUUUUUAUUCAAUUUUUAUUCUAUCUAUUUCUUCUUCUAAAAAUUUUACAUGUUAACAUGUCGACGGUUGGAGGUAAGGAGCAAUUUUGAAUCUAGUAGAAAUAGCAAUUUUGGCUUUUGAGUUCUUUCAACAGAUGGACCAUGUGUUAGAACAGAUUGGUCAUUGGUUGGGUUUUUGUCAAUAGAUUAUCCAUUUGUUGUGACAGAUUUAUCAUCUGUUGGAUGAAAACAUUCCAUUUUUACGGAAAUGUAUUAUUUUCUUCCAGCUAAUGUUCAUUUGUUGCCACAGAUGGGUAAUCUGUUGAAAAUACUUGUGGUCUGUUGUAUUAUUUAGUUUAUGUUUUGCCUUUAUUUAUUGAUGCACAAGUUAUUAAAAAAGAUAUCUUAUAUAUAUAAUAAAUGAUAACUUUACGUUCACAACAAUGAUUUAAAUAUAUAAAAGUACACCACAAACAACAACACAAGUUUUUGCAAUUACAACGAUCAUGGCAGAUUACGAUUCAGGCAUGUAGUUCUUUUGUGGCCAGCGAGCUUACAUAUGGAGCACUUGUUUCUUCUUGAUGAAAAUGAUUCUCCAACUCCACGCCUCCUCUUAUUUGGGUUUCUUCCCGGUUUGAUAGUGCUUGGGUCAAUAUAUGGAGGAGGUAUUAAUCUUCCCAUAAGCUCUGUAGGUCAAUAUAAGAAUGUACCUAUUCGAUGGACAGAAUACCCGGGACCAUCUCCCAAAACCGACACAUACAAGAAAUAAUGCUACCUUGGGAUUCACAUCUGUUAUUUGAUUGAAAUGGUAUAAAAACUCCUCUCUACUAUAUGCUUUAGUUGCUCUAUAAAAGAGGGUCACGAUCCUUUCAUUGUGAUAGUUGGUCCGAAUGGUCUCUCCAAGAUGCCUGAUGCAACAACCAAAGUAAGCUGAAGUAAAGAAACGUGAAAUCAUCUUUGAAAUACUUGGAUAAAUAUCCGAUACAAAACAUAACCCUUCGGUAUAUUCGACGCAGCUUCGCAGCUGUUUAAGAAAAAAUCUAUUAGAGGCAUCACAUUCCUUGUCCGCUACAUAAAAAGCGACAGGAAAGAUGUGAUUCUCUGCAUCCUGUGCCACCAUCGCUAGCAGAACUCCAUUAUACCUGCUCCUCAAGAAGGUACCGUCGACGGCUGUGCCUUUUCUCAAAUGUCAAAAAUCUUGAAUCCAAGCACCAUAGGAUACAAAAAAGUAAUUGAACCUUCCGUUUUCAUCAAGAUGCAAUGCCGUCUUACUUUCGGAAUUUGUGGACUCAAUCAUGUAACGGUAGGCAUCCAGGACUGCAUACCCAUGCUCGAGUGUCCCCCUAACCAAGUCCUUGGCAAUCCCCAUGGCUACAUAUAUCUUCCAAUAACUGACCAGGAUACCCAAUUCCACAAGGAUUUGAUUGGCCAUAACCCUUGUUGAAGGGCCUUUGCCAUUAGGGAAACUACUCCUGAAAUAUUCAUCGAGGACCUUUGUCGUGGCGUGAGUAUUUUGGCCCGAGAUGUGAUCCGAACCACAUGUGUGAUGCUUUUCAUGUUUAUGAAUGUCAAAUCUAUCAAAACCUAUGUACUUCGCCGCUCUCAACCACCACUUGCAUUUUGAAUUAGCACAUUUGAAGCUAAAGACACUGCUCAAAUUAAUCACCUUCUUUAUUCUGAAAUCUUUUUUCAAGCAAAAAAUAAACAAAGUUGUAGAUAGUUUAUUCUUGUCCUUGAAUGACAUUCUAAUAAAAAAUCCGUUCCCAUCGUCUUGAAGACUUUCAGACUGUGUCAAUUGAGAAGAACUGCACAUCGUAUUGGUCGCAUCAACGGGCGUAGGUGUUUGAUCUUCAUCUGGAAUAUUCAUGUCUAGAUCAUCCAACCUAUCAUCAAAUAUAUCUUGUUGUUGUUUUUCUUAUACGUUAUGAUUCUCAUUCUCUGUAGUCUUUUCAACCACGCACACCCUUAACACCGGCCUAGAUGAAUCACUAAGAUAAGCACACAAUCAAACCUGAUCGGUUAUCUUAAAAGGCAGUACCCUCUGAUUUUCAAAGGAGCUGUGCAUGUAGCUGUUGAUAAGUUCUUCCGAUUGAUAAUUCAGUCCACAAUAACUGAUGAUUAAGUUCACAAAAUCAUCAUACAAACAACACUUUGGACAGUCAUAGCUAUUAUCUUUAGCAUUUCACCCUCGUUCCAACGCCAUACAUAUCGAUUGCUCUUCGCGAUCCAUUGACCAUGACAAUCCACCCCUAUUAUUAUUGAUCCCUCCAUUAGUGGUACCUAAAUAAAGUCAUUUGUUAAAAAAAGUUAAUGGUGAUUUCAUAGUGCCGUGAAUGAAUCCCAACAGAUGUGUAAUCAGUUGCAACAGAUUACUUACCUGUUGGGAUUCAUGUUACGCUCCUAAAGCUUAUUUCAACAGAUGAGUCAUUUGUUGUAACAUGUGAAUCAUAUAUUGCAAAAGAUUAUAUAGUUGUUGGGAUUGAUAUUAUAGUACCGAGGCACCUUUGAAGCUGAUUCCAAUAAAUGAGUGACAUGUUCCAACAGACAAUUAACCUAUUGCGACAGAUGAUUUACCUAUUGCAACAAACUAUGAUCUGUUGGAAUCGAGGUCAGGUUCUAUCACAACAGGUUAUUAAUAUAUUGAAAUAGAUAUUUACCAUCUGUUGGAAUAGAGCUUGAGUUCUGUUGCAACAGGUUAAUAAUCUGUUGCAAUAGAUACUUACCUUGUUGCAACAGACAACACGUCUGUUGGAAUCGAGUUCAGGUUUUGUUGCAACAAGUUUAUAAUAUGUUGUAACAGAUAUUUAUCAUCUUGCACCAGAUAACUAAUCUGUUUAAAUAGAUAAAUCAUCUGUUGCAACAGAUAACCCAUCUGUUUGAUUCAUGUUACGGUAUAUAGAACCAUAAACAUGAAUCCAACAUAUCAGUCUUCCGUUGAAACAGAUGUCUUAUCUGUCAUAACAGAUGAUUUAUUUGUUUAAACAGAUGGGUCUUAUGUUGGAUUCAUGAUCAGGUUCUAUCCAUUAUUGGAAAAACAGCACAAUAGCAAUUACCCAGAUGAAAAAUUCAACUAAACAUCAUAAUUUUACUUACCAAAGUCUCCUAUGAAGUAAUGCCAAAGUGGAAAGUGAUAUACGAAACAAGAUUUGACCUAAGAAAUUGAUCAAAUAGCAACAGUAGCGAUAACAACAACAACAACAACGAAAAUGGUCAACAAGAAGAAGAUGAAGAUGAUAAUGAAGUAGAAGAUGAUGAUAAUGAAGCAGAAAAUAAUGAAUAAAGCAGCAGCAACAAUGAACAACAAAAAUUGCUAAGAGAGAGAAAACAAUCAUGGAUGAGAAGAGAGAGAAAGAUGCCUUUUUUCCCUCCUUUCCCGUUAUAUUAGGUAAAUAUUUGGAUCAAAGUAUAAAUUUUAAAACUCCUGGGCUAUUCUCAAACUUACCAAAUUUUCUUAAUCUAUAAUAAAGAAAUUGUCACCUCCACUUAAUAAUUAAGACUUAUGUUACCUACACCUCAUUUUAAAACUCUUUUGUCACUUACAGCCCAAAGCCCCUAGUUUGUGGGGCAUUGAAAGAGAGAGUAUUGGUUUUCAUGGUUUGAAAAAUAAGAUUUAAAUAAUAUAUGUUAAAAAUCGAUUAAAAAUAGCCUACGUUAAAAAUAAAAGUAAGAGUUAAAAAUAGUCCAAAGUUAAAAAUAAAUGUAAAGAUUAAAAGUAGGUUUAAAAUAGGUAUGGAUUAGAAAAUGGCUGACAGUUUUUCUUCAAUAAAUUCACAGAUCCAUGAGGAUCGAUGAAGGCUCUUGAUACCACUAUUAUGGAAUGAAAAAGAUAAGAAAGAAAAUUAAAUAGAAACUGAAUGACAACUCUUGAUAUUGAUUCUUUUCAUUGAUUCAAAUAGAAGAGUACAUCUCUAUUUAUAAGAAACUAAAUAAAACAAAGAGAAAAUACUCAAUUACCCCCUGAACUAUACCUAAAAAGGCUAUGACAUACCUCAACUUAAAGGGGGUCCUAUUACCCCCUGAACUAAUUAAAAGUGUAAUUUUGACACCCUUAGUGCCUACCUGGCACAUAUGUGGCACACACGUGUGCCUACGUGGACAUUUCAAUGUCUUGUGCCACGUAUGUGCUACAUAGGCUUGUUGAUAUCCCUAUAUAUAUUUUUCUAUUUCCCUUUUUAUACAAAAUUAUAAAGGGUUAAAAUCUUUUUACCUUCCUUAAUUUUACUUUAAAAAUCAAACUUCCUCCUCAAUUGUAACAAUAAAUAUUCUCCCUCCUUUUUUCUAUUUGUCUUUUUAAAUACCUAUUUUACACUUACUCUAUUAAUCUUUAUUUUUCUUUACCUAUUUAAAAUCAUGAUUUUUUUUUAAUUUUGUAAUAUGUUUAGCAAAUUUCUUUAAACAAAAGUUAAGUAUUAUUUUCUAGACGAAAAAAGAAAGUUAGAAUCCUUAAUUUAAUUUAUUAUAUAAGUAAUUAUGUUCUAAAUGAAAUAAAAAAAAUAAUUUAUUCAUAAUAAUCAAAACUGUAAUAUCUAUUUAUACAAGUGAAAAUAAAAAAUAAAAAUAAUGUAAUAAAAAUAUUUCAAUGCAUUUAAUAUAAUAAUAUUUAUAAAGAGGAGAUGUAUUUUAUAACAAAUUAGUUCCUAAAGUUUCCUUAUAUUGUAAAUAAAUUUUAAUUUAUUAUUUAGAAUAUUUCAUUAAUGACAAUCAAAACUUAUUUAUCUACAUAAACAAUAGAAAAUAAGAGAAGCGAAACUUAAAUAUGCACACAAUACAUGUGCAUACAUAUGUAUAUAUACAUACUUAAUGCAUGUAAUAAAAUAGCAAUCAUAAAAAAUAGUAUUAGCUUUUCUGACAAGUUCAUAAAAAUAUUAUUUUUACUUAUAAUACUAAAGAAUUUUAAAUAAAAAAUAUAUAAAUACUUAAGUAAAAUAAAUAUGUAGAGUAUAAAAAGAUAUUAUAUAGGUGAAAAAUUAUAAAUGUCAAGGUCAAAAUAGACAUUGUCAAGGUAAAAGGGAAAGGAUACUUAUUAUUCAGAGUUGAAGUGAGAAUUUGAUUUUUAAAAUAAUGUUGAGAGAAAAAAAACGUUUUUCACCCAAUUAAAGAUGUAGCAAUGAUUAUGGGCAAAAAGGUGCAUAUAUUAAUAAAGAAUUAUAUUUUUUGGUAAAUUAUAAAGAUAUAAGAUAUACAUUUAAUGGAAUAGAAUAAAUUAAUUCGUUUCAUGAAAAAAUUAUAUAUAUAUAUAUAUAUAUAUAUAUGCAUGUAUGUAGGGGGUUUGGGCCACAGGUGACAAAAGAGUUUUAAAAUGAAGUGUAGGUGACACAAGUCUUAAUAAUUGAGUAGAGAUGACAAUUAGUUAAUUAUGGUAUAAGAAAGUUUUGGAAAUUUCAAAAUAACCUACAAGUUUUUAAAUUAACACCUUGAUCUAAAUGUUAGUUAAUAUAUAACGGGGAACGAAGGGAUAAAAGACGCCUUUUUCUCUUUCCUCAUCUAUUGUUAUUUUCUCUCUCUUCGCGAUAUUUGUUGUUCAUUGUUGUUGUUGCUUUAUUCAUCAUCUUCUGAUUCAUUAUCAUCAUCUUAUACUUCAUUAGCAUCUUCAUAUUCUUCUUAUUGACCAUUGUUGUUGUUGCUACCCCAACUGCUGCUCUUUGACCAAAUUCUUAUGUCAAAUUUUAUUUCGUAAAUCACUUUCAACUUUGAAAUUUACUUGAGAGGAGACUUUGGUAAGUCAGAUUAUGCUUUUUAGUUGAAUCUAGGUAACUGCUAGUGUGUUGUUUUUUCAACAAUAGCUUGCACGCGAACAUGAAUGCAAUACAAGAGCAAUCAGUUUAAACUGAUCCAUUAUCUGCGGCAACAGAUAAAUGUUCUGUUGUAACAGUAGACUCAUGUUGGAUGGAUACAUGUUUAAGGGUUUUAGGUGCCCGUAAUAUGAAUCGAAUAGAUCGGUAUUUUGUUGCACCAAAUUAGUAAUCUGUUUUAACAGAUAAAUAAUCUGUUUUAUCAUAUUACUAAUAUGUUUCGAACAAAAAAAUUCAGAUACAGCUCCUGUCACACACAAAGCCUAACAGAUAACUCAUAUGUUCUUGCUAUUGAUACUAGAAUCAAAUUAUUUCUUAAUUUUAGACAUGUCAUUCGUUAAGAAAUAAAAAUAGAUAGCACGAAAAUUAAAUAAGAAAUAAAAAGUCAAGUGCAUCAAACAUAAUUUUUUAUAAGACAAACAAAAAAAGUACAUAGAUAAUAGAAAAAAAAAAAAGCUUAAUUAUUAUUAUCAUCAUUAUUAACAUCAUUAUUAUUUGUAUGGCAAGCCAGCCAAUCUUCAAAAGAAAGCAGCAGCGCCCUCCGCAGCCUGCAGAUCUCCCACAGUAUCCUUACUGUGACGACGGCCAACUCCCAAUGCAAGUCAUGAACCUCCUUCUGCAGUUCCCUCAUGGUGUCUCGUAAAAUAGCGACAUACCACAAAGGAUCAAUCAUAUCUAUAAAAUGCAUAAGUUGACAAAACACACAGGUAAACACAAAAGUAAAGAAAAGAAAGAAUUCGAAUGUAAUAUAAUACAAAAUAUAUUUACACAAAAAUCAAGAAAAAAACUUACCAGAGACAGAAAAAAGCUAUCAAGUCCUUGAAGAGAAAGUAGUUGAAGGUGUAACAAGAGCGAGGAAUAAAUAGUGUGUAGUAGAACGAACGAUUGAGUAAGGAGGGACCUAUUUAUAAAGGAUUGAACUUGAAUAAGUUAGGCAAAAAAUCACAAAUUUUCACCUCCAUUUAUUAAUGACAUUCUUGAUUACUGUAAAAAGUUAUGACUUAAUUAAAUUAAUCAAUAUUAUGAUAAGUCAUGACUUUUCAGCUUUAUUAUUAUUAAUAAUUAUUUCUUUCCAGGAACCAUUUUAAUUACACUGUUUUGGACAAUAUAUAAUAUAUCUGUUACAUCAGAUAAAUCAUCUGUUACAACAGAUAUAUCAUGAUUUGCAACAAAUAGAUAACCUGUUGUAUCAGAUAAUAUAUCUGUUGCAACAUAUAAUAUAUAUUUUAAAAAAAAAAUUAUCUUCAUGACAUUCAAAUUUUCUGACUUUUUAAUUAUAUAAAUUAAUAAAGCAGAUUUAAAGGCACAACUGUUCAUCUCCAUUUAUUAAUGAUAUUCUUGAUUACUGUAAAAAUUUAUGAGUUAAUUAAAUUAAAUAAUAUUGUGAUAAGUCAUGACUUUUCAGAUUUUUUAUUAAAAUAAUUAAUUCUUUACAGGAACCAUUUUUUAUUUACAAUGAGUUGGACAACAGAUUAUAUAUCUGUUGCAUCAGAUAAAUCAUCUAUUACAACAAAUAUAUCAUCCGUUGCAACAAAUAGAUAACCUGUUAUAUAAGAUAAUAUAUCUGUUGCAACGUAUAAUUUAUAUAUUUUUUUAAAAAAAUAUAUUAUCUUCAUGACAUCCAAAUUUUUUUACUUUUUAAUUAUAUAAAUUAAUAAAGCAGAUUUAAAGGCACAGCUGUUCACCUUGAUUUAUUAAUGACAUUCCUGAUUAUUGUAAAAAGUUAUGACUUAAUUAAAUUAAUCAAUAUUAUGAUAAGUCAUGACUUUUCAGCUUUAUUAUUAUUAAUAAUUAAUUCUUUUCAGGAAUCAUUUUUUUACACUGAGUUGGACAACAUAUAAUAUAUCUGUUGCAUCAAAUAAAUCAUCUGUUACAACAGAUAUAUCAUGAUUUACAACAAAUAAAUGAUCUUCAUGACAUCCAAAUUUUUUGACUUUUUAAUUAUAUAAAUUAAUAAAGCAAAUUUAAAGGCACAACUGUUUACCUCUAUUUAUUAAUGACAUUCUUGAUUACUGUUAGAAGUUAUGACUUAAUUAAAUUAAACAAUAUUGUGAUAAGUAUUAACUUUUCAGCUUUAUUAUUAUUAAUAAUUGGUUCUUUUCAGGAACCGAUUUUUUUUACGCUGAGUUGGAUAGAUAAUAUAUCUGUUGCAUUAGAUAAAUCAUCUGUUAUAACAGUUAUAUCAUCAUUUGCAUCAAAUAGAUAACUUGUUACAUCAGAUAAUAUUACUGUUGCAACAUAUAAUAUAUAUAUUUUUUUAAAAAAAAUAAAUUAUCUUCAUAAUAUCCAAAUUUUAUGACUUUUUAAUUAUAUAAAUUAAUAAAGAAGAUUUAAAGGCACAACUGUUCACCUCCAUUUAUUAAUGACAUUCUUGAUUACUGUAAAAAAAUUUGACUUAAUUAAAUUAAGCAAUAUUGUGAUAAGUCGUGACUUUCAGCUUGAAGCUUAGCUUUAUAAUUAUUAAAAUAACUAGCUCUUUCCAGCAACCAUUUAUUUUUUACACUGAGUUGCACAACAUAUUAUAUAUUUGUUGCCUCAGAUAAAUCAUCUGUUAUAACAAAUAUAUCAUCCAUUUCAACAAAUAGUUAACCUGUUGCAUCAGAUAAUAUAUCUGUUGCAACAUAUAAUACAUAUAUCUUUUUUAAAAAAAAUUAUCUUAAUGACAUUCAAAUUUUCUGACUUUUUAAUUAUAUAAAUUAAUAAAGAAGAUUUAAAAACAAGAAUAUUUCUGGUGAGUUUUUUACGGUUUAAAUUGUGUUUAUCAUUUAUUUCCUUAUUCUUUUCUGUGAAAAGAAAUGACUUAAUUAAAUCAAGCUAGUGGUGAUUUCUUAUUAUUGUGACAAGUCAUGACUUUUCAUAUUAUUAAAUUUUGAAUAACCUUUUUCUCAAUUUAAAAAUCGAAUACACCUGAUUUUCAAUAACCGUUCUAUUUCUUUAAUAACCAUUUUUAUUAAUUGAGUUAUGGCAACAGAUUGUCUAUCUGUUGUAUCAGAUAACCCAUCUAUUGCUAUAAAUCGACCAUCUGUUUAAGGAGCUUUUUUUAUUUCUUCUAACUGAUUCAUAAGUCGCGAUAGAUGAGGAAUUUGAUGCAUCAAAAACGUUUUUUGUUUUUGUUUGUUUAUUGAAUGUGUUUAGACAAAAGUCACAGUCACGACUGUUCAUUAAAUUUUUUCUUAAAAUCAUAUCAUCAUAUAUAUAUUUUAAUUAAAUUAAUCCAAUGUUGUAACUUUUUUUAAAUUAAAUAAUCUUUUUUUUACGAUUAUAAUAUCAUUUAGUUCCUUAUUAUUUAUUAAUGAACCAUUUUUAGGAGAAUUUCCCAUCAUGACCGUAUCCCUAACUCCAACCGCCGACAUGUUGAUAAUAGGGAAUAAAUAGAAUGAUAAUUAAAUAUUGAAUAAGAAUCAAAAAUUCAAAAUCAACCAAACCAAACCAAACCAAACCAAACCAAACAUAUACAUGGAUUUUUUUGAAUCCCUUAUAGGUAGAUCGUAUAUAAAAAGGGGAAAUACAUAUGGUAAAAGAAAGAAAAAACAUAACCUAAUUAUUAUUAUUAUUAUUNNNNNNNNNNNNNNNNNNNNNNNNNNNNNNNNNNNNNNNNNNNNNGCCGGAGGGACCUAUUUAUAAAAUGAUUGAAUUGGAAGGGACUGGACUUAGUCAAACAAAAAGCCACGACUGUUCAUAUCCCUUAAAAGGAAAAAUUACACAAAUCUCAUAUUUAAGACACCAUAUUACAUAAUAUCCCUUAAUGUUUUAAAAAAUUACAUAAAAUCUCGGAUUUAUAUUUACUAGCAAUACAUAUGCUAUAUGUAUCACUACUGUAUACAUAUGUAUAAACUAGUGAUAUAUAUACAUAUGUAUCGCUAGUCCAUAUAUGUAUCACUGCUUAACAUAUGUAUCACAAUUCAAAAUUUCGGGAUAAGAUGUAAUUAGCAAACUAUCCGGGAGUUAAUGUAAUAUUGCUGAAACUAUCCGGGAUUUAUGUGUUGUGUGUGUUAGUGUUACUUAAAUAAAACUAGUGACUUUAUCAAUAAGUAAAUUAGAAAAAAACGGAUCUGAAUACAACAUUUUAUCUUUUUGUUGUAUUUCCGAAAGAGAAAGAUUGGUAAUCUGCUGCAAAAUAUAUUCCACCUGUCAGAUAACUUACAACAUAUGGACAAUCUGUUGCAACAGAUAGAUAUAUCAGUUUGCUUUUCCAUCAGUUGUGGCGUCUGUUGCAACUUGCUAGUCAUCUGUUUAUUCAAUUUCAUCGAGAGCAAUCGAUUUUUCUAAACACUUCUUGGCCACAUUCAAUUUUUGCUAUUGGAUUGCUUCUCUUUUUUUCUUUGCAUCCUUCAACCAAACUAAAUUUUUGCUAUUGGGUUGAGCGAAAAAUUGAAUUUGGAGGCCAUCUUGAAGGAUGCAAAGAAAAAAAAAGAAGCAAUUCAAGAGCAAAAACUGAGUUUGGCCAAGAAGUGUUUAGAAAAAUCUAUUGCUCUCGAUGAAAUUAAAUAAGCAGAUGACUAGCAAGUUCCAACAGAUGCCACAGCUGAUGGAAAAGCAAAUUGAUAUAUCCAUCUGUUGCAACAUAAUGUCCAUAUGUUGUAAGUUAUCUGACAGGUGGAAUAUAUUUUGCAAUAGAUUAUCAAUCUGUCUCUUUCGAAAAUACAACAAAAGGAUAAAAUGUUGUAUUUAGAUCCUUUUUUUUAAUUUACAUAUUAAUAAAGUCACCUGUUUUAUUUAAGUAACACACACAAUACAUAAAUCUCGAAUAGUUUCAGCAAUAUUACAUUAAAUCUCGGAUAAUUUGCGUCAGAUAUGGAGUCUGUUGCAUCAGAUAUGGAGUUUAUUGGAAUACAUAGAAGCCUUCCUGAUGGUUUGAUUUGUUCCAUUAGUUGCUCCAUCUGUUGUAAUAUCAACAACAGUAUAAACGACAAACAACAAAUAAAAAAUAUCAACAACAAAGAAAACAACAACAUUUGUUCCAACAACAUCAUCAACAACAAAGAAGCAUACAUCCUAUGUUCCAACACCAUCAACAAUAAGGGACGGACCCACAUGGGGUCCUCCGGGUGCGCGAACACAGACUGAACUCAUAUCAAACUUUAUAUAUGUAUGUGGAAAUAAAUAAAAAAAUGUAUAUAAACUAAUCAGUGAGAACCCAUAGUAAGAGUUGUUUGGUUAGCCUAGUUGUUUAUGGGUGCUUAAGGCUAUUUAUUUCCUUUGGUCUUGAGUUCAAUUCCCACUCAGCACAUAUUUUUUUAAUUUUGGUAAUCAACUCUCCUAUCGUUAUUCACUUUAAACUUUUUAUUUUUUUCUCCCUUACUCCUUAUGUUGAUUGUUCGGACUCUACUAUUUUUAAGCUAAGAAGCAUCCACCGUCUAAAUCACACCACACCACAAGUUCCAACAAUUCCAACCCCACGAACAACAUCAAUAACAGUAUCAACAACAAAGAAACAAACAAAAUACAUAAAAAAAAAUGAUACUGCCAACAAGGCUUUUAAACUUCUCCCAACAGAUGACUUUUUUUUGCAUUUUAUAAUAAAAAUUCUCGGUAUGUUUAACCAACAAUUAAAAGUUCCUUCAAAUUUUUUAAAUAAAUAUGAUAUGGGAAAAUAGUAAUUAAAUAAACAAAAAAAUGUAAAUAAAGUUACAAGAAGAAGACGAGAAUGAAAGAGCAAUAGUGAAUCAUAUCAUACCUUAAUGUCAAAAAGGGGUCAAAACAAUAAUUUCAGUCGAGGAAUCUAAGAUAUGGAUAUCAAUCAGUUUAGAUUCAAAUAAAACUUUUUUAGAAAGAUAAGAGAAAAAAAAGGUUGUGAUAACCCUAAAGAGGAUAGAAAGAAAAAAAUGAGAGAUUUAGGACUGAAGGAGGGGAGAGGAGCGAUGAGAUAAUUCUAAUUUCUAGAUGUACUACCCUUAAUAUUAAAUGACUAAACAAAGUGUAUUUAUUCAAAUUUGUAUUUUCAAAGCAUAAUUAAUAAGACUAAUUUGGUAGUAAAAUAAACCCCCUAAUUAAAAUUUUCUUGAUGGGAGUGCCAAGUCAAUAUGAAACGAAAAAAGUAUUAGAGGUUUCAAUAUUCAUUAAUUAAUAUUCACUAAUAAUUUGAGGGGCACGAGGGGGAAAACGGGUGACAUUGAAAAAAUAGGACAAGACUUCUCAAUGAAAUUUUUGAGUUAUCCAAGAAAUAUUUUUUACUGCCUUUAGUAGUACUAAUACUUUAUCUACUCAGACAGUAGCUUGCUUUAAAAUUAAAAGAAAACAAAAAGAUUUUCAAACAGAUAUGUCGUCUGUUGCAACAGAUUUAGAUAUCUGUUUGAGAAAUUCCAACAGGUGAGUCAUCUGUGACAACAGAUGGAAAUGUCAUUUGAUAACUAAAUCAGAAACGUCAUCUGUUGUAACAGAUAUAUAUAUAUGUUUGAAAAUUUCCAACAGCACAGUCAUCCGUCAUAACAGAUGCAAAUGUCUAUUUGAUAAUUAAAUAAGAAAUGUUAUCUAUUGCAACAGAUAUUAUUAUCUGUUUGAAAUUCUCCAAUAGCUCAGUUUUUUGUUGCAACAGAUUUCAUUACAAAUGAUUUAGGAUGAACUAGGGAUGAAAGAAUGAGCUCCUCAUUAACUUAAUAUUAAGAUUAAUAAUAGUAUCUACAUCGAUCUAGAUGGAAUGAGGAAUGAAUGAAUGAGAUCACAGGGUCAACUACAAAUCCAAUUAAGUCGCUGCAUUUGCAUGGUGUUAGUAUUGCGUUCAUGACGACCUGAGUCAUCGAUCGAUCACUCUGAGUUGAAAUGUGUUCUCAUUAACUUAAUGCUAAGAUUAAUAAUAGUACCCACAUUGAUCUAGGUGGAAUUGGGGAUGAAUGAAUUAGCACAAAGGGUCAACUACAACUUCAAUUGAGUUUUUUGGCAAUUGCAUGAUGAGACGGUACUGCAUUCCUCCUGACAAGAGUCAUCGAUUGAUCUCUCUGAGAUGAACUGAUUCUUACUACCUCAUAUAUUUAACUAAUACCUUAAUUGAAUAAUCUGGUACUAGGGGUGAGUUCUCAUAGGGCCAACUAUAACUUUAAUUGAGUCUUUUAGCAAAUGCAUGAUAAGACGGGACUGCGUUCCUCCCGACAAGAGUCAUCAAUCGAUCACUCUGAGCCGAAUCGAUUCUUACUACCUCAUAUGUUCAACUAAUACCUUAAUUAAUUAAUCUAGGAUUAGGGGUGAGUUCUCAUAAUAUCAACUACAAUAGUUGACAGCGCCUAUUUGAUAAUUUACAACAGAUGGGUAAUCUGUCGUAACAGAUGACUUAAUCUAUUUGAUAGUUUAUAAUAGAUUCGUGAUCUCUCAUAACAAAUGAAUCAAUUUGUUUGAUAGUUUACAAUAGAUGGAUAAUAUGUUGUAACUGAUUACAUAAUUUGUUUGAUUUGAUCCAAAAGAAAAGACAUUUGUUGCAACAUGUUAAACAUUUGUGUAUAUAUAUUUCAAUUGAGUUCAUAUGUUAGACUAAUACCUUAAUUGAAUGUGAGUUCUCAUAGGGUCAUCUACAACUUCAAUUUAGACGUUUGGAAAUUGCAUGAUGACACGGUACUGCGUUCCUCCCGACCAGAGUCGGCGAUCAAUCACAUAUGUUAGACUAAUACCUUAAUUGAUUAAUAUAGGACUAGGGUACUAUUACCUUAAUUGAAUAGUCUAGGACUAGGGGUGAGUUCUCAUAGGGUCAACUACAACUUUAAUUGAGUCUUUUGGUAAUUGCAUAAUGAGACAGUACUGCGUUCCUCCCUAUAGAUUCGUCGAUCGAUCACUCUGAUCCAAACUGAUUCUUACUAUCUUAUAUGUUAGACUAAUACCUUAAUUGAUUAAUCUAGGACUAGGGUACUAAUACCUUAAUUGAAUAGUCUGGGACUAGGGGUGAGUUCUCAUAGGGUCAACUACAACUUCAAUUGAGUCUUUUUUCAAUUGCAUAAUGAGACGGUACUGUGUUUCUCCCGACAGAGUCGUCGAUCAAUCACUCUGAGCCAAACCGAUUCUUACUACCUCAUAUGUUAGACUAGUACCUUAAUUGAUUAAUCUAGGACUAGGGUACUAAUACCUUAAUUGAAUAGUAUGGGACUAGGGGUGAGUUCUCAUAGGGUCAACUACAACUUCAAUUAAGCCUUUUGGAAAUUGCAUAAUGAGAUGGUACUGCGUUCCUCCCGACAGAGUCGUCGAUCGAUCACUCUGAGCCGAAUCGGUUCUUACUACCUCAUAUGUUAGACUAAUACCUUAAUUGAUUAAUUUAGGACUAGGGUACUAAUACCUUAAUUGAAUAGUCUGGUACUAGGGGUGAAUUCUUAUAGAGUCAACUACAACUUCAAUUGAGUCUUUUGUCAAUUGCAUAAUGAGACAGUACUGCAUUCUUCCCGACAGAGUCAUCAAUCAAUCACUCUGAGUCGAACUGAUUUUUACUACCUCAUAUGUUAGAAUAAUACCUUAAUUGAUUAAUCUAGGACUAGGGUACUAAUACCAUAAUAGAAUAAUAUAGGACUAGGGGUGAGUUCUCAUAGGGUAAACUAUCAAUUAAUCUAGGACUAGGGGUGAGUUCUCAUAGGGUCAGCCACAACAGAUGGCAGCGCCUAUUUGAUAAUUUAUAACAUAUGGGUAAUCUGUUGCAACAUAUAACAAUUCAUUUGAUAAUUUACAACAGAUGGGUAAUUUGUAGCAACAGAAGACUUAAUCUGUUUUAUAAUUUACAUCAGAUUCAUAAUCUGUUGUUACCUAAUCCGAUUGAUAAUUUACAACAGAUGAGAAAUUUGAUGCAACAUGUUGAACAUUUAUUUUUUACAAUUUAAAUUGAGUUCUGAUGUUAGACUAAUAGUACCUAAAUUGAUUAAUCUAGGACCAGGGGUGAGUUUGCACACGAUCACCUCCUAGAGUACUCGGUCAACUACAACUUCAAUUAUUUUUAUACAAUUUCAAUUGAAUUACCCUUUUGACAAUUGCAUGAUGAGAGGGUUAAAAAUUAUGCAUAUAUUUUAUGAUUUUAAAAAUAAUUAAGAUUAUUUCGGACCAAAUUAACAUUUUCAAAACUACUUGUUAUUCUAUUCCAAAAUAUAAAUCAACCCAUACAAAAUGCUUCAUCAUUUCAAAUAUCGAGGUCUUGCUCUUUCUCUCUCAUUCUCACUCAACAAUACAGUACAGACAAUAACUACUCAACAAAUUUGCUCAACCCUCCACAAUAGAUCACUUUUCUUUCCGACCAUAUAGGUGUUAUUUUUUACUUCAUUCUUGCUUGAAUCAGUCAUUUUCUUUGUCUUCGUAGGCAACAGAGUUCGAGAAGAGCUCUAUAUUUAUUUAUUUUCUAAAAAAUAAUGGCUUUUAAGUUAAUGAUGAAAAAUAAAACUUUUAAUUGUAUUAUCUUCGAGAAUGGGUUUACAAUUUUGAGUUUUGAUGGUAAAAUCGUAGGAAGAACUCGAGAAAUCCCUAGUUUUUGUCGUAGUGUUCCGUUGACUGGCGUCAUAUAGUUGAAUGAUGUUUUUGGUGUUGGUGGUGGUGGUGGUGGUGGUCAUCGUGGUGGCAACGGUGGUGGUAUUGGUUGGUGGUGUUUGUGAUGGUGUUGGUAUUCGUGGUGUUUGCUUGUUUGUUGGCAUUAGUUGGUGGUGUUUAUGGUGGUGGUUGUUGGUGUGUCGGAAUUCGUAGUGUUUGUAAUGUAUUUUUUAAAAUCUAUGCAUACAUCAACUGUAAUGUAAUUUUUGUUUUUCUUUGUCUAUAGGUAAAGCAUGUCUCCCAAAAAAAAUGAAAGUGAAGGUGGAUCAACGUCUGACCACUAAAAAAAAGGCUACAGUAUAGAGGGAUUCGGAGGAGCUUCCUGAACAAUCUCAGUAAGGGAAAAGUGAAGCUGAGGAGAGAUGUGAAAACAACGUUGAGGGAGGUGGACAAGGGUCCGUAAAUGGUGAUGAAGAAAAUAAAAGUAAGAAAGAGGAGGAAUUAGAGAGUCAGAAAGAGAAAGAGGAUGAUCAUCAACAUGAUGAUAAUGGAUCACCAACGGGGCGUGAGUUAAUAUCGACAUCCCAGCAUGAUCCUGUCAAAACUUUUAGUAUUGAUAGGUUUCAAGUUGCGAUGCCAAUAAAUGACCCAAAAGGAAAACAACUAACUGGUCAAAUUGUACUUAAAUGUCAGAUGGGGAAGAUUUUUUAAACAUUUUAUGAAAAUUAUGAAGAACGAAAACAUAGGCGAACUUUUUAAGAAGAGAUGCUUUGGACGCCUUCUUAAGCUGCCUGAGGACCCCUCUUCCCGUAUUUGUUUCCUAUAAUGAUGAUAUAUGGUCUUCUUAAGAGCAGGAUCAAGUACGCAGGGGAUGAUAAAGAUUCGGAGGAGGGGGGGAAAGAAAAUGGAUGAAAUCUGGAUCAACUACUGUGGCAUGCCUGUUUGUUUUAGCUUGCAAGAGUUUGCCAUAGUGACGGGAUUGAGAUGCCAUUGUCCAGAAGGACCCCCACCCCACAAAAGAUCCAAGGCAAGAAAAUGUAAUAAAAAAUAGAUGGGUUGUUUGACAUUGCUCGAUGUGGCUACAAAGCAUUGGAUUUAUUGACAGAUCUCGAGGAUAAAACCCUACUAGAGCAGUACAGGGAGCAAUUGUGCUUAGUCUUGUUUGCCCAUUCGGUUAUAUUGGAAAGAGAUGUCAACAAGGUCAUAAAAGAUGAUUUGUUGGCGCAUGCUGAGGAUUUUGAUAAAUUCAACAAUUAUCCUUGGGGAUAUGACAGCAUCUACUUGACUGUCCAAUAUUUACUGACAAAGCUAUCCUCAGGGACGACCAUAUUAUACGGCUUUUCUUGGGCUUACAUGGAAAAAUUAAUCACUAAUUUUACUCAUCCAUUAAUUUAUAUUGAAUAUAGUUAUUAUGAUUUUUUUUGCUUGCUUCCUGUUUACAUUUUUGAGGCUGGGACAUUUGAAGCCACUCCUCCCCUCCGAAAGCAGUUAAUGGAUUACCAGAAUGAGGUUUCUCAUCCAAGGAUGUUUAGGUGGUUGGCUGCAAAGAGCAACGCCAAUAUUAAGGAGGCUGAUAUCUUUAACCCUCCGAAUAAUACAGUACGUCUUCUUCAUGUAAAAUAAUUCUACUCAAAGAUAAGAAAGAUAUUGAACAAAUGUUAUAUCUGGUGCAACAGAUGUUAUAUCUGAUACACCAAAUGGGACAUCUGUUGCGACAGGGUAUAUCUUGCAUCAGGUUACUUAUUUGUUGCUUUGGUUCCCUGAACCCAACUCCUAAAAGAUUAACCAUCUACUACAAAUUAUGCAAUAGAUGUUUAAUAUGAUAAGAUAUUAUUUAUCUGUUGCGACGUAUAGAUCAUCUGUUGCAUAAUAGAUUACCUGUCUUGUACAAUUAUUGCAACAAAUGAUUGAUAUUUUGCAUCAGAUUAUCCAUGUGUUGCUCUAUUUCUCUGAACUAGACCCAAGCGAGUUUUAAUCAUAUACUACAAACUACGCAACAGAUAGGUCUUUUUUUUAAAACGUAGUCCAACUGUGAAAAUUAUUAUAUUAUAUGAUUUAAAUGCAUCUGUCUUUUUGUUCUUUCUUAUAGGUUAUGCAUCCAUGGAUCGUACCUACUGAGGACGAGUCAGUAAUGACUUUUUAUAUUACUUUAGGUCAUGUUGAUACUAUAGCAAACCCAACGGUGGAGUUAAUAAAAAAUGAAUUGGCUGGAGGAAUAGCCAUAAGAAGAGCAGUUAGGUAGGGUCAGCCUAAUAUUGAGGCUCUUCAUGAACAACCUUUUACUAAGGCAGAUCCGGGUACUUCUUCUGGUGGAGUUGUUGGUGUUGGUGGCAGGCAUGUUGAUGUUGCUACCACUCAUGAUGAUGAGCAUGUUAAUGCUCAAUAAAGAAUAAAUAUGUUUGAAAACACCUCUUUUUUCCUUUACACAGGUCCCUCUCACCCCUUUUCACCCUCAUGUUCUCGUUGCAAAUGCGAUGAUUGCAAGGAUAAACAGGAUAAACUCUUUGAGAAAGUAGAGGCUAUCUCUAAAUCUAUAGAGGAAUUCAAAUCCAAGAGGUGUGUCAUACCAUCCAAGAAGGUAAGAGAGCCACACACUCCUACAACAUUGGUUAGGAGAAAGAAAAGAGUAAUUAGAGACAUACUCUCUGCUCGAAAAUCAAAAGAAAUUAUAAUUCCUCCCUCUCCAAAAGCUUUUGAAGUUUAGGGUAUAGUUAAGAAAGUGUACAUAUACACGGAACUUGGCGCCGAAGAGAAGAGAGAUCUGCGACAGGCCAAGAAUGCCAAGCCAGGCGCACCAGAUUACCCCAGGCCUCCCUUUUCCCCCCAAGACUUCCAUACUAUGACUGAUAUACAUAUACCGUAUGAGGACAAGGCAAGUUUACUUUUCCUAACCUAACUCUUAUAAUCUACCCCAUGAAGAAGAAGCCACGCAACAGAUUUCACAUUUGUUGCAACAGCUGGGUAAAAUGGUGCAACUGGUAGUGGUUAUGUUCCAACUUAUUAUCCAUCUGCUGCAUAAGUUGCGUUGGAUUAUUGAUUCAGAGAACCCUAUGCAAUAGAUGAACCAUUCGUUGCAUCUUUACAAUUACUAACCUAUUUAAAAAUUGACUUCUUAUCUCACAGCAUGUUGACAUAAUUCUCUGCCUCAUGAGGAAAAGGCAAUUAAUGUACCGAGAAGCUUAUGACGCUGCCGAUAGGAUAAUGGACCUUGACUUCUACAAGAAGCUCAAGGAUAGGUACGAUCAACUCAAUGGAGAGGCAUCAGCCCUUGGCGUGGGACUUGAUUUCCUAGUUCCUACGUUGGUCUUGGAAUAAGAAGAAAUGUUAAGAUAUGUUAGAGGGGACAGGCCAAAUCCACACGGCAAGAGUUGUACUGAGGUAAAAUUAAUUCUUGCAGUCAUUAGCGUGAACGGCAUACAUUAUCGGGCUGUUGAGAUACUAAUCGAGGAGGGAAAGAUCAAUGUUUAUGACUCUAACGUAACUCUGAUCGAUGAUUUCAAUCUUUUUCUCCUGGCGGAGCCACUGAUGGUGUUGUUGCCCAUCUUGUUGAGGGAGAGUAAACUGAUGAAUCAUUUGCCAUAGGAAGUGUUGAUGAAGAAAUCAUGAUAUUUUGAAGGUCAAAAAGGGGGAAUGAUUCUUCCAAAAGAUGAUGAUGCUAAAGCGAGCGGCUCGCACGUUCUUGCACACAUCGAAUAUUUGCUGACCGGCACAAAAAUGGCCGAGCCAACAACUUUUCUGUGCGACAACGCUAUGGAAAACUUGCAAGAGAUCUGGGCUUAUGGGGUACUAACUGGAGAACUGGACGCUUGAAGCAUGUGUAUAUAGAAGAGCCUGUGAAAAAGAAAUUUUUAAUUUCAUCUCACCCUUCACUUUAUUACAUGUACAUGUAGUGACAAUAAUUUUUUUCUGAUGAAAGUUGAGUUUUUUAUAAUGCAAUAGAUUAGAUUGUAAAUCUGUUGUAAAAUAUCUUUAAUCCGUUCUAGAAGAUAGUUUAUCUGUUACAAUAGGUUGGUCAUUUGUUGCAUUACGACGAUGUUAUUUCUAAGAAUAAUCUAAAAAUCUAAGUCUAAUAUGUUGCAAUAGUGGGAAGACCUGUUUGAUAAUUUCUAACAGAUGACCUAAAUUUUACAACAUAUACCUAAAUCUUUUUGAUAUUUUCCAACAGUUACGCUUGAAUAUCCAUGUGCUCGACAACACCAAACUAGUAGAAAAUAUACACACCAACAUGAAAAUUUCAGCAAUUAGGCUUGAAUAUCCAUAUGUCCAACAACACCAAACCAUUAGCAAUAACGGCAACAAUGUAGUAUCUUCUUGCUCAAUUUUGUUUCUCUUCAGAAGCCUUGACUUUGUUCAACAAACCCCAGAUUACACGAUUUGCUUGUGAAGGGUGUCGUUCUAAAUACCAAUCAAAUUAAUCGCAUCCACUCAAUUUCUAUAAAAAAAAAGAGAACACAAUUACAAAAUAAUUACAAGUCAAUAAUUAAUCAAUUAAUUAAAUAAAAAAAUAUUACCUUUGAAAUCUUACAAGUAAAAAACCUACGACCCGGAUUUUGUUGAGNNNNNNNNNNNNNNNNNNNNNNNNNNNNNNNNNNNNNNNNNNNNNNNNNNNNNNNNNNNNNNAAUAGUGGAAGAUGCUCUCGACAUUGUCAAGCUCAGUUGGAAAAAAGGAAAGAAAUAAUUUGAAUAGAUAAAAGAAGAUGACGAUGAAGAAGAAGAUUUGGAAAUUUAGGGUUAAAUUUUAGGAGAAAGAUGAAUAUAUAAGACAAUGGGGAGAAAAAAAUAACUGUUGGGGGGCAAGUGACGGCAAGUCAGCGAAAUGUGUCAGACUGACACUGACACAUUUGAUGCCUAUUUUAUUUUAUGUGUUUAAAAUGAACACUGUCUACUUGAUGCCUAUCUUAUUUUAGGUGUUUGAACUCAACACCGUCGAUGGGUUGCGCCUUUUUUAUUUCAAUUCAAUUCGCUUUAACCUUAUUACACGUAGUGGCAAUUUUUUAUGUCCAAUGAAAGUUGAAUUUUUAUAAUGCAACAGAUUCUCCAUCCGUUGUAACAGUUAUCCUACCUGUUCUAACAUAUAGUUUAUCUAUUGCAAUAGGUUGGUCAUUUGUUGCAUUAUCUUGAUAUUUUUAUCUAAAGUCCGUCUAUUGAAACAGUGGGAAGACCUGUUUGAUAAAUUCCAACAGAUUAUUUACCUGUUGCAACAUAUGUCUAAAUCUGUUCGAUUUUUCCAAUAGAUGUGUCGUCUGUUGCAACAGAUACAUUAUCUGUUGCAAUAUUUGAAUCUAGUAUUCCUUUUCAAUUAAUAAGUUCAAAUCUAAGGAAUAAAUAAAAUUCGUAGACAAAAUAAAAUAAAUCUAACCCUUCAUAAAUUAGCUGAAAUAAGUCAACGAAUAAAUGAAAUUUACAAAAUUUAUUAUGGGUACAGAUCUCAACAACUACAUCAACAAUAAUUUAAGUAUCUGCCAAGGAUUGAUUUGAAAAGCUCAAGCUAUAAAGAUCUACUCAGUAUGGGAAAGUUGUUCUUCAUCCGGUGCUAUGGAAUUCGGCUUUGCUUAUCGUGGAUCUUUAUUGUCGCUUACGUACGGUUUCUGCACUUUCUGUUCUCCGUAUUUCUAUAAAAAGAGUAUCAUAUUGUCAAUGUUGUUCAGCAGUAGCUUCUUCUACUUCCGCCUGGAAAGCCAAAAUUGGUCAAUGCUAAUCACGGAGAUACAACAAAAUAGAAAAGGAUAACUCAUCUCUUCUAGCAAAUCAAACAGGUUUUUCUCCCAUUUUAAAUUGUCCCAAAUAGAUUAUAUUUCUGUUGCAACAAUGAAUCAACUGUUAGGACAAAUUUCUACAUGAGGAAGACCCUGUGUGAUAAUUUCUAAUGGAUGAACCAUUCAUUGCAACAUAUGAAUCAUCUGUUGCAGAAUAUAGGUCGUCUGUUGGUACAAAUAAAAGCAGUACAAAGGGCUGUUUGAUUUGCUAAAACAGAUGAGACAUAUGUUACACCAGAUAAAGUAUCUAGUACAACAGGUUAGUCAACUAUUUCAACAGAUGUAUAUAUCUGUUUGAUAAUUUUCAGCAGAUGUGUCAUCAGUUAAAACAGAUAUGUGUCUGUUUGUUUUGUCAGUUGGAAGACAUAUAAUAUAUUCACCUUCUUCAGCUCGUGAUGCUCUCCUUUGGACAUUGUACGUUGCUCAGUGCAACACACAGACAGAGGAUUUGCAAUUUUUCUUUUUUGGAUGCUUGAUAAUGCCCUGGAAAUCACUCUCCUUCUCCUCUUAGCCCUAAUCUCUAAUGGAGCGGAUGAAAAUAAAAUCCUCUUUGAUGGAAUGAGACCCCUCUUAGAUGUCAAUUCCUUUACAUAAGCAGUUAAAACAUUAAUAGCAUUAAUCACUACAUCAUGUUUCGUCCUGCAGUCUGGACAUUUACAUGCAAAACAUUCGCUGGAAGAGGCAAAAUCUGUAUAACCAGUAUGAUCGUACUCAUAAUGGUUUGCUUUAAAUACUGUAAGAGAAGCAUCAUUAGCACCAACAGCAGCACCACUACCACCAUUAACAGCUCUAUCACCACUAAGACCAUCAACAACAACAACAAGCCUACCCUCCAAAGUUGUUUUUCUUGUAAUGGUUGUUGCUCCAAAUAAUUUUAUUUUUAUUUUGUCGAUGACCUUAGGAUCCGAUAAAGUUUGCACAGACCGUAAAGUAAGAAAAAUGGCAUCUUCAACUGUCGAUUGGUCGGAACUAGCGACGCAUGCACAAUCUAACAUAAAUUAUUACAUAUAUUAGAAUGAUGAUUAGAUCAUUAAGAAAAAUCAUUAAUUAAAAGAAAAAAUUAAUUAUAAUUAUACUUACUGCAUCCAUCAGGGGGUUGAAGAGAUCAAGAAAUUUUACACUUUUAUCAGUUUUGGCUGACAACCAUCUCAAGAUUCUUGGACAGGAAACUCCUUUCUAGUAGUUCACUUAUUGUCUCAAAUAAGGAAUUGUUUCAAAAGCCCAAGCCUAUAAAAUAACGCCAAUAAAUCAAAACCAUUAUUGAGCGAAAAAAAUAAAUGAUAUCAUAAUAGAAGAAAGAAAUAUUUACCAUGAAAGCCCAUGGAAAGCCAUAUAAGUUGACUGUCUUUGGCGCUAACGGAGUCAACAAAUAUUUGAUAGUCAUUUUGAAGCUUUCAUACCCCCAAGGAUAGCUGCUAAACGCAUCAAGAUCCUUGGAGAGCUUUAUUAAACCGAGGCUUAUAUUGUUGUUAACGUCUCUCGCCCAAAGAAUAUUAUGUACAAACCAAACCAAGCACAAUGACUGCUUAUGAUUCUUUAAAAGUCCUUUACCUUUCAACGCUUCUAUCAAAUUUUUAUUUUUGAAGCUUGGACCAACAAUGGACACCAGGUCAUCACGAUCACACGACUUGCCUUUGCCUUUUUUGGGUAUGCGGGGUGCUUUUUUUUGGGUUAGAAUAGGUAUAAUUUGAUAAGGAGGAUAACAUUUUAGUUCAGUAACUAUGGCAAACUCCUUCCAACCAAAACAAACAGGCAUGCGACAGUAAUUUAUCCACACCUCAUCCAUCUUAUCUUUGUUUUCAUACAUAAACCUACGCUUAAGUAGUUCAUAUUCCAUUUUCAUUUGGAAACGAGCAUUGUUGUCUUCCGGCAAAUCAAGAUAUUUCUCAAAGCAGCUGUCCCUGAAAUAAGCAUCCAAUUUUUGUUCUUGAAGUAUUUUUCUAAAGGCGUCGAAAGAUUUUCUCAUGGCUGACUUAACCAUGAAAUCACCCAUUAAAUCUGCGGCACGACAUUCUCACAGGAUAAUGAUCAAUGCUGAAGUCUUUGACCAGCUCUUCGGUGGAAGGUCUAUUAGACUCUGCAUCAUCUCUUUUGAAAUAUCCCUUCUCCCCAUGUUCAUCAUAUUCUGCUCUCGAUUGAGAUAACGCUUGUAAAGCAAGCUCAUAGAGUGGUGGAUGUAGCCUAGCUGCUUCACUUGUUCCUUUACUUGGACUUGAUUCGGUUUCUGUUCUUUUGGAAACCAUAUUAUCUAAAAUUAGCAGGAACAUAAAAUAAUAUAUUAUUGUUGAUUAAUGCAUCAUUAAAAAGGGAUAAUAGUAAAUCAAACAAGCAAAACAGUAAAAUAACAGUUGCAACAGAUCAUCGAUCUGUUGCACCAAGUAGUAUUUCUAUUGCAGCAUAUAACCAAACUAUUACAGCGGAUGAGUAAUCUGUUACAACUAUACAAAAUAUAUCACUCAUCUUUUAAGAAGAUGAAUGUUUUGUUCAACAGAUUACACAACUAUUGUGAUAUUAUCUAUUGUAAUAUAUGAGUUAUCUGUUGAAACAGUUAAAUAAUAUGUUGCGACAAUAAAAAAUAUAUCACUCAUCUGUUGAGAAAGAUGAAUAGUUUAUGCAACAGAUCACACAUCUGUUGCAACAUAUGAGUGAUCUGUGAGAGCAGUUAACUAACCUGCAGCAACGACUGAGUAAUCUGUUGUGACAAUACAAAAUAUAUCACUCAUAUGUUGAGAAAGAUGAAUGGUAUGUCCAACAGGUCACACAUCUAUUGCAACACAUGAGUGAUCUGUUGGAACAGUUAUCAACGGUCAAUAUUAUUUAGAUUUCUUCCAACAAAGGGUCGUCUAUCGCGGCAGAUGAAUGAUCAGUUGGAAAAAUCAAGUCUUGGACAUUUCCUGUCGGAAGAGUUAAUGGGAUUUUAUCCAACAGGAGGUUCAUCUGUUGCAUCAGAUCAUUAAUCUGAUGGUUCUUCCAUUGGACCAGAUGGUUAAUUAGUUGCAUCUGAUUUUUUAUCCGAUGCUUAAUCUAUUGCAACAUAUGGUAAAGUUGUUGCAUUAGAUAGUUAAUCUGUUAUAUCUGAUUAUUAAUCUGUUGCAUAAGAAUUGUAAUUUGAUGGUUCUUCUGGUGCAUCAGAUGGUUGAUCUGGUGCAUCAUAUAAUAAAUUUAUUGCAUCAAAUGGUUAAUAUGUUGCACCAGAUGGGUAAUCUAUCAGAGGAAAUAAAAAACAGUAGCACGAUUUUGUUUAACAAAAAAUAGCAAUUUCACCAUUUUUACCAAGAACAAGAACAGAACAAAUCAAACCAAAUUGUCGUUUUGUUUUUAUAAACAUAAACAAUAAAAAGGCCAUUUUAGACCGCAUUUCAAAUUAGUGCAACAAAUAUUGAAAUUAUUAACCAAUACUAUAAGAGAAGUUGGCUCAAGUUCCUUAUUUUCUUCAAAUCUAAAAAGACCAUAAAUUUUUACCUGUGAAAGAAGAAAAGGAACGAUGAAGAAUUCGAAGCUGUUGUAGCUGAAGAGUAAGGCUGUCAUGUCAAUUGAAGGUUGAAGUUGAAAAGGAACUCGAAGCCCAACUAUUUGUAGUCGGAUGUAGAAGUCGCCGAGAAUUGAAAUGAGAAAUUUCCAAAACAGUUGGUUGGGAGAGAUUUGAGAGAAGCUAUCGAGAGAGGGAUGAGAGACAGGUUGAUUAAAUUGAAGAAGGAAACUCGAAGCUCAACUAUUUGUUGCCGGAGGUAGAAGUCGUCGGGGGUUGAAAGGAGAAAAGAGGGGAACUCGAAGUCCAACUAUUUAUCGCCGGAGGUAGAAGUCGGCGGGGGUUGAAGGGAGAAAUUUUGCAAAACUGUUAGUUAGGAAAGAGUUGAGAGAAGCUGGAGAGAGAGGAGAGAGUGGUUGAUUUGGAUUGAAGAGGGGUGUGGGUUGGAUUGAUUUGUAUUUUUGAAAAGAUUAGAAAGUUUUGAAAAUGUUAAUCAAGUCCACAAUUAACUUAAUCAAGUUUUCUAAUGAUGUUUGACCCUAUCUGUUGGUCAAUAUCAUCAAUCCUUCUUUCAAGACUUAAAAGACACCUUUCCUUCAAUUUUCUUAUGUAUGUAUGUAUGUAUGUAUAUAUGUGUAUAUGUAUAUGUAUAUGUAUGUAUGUAUAUGUAUAUGUAUAUAUGUAUGUAUAUAACUAAAAAUAAUUAGAACUAGAAACAAUGAUUAAGUUCACUAAUUUAGAGAUGAUUAUAAUUCCAAAAUCAUUUGGAUUAAUUAAUAUUAAAGGUCACAUGUUAUACUUUAUUUUAUUGAAUUAUAAUAUUAUGAGCUGGGUCAUGUGCGCAUAUUUUAGUUAUAUUAAAUUAAUAUUUUAAUAUUUAAUUAGAUUUAUCUAAUUAUCAAGUUUUUAGAAUUACAGGAUACGAUAACUUCAAUAGCUUUUUUUUUUUUUGGCUUAUUAAUUGAAUAUAAUUAGACAUAUAAGCACAUAAUUGUUAAAUGUGAUACAGUUAUUUUAGGAUGUUCCAUGUAUAACUUGUUUGAUUAAAUCUUUUACCCUCCCAACCGUUGUGACCUUUUUCCUCUACUAAAGUUUAUGUCAGUUAAUUAUUUUUAAAUUUAAUAUUUAAAAUAUAUUAAAUAAUUCCUUAUUUGAAAUAUAUAUAUAUAUAAUUGAUAUUUGAAAAUUUAAAAUGAUUAAGAUUUUAGCUUUUAAGAAAUAAUUACACGUGGAAUAAAGUUGUAUUUAUAAUUAAAAUCAACAUUAUAUUCAAGACAUUUGAAAAUAGAAUUAAAAAAAAUGACAGUUCGGUGCACAAAGCAUCCCAUUAAUGUAAGCAAUAGUGGCGACUUUCACUAAUUUUGACAAGUCUUACUCAGCUUAGUGGCACAACAAUUACUUAAUGACCAGCUAUAAAUAAAUAAUAAAUUUGUGAUAUGAUAUCAAUUUAUUAGUGCCAAAAGAAGUCAGUAAUACAUCACAAUACAAUUUCGCAAACUGAUAAUUAUUUAAGCAAAUAAGUUAUCCUAUAUGUUUUAAUCUACUUUACAACUUUGUAUUGUAAUGAGUCUUUCAGAAAGAUAAUAUUUGUAUUGUUAAUACAUUAAUAAUUUUGUAAUACAAUUUUUUUUUACAAUUGACAUGAAAUAUCCAUAUAAUUAAUACAGCGAAGAUGAAAAAACAAACAGAGACACAUGCUGAAGGGGGACCAAAAUUGUUAUUAUGAACACAAACACAUGAUGCUACUGAAAGGAAUGAAUUACAUGCUGAAUCACCAUCAUAUGCAAAGAGAACAAAGUUAAGUGCAUUACAACUGACAUGCAUCCCAAUAUGAAAGCGAACAAAGCUGAAGACGGAACAACCUAGCUAGAUAACUUAAAAGUCAAUUUACCUCUAACUGAAAUGUGUGAAGUAUAAAGUUCCUCACGAUAUCAUAUUCUCCUUUUAGAAGGAAUGCUAUCCCAGAAGGUAUAAAAUCACAUAUAAAUACUUGAUCAUAGUUUAGCGUAGAUGCUUCACUUGGAUCAUUAGCUUCUAUAGUUCCAAAUGGACUACCACAGUAAUAAACCAUUGCGGCUCGCAAAAAAUGUCAUGCAUCAUCCUCAAUAGACUCAUUGUCGUUUCUAGGCCUACUAUUAACUGCGGCAGCGGUUUUAAAACCUUCGCUGAAAGGCCUAGCUCCAUUUUCCUGCUUCAUGUUCUGUUCAUCUGGAGUAUGAUUUGGAAAAGUGACACGUCUCUUUCACCGCUCUUCUCCUAACCUCUAGCAUUCUUCCUCAGUUUUCGGCUCUUUACACAGAUUUGAGCAUCACCUUCAAAUGGUCACCGUGGAUCAUUUUUAGCUUGUAAAACUGAGGGAAUCGGAGAAAAAUGGAGAUUUUUCAGGAUGUCGGACUAUCUUUGGUAUGCCAAUGGUUUCUUCUUUGCUCUAACCAACAACCCUUCUAGCUUUUGCAAUGGAUGGAGUAAGGCAUAUGUAUUCACUUUAUUACCUGAUUCAAACACAAAAGGUAACAUAUAGGCUUCUAAAAUAUAGUGAUUGUAUGAAUAAAUUGGUUAAGAAGUGGUGGUACCAUNNNNNNNNNNNNNGGGAGGGCAGGCCAUUUGGUAUGGUCGUUCAAGGAGCAAGGAAGAUAAUGAAGAAAAUAACGUCAAUCCAAUCAAGGAUAGAACCCUUCUCAACUCAAAGGCAGCUGCCAUGACCCUCAUAAGUCAUAGGUGUAUUGGCAUAAGUUUGCUAAACAUCCAUGGGCUGGUGAAAGAAUUCUCGCCAAACUUGUCGAGCUUCAUCCCUGAGCUCUGGAGGAACACCAUAAUUACCACCUGAAAAAAUCCCCAGUUGCGACGAGUCUCGGACAGCUAUUAAACAUAGCAAACAGAGAAUCAAAAUCAAAUAUAUGAAGUCUCAAAAUAGACGACAGUCCCAAAAUAUAGGUGUUAGCUUGUCUUAUGAUAUUCGUUUACGUUUAGGGGAACUUAUUUUGCUUCAACUGUUAUGAAGAACGAUCAUAAUCAAAUUAGCGAUAACGACAGACUACAAUAACGUAAUUCACUCAACUCUGCCUAUGAACACACUAUGUAUUCAAUGAAUAAAUAAGCUUUCAGCUAAACAAUGUCAUCCUAACAGUUAACAAAAUUAUGAUAAAAAAAGAGACAUGAUACCAGAUCUCUGACCAACAUGAUUGUACAUCCGGGUGGCAAACGGGCGGAUUGGAUUGUAUUUGGACGGAUCAAAUAUGGAUUGAGUAAAAAUGGUUUGAAUUGUAAUCCGUCCGUAUAAAUAUGGAUAAAUAUAGAUUUGGUCAAAUAUGAAUUGAGUAAAAAUGGUUUCAAUCCACUUUAUCUCCUAAAAUAAAAAACUUAAAACUUUUAUAUCAUAUCAAUUUGACUUUUUUUUCUUUUAUUUUUAAAUAUCAUAUCAUAGCCUCUAGUUUUCUUAUUUUAUUUUUUUUCAUUUCCUUUUUUUUCUCUCUCUUUUAUUUCUACUCUUUGCUUCUCUUUCUUUUUUCUUUUUUUUUCCUUUUUAGUCUUUUUUUUUCUAGUUUUUAUUUUUUUUAUUUUUACUUCUUUUUUUUUUUUUUUUUUUUUUUUUUUUUUUUUUUUUUUUUUUUUUUUUUUUUUUUUUUUUUUUUUUUCUUCUUUUUUUUUUUUUUUUUUUGAUUUUAUUUUUUUUCUUUCUUUUUUUCUUGGCAUUUUUCCUUUGGGCUUUUUUUACCUUUUCUUUUUUCCAAAAGGUCUUUCAGAUUUUUUUUUAUUUUUUUCUUCAAUUUUUUCUUUACGAUUUUUCUCUCUCUUCUAUCUCUCUCUUUUUUUUUUUUUUGGUUUUCUUCUUUUUUUUUUUAUGAUAACGAAAAUAUCAUAAGUGCAUAUUGAUUUAUAUUCGCCCAACAUUUAUAAUUUUUGUAAGUACACUCAAGUGGACUCCACCUAAUGAACGGAUACAGAGAUAGUAUCCAGAAAGAUCUUGGAAUUACAUUCGUCAAACUAAAUAUCUUUAGCAGUCGCAAGAAGUACACAAAUCAAGGUUUCUACGUACUUCCUGUCUUGCCUGACCUUGAGCUCCUCGCUUCGUGCCUUACUUCUGCUCUAACGAGAACUCUAAGAUGAGGGAGUUAGAAGUCAGAUUGGAAGCUGGACUUUCCCACAAAUCGAAGGCUAUGUGGAUCUUCAGCCAUAUAUAAUUUUGAACUUUGAGUUAUUAACUUAAGUGACUUUCUGAGUAAAAAUAUGAAAGUUGAGUGACUUUCUGAGUAAAGAUCAAAGUUGGACUUUUAUCCCAGAAAGUCACUUAACUUUGAUCGAAGGCUACGUGGAUACUCAACUUUGAACUUUUAUCCCAGAAAAUCACUCAACUUUGGACUUUUAUCCCAGAAAGUCACUCAACUUUGAUCUUUACUCAGAAAGUCACUCAACUUUCACAUCUUUACUCAGAAAGUCACUCAAGUUUCACAUUGAGUGACUUUUUGAGUAAAAAUGUGAAAGUUGAGUGACUUUCUGAGUAAAGAUCAAUGUUGAGUGACUUUCUGGGAUAAAAGUCUAAAGUUGAGUGACCAUUUGAGUUACUAACUCCUAUCCCCUCCAUGCAUUCUUAUGAAUCCCCCCAAGUACAUAGAGUAAAUCAAACUACUACAACAAUUUGUCUUUUUAACUUAAUUGAACAAGGCAGAACAACUUACUAGGGGAAGUAUGCCAAAAAGGUACUUUUGAAAACUAUUUAGCCAUUUAGAUACAAGUUUUUUAAAAUUUUUCAUAUACCCACUUUAAUCCACAUCAUCACUAACUUUUUCAACUCAAUAAAUUCACCCACAAAUUUUAUAAUAAUACAUUUUAACCCAAUAUUUCCAACUUAACAAAAUCACCCCCAAGUUUUUAAUAAUACACUUCAACUCACUCCAUCAUCCACCAUUAUAUAAUACAAAAAUAAUUUUAAAAAAUUCAAAAGCUUAAAAUAGAAUGUUCUUUUCCUCCAAAAAGCUCUGAUUCAGGCCACUUUUCUGACGUUAUUUUUCGGCGAUCAGCUCUAAAUCAGUUCACAAAUAUCAUAAGCUUGCCCAUUGCAUCCAUUGUUACCCCAUUUGUUUGUUAUCUUCUCAAACACACUUUCCACCAUUGCUAAAAAGUUUUAAAUCACUCACAUUAUACAAAAACUCUUUAGAAAGUACAUUACAGUAGCUCAGGCGACUCCAAGUUCAUUUUUCUAAUCCAUAGACCUAACGAUCGUUGAUUAGAAGCAAUAUUUUUAAUUUUUAAUUUUUGUACGGAUAUUUGCCCAGUCAUCGACCAGUCUCGUCAGUCAUCGACCGUGCAUACAUCCCGAUAUAGACCCUCAGGAUAAUCUACUAUCGACCAAAGCUUAAUUCUAGGAUGUCUAUUGCAGAAUUUAUUCUAAUUUCUGGUGAUUUCAUAUGAGAAUGGGAGGAGACUCCCAAAUGUUGGAAAUGAAAAUCUUUUACUAAGCUGGCAUUGCCCAUUGCGGUUCGCCACAACGGCUCAUAUGAUGAGUUGGUUGCAAACGUAAUGGAGAGCAGGGAUCUAGAUUGCGCACCUAGCGAUGUAGUGAUUAGUUAUCUAAUGCAUUUGAGGAAAAAAGGUGCAUCCUACGAUCAUAAAUAAUGAUAAACGUGUGUCAUUGUACAUGGUGGAUGUUGAUGUUGAUGGCUUUAGGCCUAUUUUAAGGAUAAAUGUAGUUGAGGGGUCCUUUAAAGAACCGUUGAAUUCAUCACCACCCCCACCUAAGCGCCCAACAGUAGAUGACGAUUUGAAUGAUUAUGAGAACGAUGGAGAUUAUCCAUUUAAUAUGGAUGAUGAUUCUAUUCAUAUGGAAUACGUUUCAUUGGACUCACAAGAUACGGAAGAAGAUUGUGGAACAAAAUCACAACCAAGAAAUACCAUCGCUGAUGAAACUAAUUUCUAUCGUGAUCAAAUAUUUGCCUAUAAGAAAGAGCUGAAAAUGCUACUAGACGGAGCAUCAGUGAGGCAGUCUUUUAAUUAUUUUACAAAGAAGAGUUGCACCAAAUUGUUGAAGGUGAAAUGUGUAUCUCAUUGUUGCGACUGAUUGUUGCGGGCAAGGAAGUACGAAUUCUCAGACAAAUUUCGCAUAUACAAGUAUGUUGGGUUCCACACUUGUAGUGUUGAACAUGCCACGAGCAAGCAUAAGAAAAUUUCAUUCGAGAUGAUUGCUUUACUAUGCGUAAAUCAUUUUCGUGAUGGCAAGGGUACAAGCAUAAGAGAAAUUUAGAGGAUUAUGUUUAGAGAGGUGCUUGUUCAAUGAAUACAAUUGUAGACUACCUUAAUUAAAUUCACGAAGAGUAAAAAUUAUGUGAUAAUAAAUCCAAAUCACAUAUAUAGUCUAUCGUAGAUAAGAAAAUCAAUCUAUGCUACACCAGAUAAUAUUUUAUGCACUAUCAUCGAUCUUAGACAUUGUCACUCCUCGACCAGACAUAUAGGUCAAUCGUAAAUCAUAUGAAUCGAUGAAUCAUCAGUAGCUUGUAGUUUGAAAGAAAAUAAUUAAAUUAAAAAAUUUUAAACACAUAAACACAUAAUUUGGGAGUGGUGAAAGAAAAUAAUUAAAUUAAUAAAAGUUUAAACACAUAAUCACGUGAACUGUUGAACUGUUGGUUAAACAAACAAUCUUGAACUGUUGGUGACACUUAAUAGACUGUCAUUGAUGCUGACCUAUGUUAAUCCCAUGUAAAAAAUAUACUUGUUCUUUGAGGGUCCAUCAAUUCAUUUGGUCUAUCGUAGACCUACACUAUAGGUCGUGCAUCAAUUACUCUCUUGAUCAUUCGUAGAUCACAUAGAUCUAUGUACAUAGUUAUAAACCCUCACUUGGAUGUUGUUUAAAAAUGAAUAAUUAAAUAAAAAAUAAAUAAAUUAUGAAUUUCUACACAUAUUAAGGAGUUUAAACAAGUCACAUGAUCUUAUUAGAGCUUAUAAAAAUUGAGGGUGGUGAUUGAAGGAUUAUGUGGAUGGAUAGUAGUUGAAUAAUCAACAUCAUCAAAGUAAUAUUUGUCAAAGCACAAGUAUGUUUUGAGGAUGUUGAUUGUAUUUGAUGACUACCCAUCCAUAUACUUUUUUUAUUUUGGGGUGGUGAUUGAAGGAGUAUAUGAAUAGAUAGGCAUCAAAUAUAACCAACAUCUUCAAAACAUACUUGUGCUUUGACAAACAUUACUCUUAGGAUGUUGUUUGUUCAAACACUACCCAUCAAUACACACCUUAAUUCACCAUCCCUGGUUUGUAUGAGCUCUAAUAUGAUUAUGUGACUUGUUUAAACUCACUCAUAUGUGUAGAAUUCCACACUACAUUUAUUUUUUAUUUAUUUAUUCAUUUUUAAACAAUAUGCUAGUAAGGGUCUAUAAUCAUGUGCAUACAUCUACGAUAUCUACUAAUGAUCCAGAGAUUAAUCGAUGCAUUACCUACAGUGUAAGUUUAUGGUAGACCAAUUGAAUCGAUGGACUCUUAAAGCACAAGUAUAUUUUUUACUUAAUUAUUUUCUUUUUAAAUAUGUUAUUGAGGGUCCAUCGAUUACGAGUGUCUACGGUAGACUUUAAUAUCUCGUUGAUGAUUGACAUGGGUCAUGAUUGAUGACAGUCUAUUAAGUGUCACCAAUAGUUCAAAAAAUACAAUUACUGUUCCAACGGUAACAAACGGCUAAUUUUGUAUUCCUUCAAUAUUAACACUUGUUUUUACUUUAUAUAUAAAGUCUUCCAUCCCUCAUCAUUUUAUUUCAUCCAUUUUGUUUUUAUUUUAAAAUUCUACAAUGUCUCAAGCAUCUCAAACAUCCAAUUCUAAAAAGACUCUAAUUUAUCAUUGUGAAAAUGUGGUUGUCUUGAGGAUAGCACGCAUGGACUCAAAUUCAGGAUGUAAAUUUUAUAACUGUGUAAUUAAUUUCAGCCAAAGAAAGAAAAAAUGGCAUAAAAAUGAUGUUAUGUGGUAUAAUGCUAGUAUUCGUUGUUUGGAAAGGUGUAACAUGGAUGUAGUGAGAUUGAAUAAAUAAAAAUACUUAUAUUUUUUCAUAACUAUACACCAACUUAAAAUCGAGUAGCAUGGUAAUGAUAGACUACGCCAACAGUAUACAAAAGAUUAAAUAUGCAUUCUAUGAAGUCAAUCAUACACUGUAUCAGUUAUGAUAACACAAUACACAUUAAAAUUUCAUGCAACAAUAUAGUUUGAUAAAAACAGAUUCAAUGCAGAAUCAUAACAAUUUUCAUAAAAUAAAAAAAUAUUUGUCAUAUCCUAAUAACAGAUCAUUCAACUCCCUUGUUUCUAAAAAAAGUCUUAAACAUUAACAAUAUUAGCAUUCAAAUGUCUUUUUUCUCAUCAUCACAAAUGUUUUCAUCAACGAUAUCCAAGGCCAUAUCUUUUUUGUCUGCUUCUUUUUUUUCUUCUUUUUGUCCAUCUUUUUGUCUGAUCUCCUUCUUCUUUGUCUGUUGCUUCUUCCUUUCCAUCUUUAGUUUCUUCUUCAACAAUUCGGUCAUUGUCAGUUCAUAUAUCACAAAUUUAUUAACAUAAACAAUUCAAUGCUCAAAUAAAAAAAGAUAAAAUAAUUAAGAAUUACCUCACCAUUAAACAAUUCACAGCGUGAUGAACGAAAAUUUUUCAAUCAAACAUGCACUAUCAAAACUCAACUAUUGUUACAAAUAUAACUAAUUAGCUAUUAAUCUUUUAAUUUUGAUCAUUUCAUCAAUCAUAUUUUAAAAGAAUUUUAUACACCCAAAUAUUAAUUUCAUAGACCACAAGUCUACGGACAAAAACAGAUCACUGCUUAAAUAAAAUAGCUAAAAUAACUCAUAAAUUAACAAUUAUCCCAUCAUUCAUUACUACAGUGCUAAAAAAAUACCAGAACUAAAGAAAAAUUCCUUGACAAAAAUUUCAAAAUUCAACACUGUAAUCGAAGAAAAAAUCUUUUGAAAUUGCCGAAUCAAAACUCAAUCAUUUCUUCGGAAUCAAACUAAUUACCUCUAAAAUUCUCAUAUUUUAACUAUUUAAUCAACCACAUUCGAAAAAUAUUCCUAUACUAUAUCACUUUGAAAUGAUUAACAAUAAAAAUCGAUAAAAUGGAUCUACAAAUAAUCGAAACUCGAUUUUAACUUACUUUAUAAUGCAAAAACAAGCCCUUUGUCGCUGGAGAAGAAGAAAAACAAAAAAUAGCGUUUGGAAGAAAAUUUUUGAGAAUAGAGGAAGAGUUGAAGUUGAAGAGGAGAGUAAAUUUUUAAAAUUGUAAAGAUGAUGAAAUGAUCCCUUGGCCCAUGUGUGGGCUCCACUUUUACAACUUUUCCACACUUUUUUAAUCUAAAUCCUAAAAAUUAAAUCAAAAAGAAAACAAGUGGGUAUAUGGCAAAAUAAUUUUGAAAAAAUAUAUUUUUGCUAAUUUUUCCCCACUUGAAACUUACCAUUUCAACCAAAUCAUAUUUUUUCAAUAACAAUUCAACAACUGCUAUGGUUAUCAGAGAUAUAUUGUUAGAGUUUGUAACCCAAAUUCUAUUGAUUCGGCCCUAAAAAGAGUGCAACCCAUGUUUGUGAUUUUCUGUGGGGUCUGUGGUGAUAGCGUAAGGAUCGGAACGGUAUAUUUUUUGGUCUAGAAUUUAUUUGUAUACACGUAUUAUAUAAGUGUGAUUUGGUGGAUUGUUUUGGACGGUUUAAAUACGUCAUUGAGACUUUCGUCUCCUUAUUGUUGUACUCCUUUCCAUUAUAGUAAAUUCCUCCGUCUCUGCCUGUGAUUUUUCCCGUCAAGAAUUUCCACGUAAAUCUGUGUGUCUUCUUCUUAUUUUCUUUUGCUUAAUUGUGGUAUUACUUAUUUUGUCCGAACAUAACAUACAUAAUAGGAAAAGUAACAAUCCAAACAGCUGUCAAUAACGUUACAAACAUUAGCCUUAAUUCCCAGUCCAAUUAUCCCACCACGUGCUGCAACAACCAUCAUUAACAUAUCAAAGAAUGUUUAUUUGAGUGUUCUCCCUAGCUUUAAUGAGAGAUUUUCAUGCUUGGAUUAGUAUACUUAAUAGUGUUAUAGAAAUUAUCUUUCAAAACAAAGAUUGUGAUGAAAUAGUAAAUAUUCUUUCGUUUUUAAUUAGAGUCUCGACUUCAACUCUCCGUUGGUAUAAAUAGUUCGAGAAUUGGAUUGAUAUAUGAAUAAAAUAAUAAUGAAAUGUAUCAUGACAUCAAUAAAAUAAAAUGAGCUUUAGUUGAGAGUGAGAGCUAUUGUUUAAAGAAAAUAUGUAUGCUUAAUAAGUGUAUGAAUCAAAAAUUGGAAGCUAAGCCCCAAAUAUUGAUGCCUAAUGGACUAUUUAUGUCAUCGUCAUUAAAAAUUUGACUCAUCUAUGAUAUUAUCGUUACAGAGUGGUUCGUCCAUGUUGUUAUUUUGCAACGAUUGAUUUGCAAAGUCAUUUUUGCCACAUAGCCUCAUAUUGGAAGUCAAUGUCACCAAAACCAAAUCAACCAAUAUUAUUUCAAAUCAAAAUAAAAUAUUGAACCCAUCAAAAUAAAAUCUGAUACAAUUAGUGGGUCUGAUUUUUAUUUUUAAUGAGUUCAUUUUUUUUUUUUGGAUUGAAUCUUUUUUUAAUGGGUUCGAUUUUUAAUUUUGAUUUUAAAUAAUAUUAAUUGAUGUGGAUUUGAUGGCGAAGGUCUAAUAAGAGGCCACAUGAUAAAAAUAAUUUUGUAAAAUCACCAUUACAAAAUAAUAGUACGAAUAAACCUUUCUGUAACGACAAUAACAUAAAUGAUAUCAAAACCCUUCUAAGUUGAAUUUUUCAUUGCUUGAUUCGAUCAUCAGAUCAACAUUUCUUGACUAUCGUUUUAACUAACGAAAUUUUUUUUUCAUGUGUCAUUAUAUUCCUCAUCCUUUUGGAUAAGAGCAUUUUUAUCUCGUACAUUGUUAUAGUAUUUCUUAAGUGUUGAACUAGUUAGACAUAAAUAAUUUGUGGGUGGUGUUGGUAGUCUAAAAAAAAUAUUAAACGUUGAAAGAAAAAAUGUAAUGGUGUUAUGUCUGGUUUUAAAAGCAACACUAGAGGGGAUCCUCUGCCGUUUGAAUUGGUUUAUUUUUAAAUAUCUUUAUCUACUUUGUUAUUUUCUGAAGGUGUUUGAUAAAGACAUAAAAUAUUUUUAAACACUUUAUUUUAGACUUAAAAAAUACAAAAAUAAAUUACUAUCUACUUUUAAACUUUUGGCUUUUAAUUUUUAAGACACUUAAAAAACCUCAUACAAACACCCCUCUAAACUAAAUACAAUAUAAAUAAUUGUUCCUAAUAUAUUUGUUUGAGGAUAAGUAUUUAGAAUUAAUCAAUGUAUGAAUUCCUGAAUGUUUGUCUGGAAUUAUGUGUGAGGACAAUGAUCUCUUGGGCCUUAGCCAUUGUUGAAUUAUAAUUGUGAAGUGAGAGGAAAGAGAUCUAAAGAAAAAAGGGAAGGAUCUAGAUUAGAAUGGAAAGGAAAUAGGUUUGCUAAAAUAUAAAAUAAACUGCUAAUAGUAAUAGGACAUACUUUUUGAAAUACUAUACAAUUACAAUUUAAAUAAAUCUUUUUAAUAGAGAACAUGAUGUAUGAUUUUAAAAAUAAAAUAUAAUUUAAAAUUUUAUAAAAUAAAAACUUUAGGGUAAAUUUGAAAAGAAAAAAUAAAUAAAAGUGAAAAAGAUUGAAAGUGAAACCAAGUUUGGGUUUUAGUUGGUAAAAUUAUGACUAAAAGGAUCCAAUUAGAAAUUUCAAUAAAGUACAAGGUCUCCCGAUAAUUUUAUUUUAUUGGUUUAAGACUUUUAAAACUUAUGAUUUAAAAAAAAAUUAUAAAUAUUUAUUUAGCUAUCAAUUAUUUUAUUUAGAGUAAAAAAUAUUUUAAAAUUAAAUUAUUACUAAAUAAAAUAUAACAAUAUAUUAUUAUUUUUUAUGAGACUUACUAAAAAAAAGUGAAUUUUGGAAACUACAACAGGGAGUACUUUUUGGAAUACAGUAUUUUUUUAAUAAAAUGUUUGUGAAGUUUUUGACCUUUAUUCACUUUAGUUGAAAAAGCUAUGUUGUGUGGGCCAAUAUAUUAUUAUGAACAACCAAAACCACAAGUCUAUAUAGUUUGAAGGUGCACCACAAUUUUGUGACACAUUAUAGUAUAUCCAAUCUUACCAACCAUUCAGUGGUUAUGGUUUCACGUUGUAAUUUAUGUCUUCACACAGACACAUAUACACAAAUAAUAAGAAUCAUAAUAUAUAAUUGUCCCAUUUGUCAUAUUUAUUUUUGCAAUAAUUUGAUCACUUAUUUUUUUUCCAUAGAUGAGUAUACAUGUUAAUUAAUGUUGGCUAGAUCAUGGCUACGAUGAACAUGGCCGCUCCUAUAACAUUCCGGCCACCGGAGUUCACUAAAAGCCGCCAUAAAACCGUCAUCUAUCUUCCAAAAAGAAUACACAUUUCUGUUUCUUGUGCGUCUACCGGCGCAUCAACUACUACAAAACCUGAAAUUGAACUUGAGUUCAUUGGGGUACGUAAUUGUAUGUGUUAUAGUAAGACAUGUUGUCUUGAUUCCAUAACAUGGUUUAAACUUGAUUUUUCAUGAAUAUGUAACGUCAUUCACUAGAUUUUAGUGCAUUGAAUAAAUGUCAUUUCCUCUUACGCGUUUGAUUGACAACUUGUUUGUUUUGUUAUAGUAAGAUAAGUUUUCUUUUCAUUCUGUAACAUGGUUCAAACCUGAUUUUUCCAUAAAUAUGUAACGUCAUUCAUUAGAUUUUACUGCAUUGAAUAAAUGUCCUUUCCUCUUACGCGUUUGAGUUACAACUUGUUUGUUUUGUUAUAGUAAGAUAAGUUUUCUUGGUUCUGUAUAACAUGGUCCAAACCUGAUUUUUCAUGAAUAUGGAAACUCAUUCAUUAGAUUUUAGUGGACUGAAUUCAAACCUGAUUUUUCAUGAAUAUGGAAACUCAUUCAUUAGAUUUUAGUGGACUGAAUAAUUGUUUUUUCCACGUACGCAUUUGAGUUGCGACUUGUUUGUUUUGUUAUUGAUUUAUAUUUAUCCUUAUUGUAGCCAAAACCAGAUGAAAAUGGCAAGUUUCCCAUGGAUAAAGCAAAAGCAGUAAGCGGUGAGAAGCUCCUAAGGAACAUCAUGUCAGAGAACAAGAUAGAGUUGUAUGCUGCAUAUGUAAGUUGUUGGCCUUAGUUAAAACUUUCCAAUAUGAUAAUAUUUUUCUUGAUGUCAUGUGAAGUAUUCCUUCUGUUUCAAACUAAUUGACCUGUUCUGAGUUGUUGACACGAAGUUUAAGAAAAUAAAGAAUACUUUUGAAUCUUUUGAAUAGAGAAGGGGAGCCUUGGAGUAACUGCUGAAGUUGCUCUGGUCACGGGUUCAAGCCUUGGAAACAGCCUCUGGCAGAAAUGCAAUGUAAGGUUGCGUACAAUACACUCUUGUGGCGGGGCCCUUCCCCGGACACCACACAUAGCAGUAGCUUUAGUGCACCGGGCUGCCCUUUUUUUCUUUUUUAAUCUUGUGGUCUUAAAUUAAAGAUAUGUCAAAUGUACCAAAAGUAUUCAUGCAUUCGACUCCUUCUAGUUAUCUGACAAGAACUUGCUUGGGACUAGGUCAAUCACAAUAGCAUUGUCUGCUAUCAAUUUAUGGACUAGUAUGAUGUAGACAUAGUAAUCGACUUUAUGUAACUUGUUUAAACAAUUAGGUGAAAGUUUACAUGUGAGUGGUGAAGAAGAUUGAAAGUGUAUUUCGUAAACAACCUCUCUACCUCCUUGCGGUAAUGGUAAAGUCUGCGUACACUUUACGCUCCCCAGACCUCACUUGUGUGAUUUUACUGGGUAUAUUGUUGUUGCUGUUGUUUUUGUUUAUUCGUCUUACAACCGGACUCAAAAACAACUAAUCACAAUUCUUGAAAAUGUAUGUAAGAAUGUAUGGAUGCUUUAUCUAUUUCUUGGAAGAUCAUGAACUUCUCAAGUACAUAAUCAUCAUUUCCUCUAACAUUGAUUUGCAUAAGAAGGUGUGCUACAAUAUGUAAUAGCAAAGGAAGUAUGUAUGCACUUCUUUAAAUCAUUUGUGGGAUGAAAUUUGAACAUAUAAGAAAUAUAAUGCUAUGAAAUAAUCAAGUGAUAGAAUAAAUGAUUCAUAUAUAUAUAUUUUUUUUUUUGCCUCACCUCUGAGCUGGUGGUACAAAAUGUGUUCACUCUACUCUCCAGAUCUCACAGUGUGAUAAUACACUGGUUAUGUUGUUGUUGUCGUUGUUGCAUUUAGUUGUGGCACCAUUUUUAGAUCUUGAACAUGACGUUUACCUUUUGGCAGGGAAAGGUGAUGAAUUGUGGAGGGGGUGGAAGCUGUGGUACUUGUAUUGUGGAGGUAUAAGUCUCUUAUUCUCCACUACGCUUGUUAGUAAUCGGACAUAAAUAGCCCUCGGAUAAGUACUGAUAACCCUCGGAUAGAGUAUUAGUACGGAAAGAUCCAUUAGAUAAUGAACUAUUGGUUCUAAGCCAUCUCUGACGAUUAAUGAACACUUCGAAGUGCUUUUCUUGCGUAUUCUUGAUAAACCAGCAUUUAUAUAUUCAAACAAAAUUAUUUGCUGGUUCUAUUUUUUCUAACGUGGAAGUUUAUGCGUAUUCUCUUACAUCUUAUACACAUAGUGCAUUAAUCUAUACUGCAACACAUUUUAAUUAUAUUUGGGAAUGAAGUUGGUCCAUACAUCAUGAUUUUGAGUGUCUGAUUAUCAGAUUGGUGGCUUGCGCUUGAACCAUUGCUAUCUAGCUUAGACGUUACCAAAUGGUUAUUCGGUCUGGCUAAACUUCUUAGUUUAGAGAAAUUAACUGUAUCACUUGCCAUGUUUGUUCCUUUUUUUCAAUGACACUAAAUCUUCCUCGUCGUGCAGAUUAUUGAUGGAAAGGAUCUACUGAAUGAGCGAACAAAUCCAGAACUCCGAUACCUAAAGAAGGUAUGCUCUCCCACAUGCUUCUCUUAGAUGCUUUUACCUUCCCUUCUAGUUACACUUUUCUCCACAAAAAGUUGAAUCAAUCGUCUAUUGAUCGAUCACUUUAAGGCUGUUUCAGUAGCAUAAGGUCAAAAUUUUCUGGUUGAUUUGCACCUUAAAACAUCUUGUUGUAUGUAACCAACUUGUGUCCGGUAGAGCAAAAAUUCUUUCGUUCUUAUGAAGAUGCUUAUAACGGUACAUACAUAUCUGACAUAAUCUACCGAAAGAAUUGCUCAUUCAGUUUUCAUCACUGUGCAGAAACCUGAGUCAUGGAGAUUGGCUUGCCAAACUAUAGUUGGAAAUAAGGAAAACUCUGGAAAGGUAUCCAAAUUAUAUACAUAUAUAUAUAUAUGAGCUUGUUUAGCUGCAUUCCAUAGAUUUGAACAUAAACCUGUACAUAUUCAAACUAAUUACGACUUGAUAAAACUUAAAUGCUAUUGAUUACAAGAAAAUCUAAGACCAAGAUGUCGUUUUAAGGUCCUAAACAUGUCAGUAAACAACUAAAAAUAUUGAACUACUAUAAUGUCUGGCAUCCACUGUUUCCUUCUUCUUUGCACCUGGAUUUGCUGCACUUGUGCUGAGGGUCUUUUGGAAACAACCUCUCUACCUCCCUGAGGUAGUGGUAAGGUCUUUGUACACUCUAACCUCGUCAGACCUCUCUUGUGGGAUUUCACUGAGUAUGUUGUUGUCGUUGUUGUUGUAAUGUCUGGUAUAUGAGUUAAUUGUUCUCUCAUAAGGUACUGGUCUUUCAAUACUAUGUACAGGUUGUCGUGCAGCGGCUGCCUCAAUGGAAGAAGUGAUGGUAGAUGAACAUGUAUAACCUAAACAGUUAACUCACCAACAACUUUGAACAGAGGAUAAAUCGCGCCCGGAAGCUAGCAAGCAUGGUUCAGUAGCUAGGAAACAUGAAUUUUAUUCAUUUACCAAGUAACAGCAAGGGUUUUUUCUGCUCCAGCAUUUUACAUUAGAAAGUAUAUGUGUCAAGUUAUAAAAGUUAUACAAGUUAUACAAGUUAUACAACUAAGUUCUUUGUUUACUUAGUUGUAGCUAUCUCUAUUCUCUUGAGUGACAGUACAUUACUACUACAUAUUCUUGACAUACAUAAUUAUGCAAUAUGCUUUUAUUGAGGAUUAAAUGAUUUAUUCAAAAGAAGGCACUGAUUCGUUCAGAAUGAAUUACAAAUUUAUAUCCUUCUCAGUGAUGUUGCCAAUUGUAUUCCUGGUAGUUUAACUUUCUAUACCAUCUUAUCAUGAUGGUUAUCUGUUUCAUUGGUAGAUCUUCAGUUGAACCAAGAGAUUUUGUAAUAAAGAGUUACACCGGCUGUGGCGGAGCCAAGAUUUUUAUUAAGGGGCUUAAAAGUACUGAUAUGAACUAAUCGAAGGUGGUUCAACGUAUACUAUAUGUACAUAACAAAUAAUUUUAAUCAUGCAUAAAUAGUAUAAGUUUUCGUCCCCCUGAGCAUCUGCUAGCUCCACCCUGCACUGGGCACAUAACCUAAGCAGACAACCAAGGAAGUUUUUGGCUUUGGAUUAUAGACACAAUCUAUACACAGGUAAGAGUGAGUUGCCAAACAAGUCAUUCACAACAAAGCUACUCUUAUAUGAUUGAUUUUGUCUAAAAUUUAAAAGAAAAGAAAGAACAUUAGAAAGUCCAGGAAAACAACAACGUACUUAAAAAAUAAUGCAACCUAACAACUAAAGCUAAAAAAUAGCCUACUGCAGACUUGGUCAAAUUUAAACAAGACUGAUGUUGUUCAACUUUAUCACCUCAUUCUCGACAUCAGCUUCCUGUCUUAACCAUGCCUAGCUGCUGGCAAAAAGUGCUCACUUGUUGACACUAAGACCUUUUGUGAACAAGUCUGCAAUUUGAUGCUCUAUUUUAGUAUGCUCCAAAGCAAUCUCUCCUUGCAAGACUUUUUCCCUGAUAAAGUGGUAAUGUAUCUCCACAUGCUUAGUCCUUGCGUGAAACACUGGAUUUUCAGCCAAGCAAAUUGCUGACUGACUAUCACAGUACAAAGGCACUGCAUAGUCCACCAAUUUUUGUAAGUCCAUCAAUUGUACGAGCCAUGUACUUUCUUGAGCUGCAACUGCUGAUGCCCGAUAUUCCUCUUCUGUUGUUGAUAAAGACAUAGUUGGCUGCCUUUCUGCACCAUGAAACCGCUCCUGAUGCAAGCAUAAAUACAUAUCCAGUAGUUGAACCUCGAGUAUCAUGAUCUCCUGUAUAGUCAGCAUCACAAUAACCACCUAACUUGCAAUCUUCACAUUUCUUAUACAAAAUACCAUAGCCAAGUGUACUUUUCACAUAUCUCAAGAUUCGACGAACUCCUUCCAAAUAGGACUUCUUUGGACUAUGCAUGUAACGACUCCUAACACCAACUGGGUAAGAGAUAUCCGGUCUUGUUAAAGUUAAGUAGAUCAAACUACCCACCAAUUAUCGAUACAUUAUUGCAUCUUCCAAUUAGUCUUUCCCUUCAUGUGAACACAUCUUAGCAUUUGGCUCCAAUGGUGUUGAGAUUGGUUUGCAAUUAAACAUCCCAAACUUCUUCAAGAGAUCUUUGAAAUAUUUUUGUUGAUGCAAGCAAAUUCCUUUUUCACUACGAUCAACCUCCAAGCCAAGAAAAUGAUUGAGUUGUCCAAGCUUCUUCAUAUUGACAAAUUUCUUUUAUUUUGGAGAAUUUUUUCUUCACAAUCUCCUGUUAGGAUUAGAUCAUCUAUAUAUACUAGAACAAUAGGUAGUUUUCUGUCAGCAAUUUUCACAAACAAACUGGAAUCAGUCGGUGCUACUGAAUAACCACUAUGAGUAAGAAAUUCAGAAAUCUUACCAUACCAUGCCCUUGGAGCUUGCUUUAAUUCAUAUAGCGCCUUUCGAAGCUUACACACAUAAUUCAGAUAAUCUUGACUUUGAAAACUCAUUGGUUGACACAUGUAGAUCUCUCGAUGUAACACCCCAUACUUUUACCUAGCUUAAAUUCAUUCCAAAAAUAUCAAAGACUUUCUUUAAAGAUGAAUACACUUUUAUACAUGUAGAAUUUUCAAGAUUUUUUUUUUAUUGUGUGGAAAAUUGAAUAAGUUUUCCAUCGAUAUAAAAUUUGCCAAAAUCUGAUAACCGGGAAAGAAGUUAUGGCGGUUUUAAGUUCCAGUCGUUAAACACCGUCAUUCAAGCCCGUAGUGCGUCACAGAGUGUGUCAAAAUAGCAAUUGUCAGUUUUCAGUGUUGCCCUGCGAUAUUGGCGCGUCACGCCAUAGACACAGUUCACAAUUGUCAAUUUUCACUGAGGCAACAUGAUUUUACCGCGUCGCUCCAAGGACCAAAAUUGCAUUUAGUGAGACGCCGCGUUGCGCCAUCAAUCGAGUUCUCAGUUGUCCACUUUCCAGUGGCACGACACGAUAGUGGCGCGUCGCGCUAGGUGCCUAGUUCGGAAAUUUUUUUACAAAAAUUAGAAGGACGCACAAGGUUAAAACAGUAUUUUUCCAUAAUUUUAUUAUGCCCAUAUACGGGACUUAAUCCCUAAAAAAAUGUCCUGAGCUACUCAUUAUUCACUUUUCCCCAAAUUAAAAACCAUUCUUUCUCAAACUAGCAAAACCCUAGCCCUCUAGAGAUCAAGAACAAAGCUCAAGGAUUCUCCAAGAACUCCAAGAAACUCACAAAUUAAGGUAUGUUAGAUGUUCAUUCUUGGGUCCCUUUCACCCAUGAAGUCCAAGAAUCCUUUUUCAAAUUACAAAAAUUGAGUAUUUAUGAUUUUCAUGUUUGAAUUAUAUUGAAUUCAUAUUCUUGAUAUUAGUUGGGUUAAGAUCCAUAACUUAAGUGCAAGUUUCAUGAAAUUAAAUAGCAUGUAUAACAAAUACGUGAUUAUCUUGAUAAACUCUUGAAUUUAUAAAGUGAUUAAUGCAUCCAUGAUGUUGAUUUGGUUUUCAAUCCAUGAUUGUGAUAAAAUUCAUGAAAAUAGAAUAAUAUUAAGGGGGAAAUUAUAUGAAUUGCAUGUUGGAUCCAUGAAAUUGCAAGUUUGGGCACUAGAGUUGCCAUGUUUAUAUGUUAUUCAUGAUUAUGUAUAUUAAGUUCUGCUCCCCAAGUAUUUGAUAGAAUGUCCAUGUAAAUUAAAUAAUGCAAUCAUGACAUGCUAGUAUAUGUACAAGUUAAUGCAUUACAAGUGUUUGAUGAAAUAUCUCUAUGAAUGAAUUAUGACCAAGAGAACAUUUAUAUGUUAUUCAAAGUUAUGCUUUGCUUUACCUUUCAUGUUAUCGAGUCCUGAGGGUAUUUAAUACCCGAUAAUUUAGUUGUUUAUCUAGAGCUAGUGUCAGUUAAAGAAUGGUAUCAGUCAAGUCACAAUCCGUAGUAUUCUCAAUCCGUUACAAAACUCAAUAGAACUGAGUCAGUUACAGAGUUUAGGAAAACUCAGAAAUCUCAGUAUUAGUUCAGUACAGUUCAGUAUACUCAGUUCAGUGUCUUUCAGUUGGGAGUAGGACUCAGCACCGAGUGAACCCAAGGAUGGGGGCUCACCUGUCAGUAGAGGGUGUGAUCCUUAGAAGCAAUCCUUACGUUCCAGAACUAUGUAACCAGCGUAGGUUGAGACAUCAAACCUAUCAGUUGAGGGUUGAUGAGGUGCUCUACCUUCCAGAGGGUACCAUCAUUCUCGUUUAGGGAACCUGCCAGUAGAGGGUAACCCUUCAGCUUGUCUUUAACCGUGGCACGGUACUGACACCUUUCCAAUUGGGGUUACAAAUUGGAACCCUAUUAGCUCAGAUUGGGGCAUGUCAGUUAGAUGACUACCUCCCAUAAUUUCAGUUUCAGUCCUCAGUUCAGAACUCAGCUCAGUUUUACAGUAUCAGUUAUCAGAAUUCAAUACUUAGCUUCAGAAAAGCUCAGUUAUAUAUGUAUACAUGUAUAUGCAUAGAUUACAUGCUUAGUAUUUAUAGUAGUCUCAGAUUCUUCAUGUAUUCUCUUGUUCAGUUACUCUCAUUCAGUUAGUUAUAUCCUCAUGCAUAAUAACUCCUGCAUCCAGCCUUACCUCAUCUAGAAUACCAGUAUAUUUCCAUGUACUGGCGUAUAUUCUCUGCGCUACUAUGUUUCAUAUCAUAGGUUCGAACGCUGAGGUUCUUGGCCACGCAUAGUAGAUUCAGAUUCAGCCAGCAGUAGUAGAUUUAGCAGUGAGUCCUCAUCAUUCAAUAAUAUUUUAUUAUUUUAUAUUUUCAGUAGAUGUAGUAGUUCAGUAGAUGGAGUUAGUUGGAGGAUUGUCCCAUCAAAUCCACUUUCAGACAGUCAGAUUAGAGGCUUUCAGACUAGAUUCAGACAGUAUUUCAGAUUUAAAUGUUAUUAUUCAAUAUCUGUAUUUCAGUUAUUUUGAACCUUAUGGCAUUUCAGCCUUUUAUUCCGCAUUUAUUCCAGUAUAUUAUUCAAUGCUCACAACAGAUAUUAGUCAAGGGUCAGCUUGUGGUCCUUCGGGGUCGCAAGCACCGUAUGAAGACUAGGGGGUAGUCCUGGGUCGUUACACCCGAUCCAACUCUUCGUGCAAAAAGGUAUUAUUUACGUCCAUCUGCCAUAAAUUCCAACCUUUACUAGUUGCAAGUGCAAGUAGAACCCUGACCAUUGUAAGCUUUUCCACUAGACUAAACGUUUCAUCAUAAUUUAGUCCAUAUUGCUGAGAAAAAACCAAAGCUUUAUGUUUUUCAAUUGAUCCAUCUGUGUGUCGCUUUAUCUUGAAGACCCACUUGCAAGAUAUCGUUUUCACAUCACUUGGUUUUGGUACAAGCUCCUAAGUCUAAUUCUAUUUUAGUGCUGACAUUUCUUCUUUAUAACUUUACUCCACUUCUGAUCCUAAGAUGCUUCUUCAAAAGUCUCUGGUUCAUUUGCACUUUCUUCCUUCACUAUUGCGGUAUUGGCAUACUUUGGAUUUGGUUUUCUGAUUUUUGUUGAUUUUCUGAGCUAAGUUGGUGUUUCCACUCUACUAGGUUCAGUUUGUUCACAUGGUUAUUAAUACAUACCAGUUUACCAAGGACAUUGGGCUACACUUUCUUCGACAUUGUCUUUGUCAUCUGCAUCUUUUGAUUCUCCUAAACCCAAUUGGAUUUGAGAAUAUUGGACCACAUCUUUAAAAACAUCUGAUUCUGGCAGUGCUUUCUUGUUUGAUGACCACCAUGAAGAAGCUUCAUCGAACACCACAUUCCGGGAUGUGUAACACUUUUCGUUUGUCAGGUCACAACAUCUCCAUCCUUUUCUUUGACUGUCAUAUCCUACAAAAAUACAUCUGACAACUUUUUUGUCCAUUUUGCUACAUAAAUGAUCAGGUACAAACACAUAGCAAACACAUCCAAAAAUUCAAAAAUAGCUAACUGAAGGUUUCAUAUUCCAUAAUUUUUCGAAAGCUGAAAUAAAAUAUAACCUUUGUUGAGGAAGCCUGUUGAUCACAAAUCCAGUCGUCCUGAUUGUGUCUACCCAAAAACGUCCUGGUACGUUCUUCACGUGAAGCAUGCUUCGAUAAAUUUCUAUCAGGUUCUUGUUCUUCCUUUCUACUAUGACAUUCAACUGUGGAGUGCUAGCACAUGUGAACUGAUGACGUAUUCAGCUUUCUUGAAGAAAAUCACAAAACUUGUCUAAGGUAUAUUCUCCCCCAUUAUCACUACGUAGACAACAAAUUCUUUUGCCAACUUUCGCUUCUGCUACCUUCUUGAAUUCUUUAAACUUUGAAAAAGUUUCAAAUUUUUCUUUCACUGAGUAAAUCCACACAUACCUUGAGAAUUCAUCAAUAAAAGUCACCAUGUACUUCAUCCCACCUAUGGAAGUUUGUUUCACAGUCCCAAAAACAUCAGAGUGUACCAACUCCAAUGAUUCUCUUGCUUGAUAGUCGAAUUCUUCAAAAGGCAAUUGAUGUGUUUUUCCAUACUGGCAGCCUGCAUAUACCGUGUCUUUUCUCACUUCAAGUUGUGGAAGUCCCUUCAACAUCGACCUCUCCAUCAUCACUUUUAAUGUAGAAUAGCUAACGUGACCCAGCCGCAUGUGCCACACGUCUGUUGUUUCAUUCUUUUUCGUCUUGUCUACAUAUGCAGCUUCUGCAGACAUUACGUAGAUUGAUUCCAACCUUUGUCCUUUUAUCACCGAUUCAUUUAUAAUCUUCAGGUCUCGAUAGACCUUCACAUCUUGUGUACCAAAUAGAAAAAAUAGCCAAAAGAUGUUAAUUAUGCCACGGAGAGAAGAUCUUUCUUCAUACCUGGGACAUGGUAAAUAUUUUAAAGUGACACCUCGAUAUCACUAUGUUGAGGAAAAACUACUGUAUUAUCAAUGUGAGCUAUCGGUAACUUUGAGUUAUUCACCGUUACAACUACCCUGCUGCCCUUAUACUCUGACAGGUGUUGUUGCUUCUCUUUGUCACCCGUUAUAUGAUUUGAGCAUCCCGAGUUGAUAAUCCAAUCCUUCUUGUAAUCAAUUGCCUUUGUCGCUGUAACGAGAGCCAAUUCUUCUUCUUCUACAACAAAGAAUGCAUCUGCAUCCCACACUUCUUCACUAUUUGAUGUAGCAACAUUACUCUCAACAGUUUUUUUCUUUGACCAGCAAUCUUUUGCCCUAUGACCUCUUUUCCCGCAAUUGCAGCAUUUUUCUUAAAACUUUUUGCCAUAACUUUGAUUCUUCCAACCACCGCCUCCACGAGUGCUCCCUUUACCUUGACAACCUUCUACUUCGUCGUUGUUCUUCUUAGAUCCACUGACACCAUGUUGCUUGAACUUUCUACUUCCUUUGUCGACAUAGAGUGCUUCAUCUUAACCCUUUAGUGAAGCUCCUCCUAUUUGCUUGGCCAAGGCUUCCUGGCCUACUAGCAAAUUAUCAAAUUCCACAAGUGACGGCUUAUUUUGCCAUUCUUUAUAACAUCAAUAAAGCCUCUACAUUUAGGCUUUAGACCAUAGAUGAUGAUUCUCUUUAUCCUUGUCUAUCCAAUUAGAGGUUGUGGAUCUAACUCUGAAAUCUCUCGACAUAGCAUCUUCACCUUAUGAAAGUAUUAUGCAAUUGGCAUGUUGUGUUGUCCUAUCGAGAGUAAUUCGUUCUCUAAGAGUUGGAGCCUCGUAUCAUUUUUAUUUGAAAAUAGCUUUGCGAAUGUAUCCCACACCUGUUUUGGUGUUGUGGCGUCUCAUAUGUGCUCUAGCAUAUCCUCUUCAGUUGUUGUCUUCAAAGCAAACAUAGCCUUUCCUGCUUUUAUCUUCCACUUUCGCAAUGUGAUGUGUGCAUCUUCUGCUUCUGGUUGUGUCACAUCAUUGUCGUUCACAACCUCUCACAGAUCUUGCCCUUGCAUAUAAGACAUUAUACAAGUGGACGAUGUACUGUAGUUGUUGUUGUUGAGCUUUUUCAUUCCGCCGAUAGCUUGUAGGUAUGUCAUUGUGUCAACAGUAGAAAUCUAAAAAAAAAAAGACUACAAUAUGUGAUUUCCCAAAGAACAACCUUACUCUUAAUACCAAUUGAUGAACUCAAAGUAAGAAUAAGUUCAGUUAUAGCAGUAAGAGAAAGAUAUAGUUUGCAGAGAAAAAUGGACAACUACUUUAUUCACUUUGUUGAUGACUCUUUUAAAUAAAAAAUUGCAAAUUAGAAAGACAUGUAGUGCCCGUUUGGAUAAGCUGAAAAAAAGCGACUGAAAAAAAGUUCUUUAAAAGUGCUUUUGAAAGUGUUGAACUUAUUUUAAAAAUAAGCAGUUAAGUGUUUGGAUAAAAGUGCUGAAACUGAAAAAAAAUUAUUGAUGUGUUUGAUAAUAAUGUUUUUAAGCACUUUUUUUCGUUAAAAUGACUGAAAUACCCUUAUAGCUGUUAAUAAUAUAUUAGAGUUGAUUAUUAUUAAUUUUUAUUGCUAAAAUGAUUCAAAUUAAAAUUAAUAUAUAUAUAUAUAUAUAUAUAUCAAAAAAAAUUCAUGAAUGACUAUUAAUUUGUGCGCUAAAAAAAUAUUUUUUUUAAGAGUUUAAAUGUUGAAUGUUUGUGUUUGAAAAAGAUAGUUUUAUAUUAAAAGAUUAUUUGUUUCUUCAUGAUUACGUUAAGAUUUCGUAUCAUUAAGGUGCAAUUUACGACACUUUCAUUUUCUUAUUAAACUAGACUUGUUGCUUUUAACUUUUGAGGAUAAUAUUAAUAUAUAUGUCGAGCUUAUCAUUAAGCAAAAUAUAUGUUUUUAAUCAUUAUAAUUUCAUUAAUAGAUAAAUAGCUUCAUAUAAAAGAGGUACUAAUAUGGCUAGAGUUAAGUUCGCCAUAAAUACAAAAAUUGAAAAAUAUUCAAUUAGUACAAGCAUUAAGCAUUACAAAUAUCAUUAGCAAUCAUAUCAAUUUAAUUACAAAUAGUGGUGGGUUAUAGUGAAUUUUAUUAAAAUAGUAGUAUUAUAUUUACCAAUUUGGCAACGCAUAAAAGUUAACAAAUCACACUUGUAUUAUUAUUUUUUAGGGUUAACACUUAAAAUUGGAUUAUAUCGGUGCGUUAUAACUCAUAUGGUUGGGAAGUUGUAUACAUGUUAUUUAAUUAGGUAGUGGAUUAGAGUUUAAUAAAUUAUUCAUUUAAUUUUCAAUUUUAAUAGAAGUUAGCAAAGUGGAGGAUAUAAUAACUACUUCUUUUAACCAACAAAAAGAAAACUAUUUCUUAUUAAAUUAUUCAUUUAAUUUUCUUAGAGAAUUGAAAGAGUGGUGUGUGAAGUGUGCCGAAGGUAAAAAGGAGAAUUAGGCAAGGGUAAAAUUGAAAUAAGUUAUAAUUGCAAGGGACAGAGUGGUAAUUUAAAUGGUCAACUUAAAAUUUCAGAAAAAAAAUAAGCACCUAUUUGCUACUUCUUGUUUUUUGCUUAAAAAAAGUCAAAAACAACUUUUUUUAAGCUAUAUUAAAAACUGUCAAACAUCAAUAUAAGCAAAAAUUAGCUUAUAAGUUGGUCAAACACCCACGUAAUCCCACUAAACCACUAACAGAACUAAAACUCUCCUAAACUUUAGGAACACUAUCUGCUACUCUAAAGACUAGGAAAACAGCAACGUACUUAAAAAAUAAUACAACCUAAUAACUAAAGCUAAAAAAUAGUCUACUGCAGAUUUGGUCAAAUUUAAACAAGACAGAUGUUGCACAACUUUAACAUCCCUUCUCGACAUCAGCUUCCUGUCUUAACCAUGCCUAGCUGAUGGUAUGUAUAUGAUUAAACAAUUAAGCAUCUUUGGAAGUUACUUUUUCUUUCAAUUUAUGUGAUAUUUUUUGAAUUUUAAGAGUUAAGCGGUUUCUUUUUACCAUUAUUUUUUCACAUGACUUAUAGAUCUUUUGAAUUGUCAGUUAUUUUGAUCAUAAAACUUUUUGCAUAGUCUACAAAUAAGUAAAUUAUUUCAAAAAAUUUAAAAAUUUCAUAUCAAAAUUUAAAAGUCUCUCAAAUCGCUGCGCUCGCUACCAUAAAAAUUACUCGUGUCGGUGCUUAUAUAACUACACAUAUCAAUUUAUCAUGAUUAAGUAAUUUAAUUAAAUGAUAAUAUAUUAACUAAUUAUAAUUAAGUGAAAAAUGAAUGUAAAAGCACAUUGACAUGCAUGUAUUAUAUUGAUUUGGCGUAAAUAUUCGGAAACAAACUUUUAUGUAUAUGCUACUGGAUCAGAAAUUUUGUCAUGUAUGUACACUUCAAUUACGAUUUAACAAUAUUAUGGUGUAAAUUCAUUUUAUCUGAUAUGAACAUGAGUAAAUAAUUUUCACAUGGGAUUAAUAAUUACAAUGAUGUAUUUCUAAAACACAUUAUAAGGCUACAGAAUUUCGUGCUUACAAAAUAAAUGUCUUAAUAUUAUACAGGGUGUGAAUGGGAAAACACAUUGCGGAAGAAAGAGUAUAUUAAAUGAAUAUAUUUGGAUAUAGUCACUUAAUUAUCUUUAUUUAGUCGUUUUUAGUUGUUCACUUUUAACUUUAUAUGUCCCUUAAAGAAACAAUGAUCAAUAUGUGAUUUAAUCAUUAUGCCCAUGGUAAUUGACGUAUGGGAGUAUUAAGUUUUGAAAAAUGAUAUGCAGAUCGAUUAUUAAUGCAGAGAAAACAUGAAAGAAAAUAACUGCCUUUUUGCUAAUAUAUUAAAAGUGACAAGUAAAUAUAAAAUAUAUAUUUUUGAAAUAAUGAACAGGUAAAAGUCAACAGAAGGAAUAUAAUUAGUCACUUAAUAAUAUUCAUGUCUUCAUAUAUGGAUAGUGAAGAUCGUCAAUGUCCCCAUGCAAUAAAUUUUCAUAAAAGAAAAUGUUUCAUUUCUAAUUACUUUGUAUUUGGUAUGUUUUAAUUUCUUCCUAGUUAAUACUCCCCGUCUCAAAUUAUUUGUUCCAAAUUUUCUCAUUUUACUUGUUUUUUUUCAUUAAUCAAGAAUAGAUAAAAAAAAAAAAAUUCAUAUUUUAACCUUUGCAUUAAUUACUUUUUCUUUAAAUUAAAAUGUAAACAUCAUUUAAUAAUAGAGGUACCAUGAUAAACUAGCCGUGUUAUUAAUUUUUUUCUUAAUCAAUACGUCAUCUCAAUUUAAAAGGGUAAUUUGGGACGAAGGGAGUAUACAUUCCCUCCAAAUUCACAAAUUUCUUUUGACUUUCCACAUUCUUACAUGCAUUCCCACUCUCUUAAUUUACCUAUAAAAUGACACUAAUCACAAAUUAAUUUUCUUCAUCAUUUCUAAUCAUAUUUGAAUACAAUGCCAACUCUCAUAAGCACUAUAGUCAUGAAGACGAAUACUAAAGCUAGAACUCUUUUUCCUACAACAUUUGUCUUUUUAUUUUUCCUUCAUCUUUCUUUUGUUUGUUGUCGAAAAAUAAUAAGCAGUAAUCGCGGUGAAAUUGGCUUCACUCUUGAUCUUAUCCAUCGCGAUUCUCCUCAAUCACCUUUUUACAACCCAUCAAACAGCGUUCGAGAUGCCUUCCAUCGAUCAUUUUCACGCGCUUCUUUUUUCCAAAAAAGUUCCUUUGCUUCUCCUGAUUCAAUCCAAUCGAGUAUUUCUCCCAUCCCGGGUGAAUAUCUUAUGAAACUAUCCAUUGGCACACCGCCUGUUGAAAUAGUAGCCAUCGCUGACACUGGUAGUGACUUAACAUGGACGCAAUGUCAGCCUUGCAUCAAUUGUUUCCAACAAUCAUACCCUCUUUUUGACUCAAAGAAAAGCUCUACUUAUAAAACCAUAGGGUGUGAUGCUCAAGAAUGUACAUCAAUUGGGAGUAGUUCUUCUUGUGUUAGUGGAAAUAAUGUUUGUGAAUAUCAAAUUAAUUAUGGUGAUAAUUCACACACUAUUGGUGACCUUGCUUUUGAUGUAUUCACUUUUCAUUCUACUUCUAGUGAAAAUGUUGCAAUUCCUAACGUUGCCUUUGGUUGCGGUCAUGACAACGGUGGAACGUUUAAUAAUCAUACUUCUGGUAUUAUUGGCUUAGGUGGUGGUGAAGUUUCAAUUAUCAAGCAAUUGGAUAAACAAAUCAACGGGAAAUUCUCUUAUUGUUUGAUCCCCAUCCAAUUGGAUUCAACAUCAAUAUCCAAUGUCACAAGUCACAUCAACUUCGGUAGUAAUGCCAUUGUGUCUGGUCCUGACGUUGUUUCAACUCCCUUGAUUAGAAUGGAAUCAUCCACGUUCUAUUAUCUAACCUUGGAAGGUGUCAGCGUUGGGAAUAAGACGUUGGAAUUCAAAUCUUCUAAAAUUGGCGGUUCUUAUGCUGGUGGUGAUGAAGGCAACAUUAUAAUAGAUUCUGGUACAACGUUGACACUUAUGCCUAGUGAGUUUUACGAGAAUUUGGAAUCUAUGCUGGUGGAUUCGAUCAAUGCUACUAGGAAGGAGGAUUCAUCGGGAACUUUUGGUCUGUGUUACGAUUCUGAUGAGAAUGGCACUAUCGAUGCUCCAACAAUUGUCGCACAUUUUACUAAUGCGGAUUUAGAGUUGUCUCCAUCGAGCACAUUUGCACAAGUGGAGAAAGGUUUGGUUUGUCUUACAAUAGUACCAGCAAAAGAAUUUGCUAUAUUUGGAAACUUGGCACAGGCCAAUUUCCUAAUUGGGUAUGAUCUUGUUGCCAACAAAAUUUCCUUUAAGCCUACAGAUUGCACUAACUACUAGUAUUGUUUUGUUGGUUCAUUAAUGUUAUUAGUAGUAAUUUCAAUAUUGUUGAUUAAUUCUUCUUAUUUUAUAUAAAUGAAAAUCUUUAAAUUAAGUAUUUUCUUGAUGUUUACUGAUUUUAUUAUAUUAACUGAUAAUAAAAAUCUCAAAGACGGUAGUAGAAUUAACGGUAAGAGGGUUGAGUCUUACCUUACUAAUUCUAACGAGGGACGAACCCUUACGCAUACUCUGUGAUGAUAUUUGUAUCCUUUUAUUUUUAACUAUUAUACUUGGUCUAAAGUUCAGAAUAUAUGUAUACUUAUAAAUUAUAUUUGAUUGACUUAAUUUCAAGUAGCAAUGGUUUACAUGGAUCGGAUCUGAAUAAAAGAGGAAUUGAGUCUUUUUAAGUUUGUUUGGGUCUGAAGGUAUAAACAAAAUGAGUAAGGUAAUUUUUUAACGUCAUGUGGUAUUUUUGAAAUUAAAAAACAAGUUUUAGGAUUUUUUUUAAUUCACUCUGUUGAUGAUAAAGGUAAAUAUGCAUCAUUCCUUAGACGACAAGACUAUAUAUGCACCAUUCAUUAAAUGAUGAGGAUAUAUAUGCAUUUAUGCAUCACAUUUAUAAUGAGUGAUAUAUCCGCAGUAAAUCACGACGUUAAAGGUUAUAUUUAUUACCCCUUUCCUCAAAAUUAAAAUAAGGUUAAAAGAUAAUACCAAAACAACAAAGGAUGACAUUGUUAUGAAGCCUAAUACUAUGAAGGAAAGUAAAUUUAUUUCAAUUUCUAUGAUUAUAAAGUUCUAUUUUCAAAUAAAGUUGAAAAAUAAUUAAUGUCUUGACAGUCAAUGGAUAAUCUUGCAUGAAUUUUUUCAGAUAAUACUUCCUUUACUACACAACUUUUUAUUUUGCUGAGGAAUUUACUACACAAUUAUUUAUUCUUGACUUGACAUUUUUCAAAUGUGAAAUUCAACUUGUAUUAAUAGACAUUGCCUCCUCUACAUCAUUUCUCAUCAUUCUCCAAAAUUUUUAGCCAUGGACAUUAAUAUUAAAUCUUUCACUCUUAUUAUAUUAGUCUUUUUAGUUUUUUUUCCAUCUUUCUUUGGUUUCUUGUCGACGACAAAGUGUAAAUGGCUUCACUCUGGAUCUUAUCCACCGUGAUUUUCCUCUUUCACCUUUUUACAACUUAUCAAGUACUCCAUUUGAACGCCUUCAAAAUGCCUUCCACCGGUCAUUCUCUCGUGCUAAUUCCUUCUUUAAGGGAAAUUCUGUCAAUGAAAUCCAAUCGAUUAUUACUCCAAUCCCGGGUGAAUACCUCAUGAAAAUCUCAAUUGGAACACCGCCCGUUGAAAUUGUAGCCAUAGCUGAUACAGGUAGUGACUUAACAUGGACACAAUGUAAGCCUUGUAUACUUUGUUUCCAACAAUCAAGGCCUCUUUUCGAUUCGAAUAAAAGCUCUACUUAUACAACUAUGAGUUGUAAAGAUAAAGAAUGUACAUCAAUAGGGAGUUUUUCUUAUUGUGGGGAUGGAAAUAUUUGUGAAUAUCGAAUUAGUUAUGCUGGUCAAUCGCGCACUUUUGGUGACCUUGCUUUCGAUAAAUUCACUUUGCCUUCUACUUCUGGCAAAAAUGUUGUAAUUCCUAACGUUGCCUUUGGUUGUGGACAUGAAAAUGCUGGCACAUUUAGUAAGUAUACCUCUGGUAUUAUUGGUUUAGGUGGUGGUGAUGUUUCAAUUAUCAAACAAUUGGAUAAACAUAUCAAUGGAAAAUUCUCUUAUUGUUUGAUCCCAUUCCCAUUGGAAUCAACAUCAAUGUCCAAUGUCCAAUGUCACAAGUCACAUCAACUUUGGGAAUAGAGCCAUGUUGCCUGGCCCUAAUGUCGUUUCAACUCCCUUGAUAAAAAAUGAUCCGUCCACGUUCUACUAUCUACACUUGAAAGGUGUUAGCGUUGGAAAUAAUAAGUUGGAAUUCAAAUUUUCUAAAAUUGGGUCUUAUACUGGUGGUUAUGAAGGUAACAUUAUAAUUGAUUCUGGCACAACGUUUACACUUCUGCCAAGUGAUUUUUACUCGAAUUUGGAAUCAACAUUAGUGGAUUUGAUCAAUGCUACUAGGAAGGACGAUCCAUUGGGGACUUAUGGUCUAUGUUACGAAUCUAAGGAUGGUACUAUCGAUGCUCCAAAGAUUGUCGCACAUUUUACAAAUGCGGAUUUAGAGUUGUCACCAUCGAACACGUUUGCACAAGUGCAAAAAGGUUUGGUUUGUCUUACAAUAGCACCAACAGAUGACAUUGCUAUAUUUGGAAACUUGGCACAGGCCAAUUUCCUAAUUGGGUAUGAUCUAGUAGCCAACAAAGUCUCGUUUAAGCCUACAGAUUGCACUAAGUACUGAUGUUGUGCCCAAUAAAAUUCAAAUUUUAUUGAUCAAUUCUUGAUUUCAUAGAUAUACUUUCUAUAUAAGCACUAAUGGAGAUUUCAUCCUUUUAUUAUGCGUUCAAUCAAGUAAAAUAAAAUCAAUUAGUGACAUUUACAAAUGGAGUUAACACUCUUUUGAUUUUUGAAAUUUGAAGUUGAAUUUGGACAUUCAUUUUACUUGAAGAAAAAAAUGAAUUUUUUUUUCCCUAAAAUUGGUCUGAACUAAUUUAUGAAAACUGAAAUUUUUUUGAAAAUAGAUUUUCAAAAUUUGAUCCAAAAUCUAUAGUCAAACACAUAUUUGAAGAUAAAAUUUCAAAAUCUAAUCCAAAUUUUAUGGUCAAACGCUUACUAAAUGUAUCCACAUGGGUCCAAAUCAAUUCAAAAUGAUCCAAAUCUGAUAUCAACCUUCUAAUAACAAUUAAAUAGCUAGGUUCAACCAAAUCUUCAAAAAUCAAUAUACAUCUUUGUUUUCUCCAAGAAUCAAGCUCAAUAAAAUGUGACAAUACCAAUGUCCUGGUAAAUCAGUAGAAAUUAUAUAUAGGGAUUGUAGUUUGCGAUUCAAAAAUAUUGUACACUUCUUCUAUAUCUUUGUAUAUACCCACACUUUAUUCAUCGAACAGGCCUAAUUGUGCACAUAAAUAUAAGUAAAAUUAGAGUGAAUGAGUACAAGUGAAAUUAGAGCGAAUUAAUACAGUUCCUUAAAGAUUCUUUGUUGUUUGUAUCUUUUUGUACAUCAGAACUGAAUUCGUUGGUACAAAUUGUAUUCGCCAAUACAACCUAAAUGAGCGUAUGAAUCCAACAAAUACAAUAGUUUGACAUCUAAAAAAAACUUGAUUUUUUAAAAUUAUAUUUCUUCCUAAUAUCUAAAAAGUUGCUACCAAUGGUAAAUACCUAAACUAUAACUAUAUAUUGUUAACAAGGUCCAAACUAUAGUCAUUUUUUAAAAUUUCUCAAAAAAUUUCUACCUACAUGAAUUGCAGUAGGAUGGUUGGGAUCCCUCAAUCUUUAACCAAAGAUCUCGUAUUUAAGCCUCCGACAAUUUUGUGGAUUUGAAAUUUAUAUGGACACCAAAUCAACGCCGGAAUUGAAUUUUUCAUUAAAAGGAUUUAAAAAAUAUGAAAAAGUGAUGUAAUGAUCCUACUUAGGAUAGCUUAGCAUAUUUUAAACAAGCAAGUAAAGAAACACAGGCAGUGGGGAUCGUAGUUAAAGCACAGAAGGAGUGACUAACUUGUUGACCUAGACGGUUGAGAUUUAAUCGUUAUUAAUGAGGUGCAAGGGUGGAGAUCAUGACACGUCGCCAGAAGUUGUUAAAUAAAGACUUGUGGAUAGAGAAAACACUAACGAUAAUCUGUAUUUCCUCUUCUUCCUCGUGAUCUCUUCUCUUUCUUCUCUCCUCUAAAUUUUUUAUGCUCCUCUUCUCUUCUCUGCAGAUUCAGGAACUUGCAUGGAUGCCCAUCUAUCCUAGUUAUCUUAAAUUAAUUCAGUUCUUAAUUUUCUUAUAAUUGAUAUUCAUUUUCCUAUUUUUGAAGUAAAUCGAAAAUUGUCCCAAAAAAAAUUAAAUGGUUUCACUUUUAUUGUUAUUGAAUUUAGUCAGAUCCUAAUUAGGAUUCUGACAAUUGGUAUCAGAGACACUGUUCCGUGCGACCUAUGUGGUGGAGAUAGCUGAGGGCACUCGCUCUUAGAUGGUGGAUGAUCGACUGGCCAUACAUGAUGGAAUUUUGAAUGAAUUGCUAACUAAUCAACAGGAAUGCGUAACACUCAAACAGGAAUUCAAUGAACCUUAAAGAUGCUUUUAGACAGGCUUACAACUCUUGAGAGAGUAUCUAAUAGAGCUCAGGGUGAACACCAAUAAGGAGAUGGGAUACUUCCUAAUCCAACUCGGGAAAACAGACAAAACAUGCCGCAAUGGUGUCAAUUACCCAGUUUUGAAGGUCAUGAACCCAAAGUGAGCCUCCGCAAAUAUGAAAGGUAUUUCACUAUAUACAUAAUCCUGGACAAUCUUAAAGUUGAUGCAAUUACGUUGUAUUGAAUGGGGUAGCGGAUACUUGGUAUCACACUCUAGUACUGAGUAGAGGUGUGGCUAAUUGGCAAAAUCUAAGAAAGAGCUAAUUAGCAAAUUUGAUGAUGAAUUAUUGGAUGAUAUAGUGUAACAAUUUAAUAGACUCUCUCAAACAGGAUCAAUGGAUGAAUUUUUGGUUAAAUUUGAAGACCUCAAGGCUCAAAUGCUUGUAAGGAAUCCACACCUCAAUGAUGCUCACUUCCUAUCUAGUUUUAUGGGGGAUUUGAAGUAAGAGAUUCGAUUUGCUAUUAAGAUGUCCAAACCAACUACACUUAAACUAGCUAUUGAAAAAGUUAGGAUGCAGGAGAAGGCAAUAGAAGUUGCUCAGAGGAGAAAUAAGGUCAUAAACAAGCCCACUAGUAUUGUAAACCACAAUCCUAAUACCAAGGUAGGUGGACCUAACCAUUAAACCUAAUACAUUUAAACUGCGUCCAGAAGUUUAUGAGUACAAGAAGACCAACACAUUAUGUUUUAAGUGUGGUGAUAAGUAUGUAGUUGGUCAUCAAUGUAAACAAAAACAACUUUAAUAAGAGAAGUAGAGCCUUUUGAAGAGAGACCUGGAGUGAUAGAGGAUCCUUCCUAUUCAGAUGUAAUUAUUAAAGGAGAAUUAGACCAGGAAGUUCAGGAGGUCGUAUGCUUAAAUGCACUAUCAGAUAACAAUCAAGGGGUGAACAUUAUCCUAGUCAGUGGUACUGUAAAGAAUAGAGCACUCAACUUGUUGAUUGACUCAGGAAGCACUUAUAGCUUUCUUGAUAAAAACAGGUGUGACAUGGUGCUUGGAAAUGACUGGAUGAAGAAGCACAAUCCCACUAAAUUUGAUCAUGAAAAGAAGUGUGGCAUAAAGAGCAACAAGUUAGUGUUAAAGGAAAUAGUUGAGAAAGGGAAGCUGAAUAUGAUCACUAGUGGUACUAUGAACAAGAUGUUGAAAACAGGACAAACUCAUAUUGCUCGUUUGUUUAUGAUGAGUACAAAUGACAACAUAACCCAGGAGCUAGUGAAUGAUGCUAUAUUGAAGGUACUAGACUGAUAUCCAGAUGUGUUCAAGGAUCCAAUGACCCUGCCUCCUGUUAGUCCCUUGAUUAUGCCAUUUCUCUCAAAAUAGGUGUUGUUUCGGUAAGUUUAAGGCCUUAUAGGUACACGUACUAUCAAAAGAAUGAGUUGGAUAAGCAAGUCACUGAAAUGAUCAACCAAGGCAUAGUUCAGCCUAGCCAAUCUCCAUUCUCUUCACCAGUUUUAUUGAUCAAGAAGAAGGAUGGAUCCUAGAGAUUUUGUGUAGACUACAGAAGGUUGAAUGAGAUCAUUUCAAAAGACAAGUAUCCAAUACCUAUAGUUGAUGAUUUAUUGGAUGAAUUGCAUGGUUUUAUGAUCUUUUCCAAAGUAGAUCCCAGGGUUGGAUACCACCAAAUCAAGAUGAAGGUUGAGGAUGUCCAUAAAACUAUAUUUAGGACCCAUGUGAGCUAUUAUGAGUUUAAGGUGAUGCCAUUUGGCCUAACCAAUGCACUUGCUACUUUUCAAGCCCUAAUAAACCAAGUUUUCAGCCAUUUUUCACAAGGUCUGUCUUAGUAUUUUUAAUGAUAUAUCAUUUAUAGUGUGUCUGCAAAAGAGCAUAUUGAGCAUCUAAUAAUUAUGUUUGACAAAUUAAGACAUCACUCUCUGUAUGAUAAGAGGUCCAAAUAUUUAUUUGGUCAACCUAAGGUUGAAUACCUAGGUCAUGUUAUCAAUGGAGAUGGAGCAUCUACUGAUCCUGAUAAGAUCAAGGCUAUGGUGGAGUGGCCUACUCCUAAGUCCUUAAAGGCUCUUAGAAGAUUUUUAGGGCUGACAGGUUAUUAGAGGAAAUAUGUGUCUGGUUAUGGUAUAAUUUACAAACCUUUUACAAACAUAAUAAAAAUUAUACCUUUAAGUGGAAUGAAGAAGUUGAUAUAGCAUUUAAAGCUUUCAAAACCGCUAUGUCCUUAACAUCUGUAUUUAUACUGCCUGACUUUGGCAAGGAAUUUAUUGUGGAAACAACUGCUAGCCAUUGUAAUAUUGGUGUUGUACUUAUGCAGGAAGGCAAACCAGUGGCAUACUUCAGUAAAGUGUUAACCCCAAAACACAGAGGUAAAUCUAUAUAUGAAAAGGAGUAUAUAGCCUUGUUGAAUGUAGUGGACAAGUGGAGACACUACUUCUAGUUCAAACACUUUGUGAUCAGGACUGAUCAUCAUAGUUUGAAGUAUUUGAUGGGGCAAAGAGUUACCUCAGCCUUACAACAGUAAGGGCUUACUAAAUUGUUGGGACUUGAUAAUGAGAUCCAAUAUAAGAAGGGUGCUGAGAAUAGGGUUGCUAAUGCCCUAUCCAGACAAGAAGGACAACUCUUGGUUAUGAGUGUGACAAUUUCAACUUGGAUACAAGAGGUCACUAAUAGCUAUUUUGAGGAUCCUCAGGUGCAAGAACUAAUCUCUUAAGUCAUUAUAGAUUUGCAAGGUCCUAGCUUAUGGCAUUACAUUUUUGGGGUUUUGAGAAGAAAAGGGAAUGUUUAUAUUGGAGCUACUAGAGGCUUAAGACAGUAGCUAUUAACUAUAUUUCAUGUUUCUCCUAUGGGGAGGGGGGGUCAUUCAGGGCAGCUAUGCACCCUCAAGAGACUGUCUCAACUCUACUAUUAGCCUAACACGGAAUGGAUGGUCAAUGAUUUAACUGCAGGUUGUGAAGUGUAUCGAAGAAACAAAGAUGACAAUGCAACUUAUCCUGGACUUUUGCAGCCACUACCUAUUCCUAAUCAAUCUUGGAGCCAAAUUAGCAUGACUUUACUAAAGGACUUCCUAAAUCUAGAGGCAAAAAGGUGAUCCUGGUAGUAGUAGAUAGAUUGACCAAGUAUUCAUACUUUAUUGCUUUAUGACACCCUUAUAUUGCUGUCACGAUAGAUGAACAUUAUUGGAAUAGGAUACAUUGUCUAUAUAGUGUUCCAGAUUCCAUAGUGACUGAUAGGGAUAAAUUUUUUCUUAGCUAUUUUUGGCAAGAUUUAUUCAAACUUUUGGGCACACAACUACACUACAACAUAGUUUACUAACCCAAAAGUGAUGGCCAAACUGAGAAAGUGAAUAAAUGUCUAGAGAAUUAUCUCAAGUGCAUGGUGUCUAGCAGACCUACUCGUAGGGAGCCCUGGCUUACUGUUGCUGACUGGUGGUAUAAUACUAUCCUCCACACUAGCCUGAAGUGCACUUCUUUUGAAGGUUUGUAUGAGUAUUCACCUCUACAUCUGUCCAUGGGACCACUAAUAAAGACUAAUGUUCCCAUGGCUGAGGAUAUUGUUUUGAAAAGACAACAGAUGUAUCAACUUCUUAAGGACAAUUUGAGCAAAGCACAAGAUAGGAUAAAACAUUAUGCAGAUAAGAGGAGAUAAAAAGGGGAGUUUUAGGUGGGAGACAUGGUCGAUCUACCUCAAGAUUCAACCUUACAGGCAAACCUCUAUAGCAUUGAGAAAAAAAUUGAAGCUUUCGUCUAAAUAUUAUGGUCCUUACAAGGUCAUUUCCAGAAUUGGAUCAGUGGCUUACAAACUUGAAUUACCAUCAGUCUCUAAAGUACAUCCAGUGUUCCAUUUAACCUUUCUAAAAAGAAGGUAGGUUACAAGGUGGUGGUGCAAUCGACUCUGCCUAUUACUGAGAAUAAUGGUCAGUUUUUAGUCCAACCUGUGGCUAUUUUACAAAGACAGAUGAUCAAAAAGAAUAAUGUGGGUGGAGUGAAUGUUUUGGUUCAAUGGUCAAAUUUGCCACUAAAAGAUGCUACCUGGGAAGACUAUGACUUCCUUAAGGCCAAGUUUCUUAAUUUCGAUUCUCAUCCUUGAGAUCAAGGAUGUUUUGAAGAAGGAGGAAAUGUAAUGAUCCUACUUAUGAUAGCUUAGCAUAUUUUAAACAAGCAAGUAAAGAAACGCGGGCAGUGUGGAUUGUAAUUAAAGCACAAAAAGAGUGACUAAUUCGCUGACCUGGACGACAAAGAUUUAAUUGUUAUUAAUGAGGUGCGAGCAAGGGUGGAGAUAAUGCCACUUCGCCAGAAGUCCUUAUACAACGACUUGUGGUGAGAGAAAACACCAAUGAUAAUCUAGUAUUUCCUCUUCUUCCUCGUGCUCUCUUCUCCCACUUCUUUUUUUUCUCCUCUCUUCUAAAUUUCUGAUCCUCCUUUUCUCUUCUCUGCUAAUUCAGGAACUUCUGGUGCCCAUCUACCUAGUUAUCGUAGAUUAAUUUAGUUCUUAAUUUCCUUGUAAUUGAUGUCCAUUUUUCCUAUUUUUGAAGUAAAUUAAAAAUUGUUCGAAGAAAAUUGAAUGGUUUCACUUUUAUUGUUGUUGAAUUUAGUCAGAGUGAAUACACAAAAUAGCCAAGAGAAAAUUCAACCCUUGACCCUACUUGAGUCCGCCUCGAACCCUAAUUGGUUCCCCUUUGUUCUCUAUGACUUACCUGUUUCACUUAAGAACUUUGUUUAUAUCAAAACAAGAAGAAACGUAAAAUAGAUACUUUGAACAAUAGAUAAUUUGGGGUUUAUUUUGAUAAAUAUUUAAGGUAGAAAACGUAAACACCUCAUAGUUCAGCUAUGAAACUCAAAAAGAAGUGGAUACUUUAUGUGUGUUUUGACCAUUUAACUCAUUUAAAGUCUGUUUUUCAUCUAUUAAGCCAUCAUGUAAAAGGUGGCUUGGUACUCACCAUGAGCUACCUGUUACGAUUAGUACAAGUUAGUUCUAGGUUAGCAGCAGCAACAAAAACGUACCCAGUGUACUAAUUAGCUGGAGAGGGUAAAGUGUAUGCAAACCUUACCUCUAUCAAAGAAGUAGAGAGGUUGUUUCCAAUUAGUGACGGAUCCAAGAUUUAGGGGCCGUGGGUGACAUGAGGUUCAGACACACAUAUUAACGCCCAAAGUUUUAAGAUUCCGCCGGUAAACCAUAACACCCAGCUAUCUUCUUGGUUUCCUGGGUGUGCUUUUUUGAAGUUUAUACCGAUUAUUACUUUUUUAUAUAGUUAUACCGAGUCUGUGUUGGAUUUAACGGGUGCCGAACCAUCAAAAAAAUGCAUAUAGGUCCGCCUCUGUUUCAAAUAGAUCCUCGGCUCAUGAAAAAAAGUCCAACGUUGUUGCGAAAAAUAAGUAAUAAAAGUACAAGAAUAAAUAGCUCUAGGAUAAGAAGCAAAAUUGUAUUUCUUGAAACCUAAGUGUGUGACCUAGUGGUCAAUGAAGUGGUUGAGAAUCAUGAGGUGUCAGGUUUAAAUCUCAGCAGAGACAAAAACACUAGGUGCUUUCUUCUCAUUUGUCCUGGCCUUGGGAACAGAAUUACCUCAGGUAUUUUGUGGAAUUAGUCGAGGUGUGCGCAAGUUGGCCCCAACACCCCGGUUAUAAAAAAACUGCAUUGUUUGCUUAAGCAGAAAUGGUGAUUCCUCCACCAGUUAGACCAGAAACAGUGAUGAAAUAUCUCAAACUUAUGUGCUGAGGAUGCACUUCACAAACAAGUACAUAAAUGCCCAAGUAGUUCACAUACCAACGGCAACAGUGGCUGCUUCCGUGAGCACACAAGAGAAAGGCGUAAGGCUUGCCACAAUAGAAGCAAAAGCGAAUGCUAGAGAUGUUGCUGCUACUGCAAAAAUUGGUAAGUUGUUGGCCAAAUGUAUUCCUGCCAUAUCGCUUAAGAGAGAGCAACGAUACCAUGAAAAGGUCAAAGCAGUUAUUGAUUCGGUUAGAGAAGCCGGUAUAGAAUUGGUUUGAUUGGAACACCGUGACCAUUUUCUCGUUUCAUGAUUAUGUGUUCGACUGGCAAUGUGUUGUUUGCAAUCAUCUCCAUUCUUGCAACUGAACAAUGUGUUGUUUGCAAUGUAUAGGAUGUCACUUCUGACAUUCCCAGUGCUGAAUCUGUGAUCACUUGGGUAUAAAGUUGAAGUUAAACAUGUAGUUUCUGUUCGGGGUUGGAAAAUCCAAAUUCAUACGUGCGUACAUUUGGCUUCAAUGAUCUGUCAAAUUGACUCUUGACAAGCGAAAAGCAUAACAUAAAUUGAGACAGAGAGUAGUAUGCACCAAGAAUGUUUAGUUAAGUUGAACCAUGAUACCCUUUGUCAACUUUCUGAGUUGUAAAGGAUGUCAAUAUAGCACUAUAAUUAUUGACUUUUACAUUAUAACAAGAUACAUAAUAUUAACCUCAAACAAAAUGAUACAAAACAGUUUCUACUAGGAAACCAAAACACAAUUUUGUGCAUUGUUGGCUUUCCCUUAUUGCAAUAUAAUCGAUGCACACCUUUAAUUCCAUAUUUUCUCUUUCUCCCUUGUGGAAAAUUUUGUAAACUAUGUAUAACAAUCUAAGAGAAAAAAUUUCUAUUAGUCUUCGGUAUCGUCCUUGCUAGCAUCCGAUUCAAAAUUCCGGUUCUUGCAGGUUUUGUUACAGGGGUAAGGACAAUCAAUCUCUUGGAACCGUUUUCUGUCGUAAUACCAAUCUCCAACUGCUUUGGCAAUUGUCUGUAAGAACACAAUUUUUAGCAGUGUCAAUGGUUGUCUAAAACAGUAAGAUAGAAUCUUAGGUAUGACCAACAGAAUUUCAAAAUAAUUUUGUUAGCUGAUUGCAUACCGUGCCAGAUAAUACUGGCGAGUCGUCCCUCAUCCAUGUCUCUUGUGUUCCAGUUUGACAGUGUGCAUAACAGGAAUUGAUGUAAUACCCUCUUGUCGAGGAAGGGCCGAGUGAAUUCAACGCUUUCAAGAACUCUGACCUAAAGGCUGAGAAAUAAAUUCCAUGUAUUAGACACAAAGAGCAAAGCACAGCUUCUGAAUGUAAGUACUUCAUAUGAUUUAGCACCUUCACGCUUACUACAACCAGUUAUUUUUAGUUUUAAGUAUUUAGAGUCCAAUGAUCGAUAGCUUAACGGUGUAUUCCUACUGAAUGAAAGAACGACAAAGGGCUUAAGAGUUUGAACCUUGCAUGGUUUGGAGCUGAGAAGACGAGCAUUUCAGUAUGUCAAGCUUGCAGUUGCGCCAAGUUCCAUGAGGAUCAGCAACACCGGGAGCUAAAAUGUUCUUUAUCUGAAAAAUUUAAGAAUAAUAAAUAAGCAAAAAUCAUCGAUUUAAAGGGCAAAAUUAUCCUCGUAAAUAGUGUAUCUAUAUAUAACAUGUCUUUGAGAUACUAUAACCAAACAAAAAAAUGUUACUGGUCGUAGUGGAACUUUUGUCUUAUUGAGUGAGGAAACUUUUACUAAUCAGAAGCGUUAGUGUCUAUCCUGCACCCCUACGUGAUGAAGUCAACAGAGAAGAGGGAAGGAGCAGAAAGCCACUUGACUCUAAGGAGAGAAACGUAUUGGUGGAGCUAGAAGAACAGUGAUGGAGAUAUAGGACAGAGAUAAAGAGAACUCGUCUCAUAGAAUAGACGAAGCAAUUCAUAUUAACCACAACUUAUGAAAGAGCUACUUGUAAAAACAUCUUCUUACUACUGUGAGUCCUUUCCUCAAGCAUUUUACGACUUGAGUAACUUGAAUAGGUGAUUAAAUUCUGAGGCAAACGUGGUAAGCUGAUCGUCUUGAGGUGACCAUAUUCUCUAUUAAGCCUAUGGUAGCUGUAAAAAUUUACUCGUUAAAUGAUGAUAGAACAAGAAAAUGAGUUUGUUCUCUCUCGGUAGCAUAAAGACUUAGGAUUCGUAUGACCUGAUAUCAACUCGUGUUUCCUUUAUAUUUUAUCUGAAGAUGUUUUACGAUCCUUUUUCUGCUUUAUUUCUACAAUGUGAAAGCUAACUGCGCAUUUCAUUUCCUAAAAUCAUACAUAACUUGGAGGAAAUCAACAUUACAAACGAGGAAAAAAUUGUCAGAAGCUCGAACCAAAGCAUACAAAAAAUAAAAUCAACACGAAAUUUCAGACAUGAACUGACCUGCCAGGAAUCAUAGGCUGCAUUUACUAGGAAAAGUGGUGUCUGGAUUUGUUGCGCAACGUUUUGUGGGAAAAAGCACUGCAACAAAAAUCGUGGUGUUCUCACAUAAGACUAUGGAUCAAAUAAGGGGAAAAAAAAUAUAUUUUUGUGAAAAUAACGUUCAUCUUACCAAUCCCGGUUUCAGUCUUGAGGUACACGAUUGAGGCAAAUUCUUCGUGGAACCCUGAAUCAAAAUAACAUAACACAAUUAGUAAGAGUAAAAUUGAAUCUAUAGAACUUUCUUAGUGACUAUACUGUUACACCCGAUUUUUCACUCAUCUUCAUACACGAAAAAUUUACAGUUCAUUGUAGGUCUGAGCAUCAUUUUUGGUAUGAAGGGGACGUUAUGACCAGCAGAUUAUGUCACAGAGAAUUACUCCCUCUGUCUCUAUGUGAAGUUGUUUGGCUGGGCAUGGAGUUUAAGAUGAACAAAAGACUUCUGAAACUUAUAGUUUAAGACAAGCCAUAGAUAUAUGUGUGGAUAUAAACCAUUUCAGUAAGCAUAAAAUGAGAAGUUUAAAGUUAGAAUUGUUAAUACUAAAUAUAGAAAGAUGUCAUUUAUUCAAGACGGACUAAAAAGAAAGAGUGCCAUAUAGAUUGGAAAGGAGAGACAUACAUGUGUAUUAGCAACUUCAUUGUAGAACUGUUCAAUAUGAGAGGUACCGGCAAUAGUCUGCCUGCAACAGAGAAUCAAAAAUUUUACUAGUACCAAAUCAGAAAUUUAAAUUCUCGCAAAUUUUAACAAACACGAAUCGCGUAACUUACGUAUUGAUAAAGAAACCAGCAUCUGAGAGACAUUUGACUUUAGCACCAGGUGGAAGUAGACCUUUAAAUCUAUCACAAUGUAGAAUCGCAGCCAAACUACCAGCUGAACAUCCCCCAAGAAUAGCCUACGAUUCGAAAAAAAAAGUCCAGUCAACAACUAAACAAUUUGGCACGAUGAGUACACUCGGCUGCAAUAAUGUAUAAUCGAUUGAUUCAUCCUACAUUCUGAGCAUUCUUCAUUCCUUUAGCCAAGAAAUCCUCCAUAACAGCUGAAAAAAUCCUGGCUCCUCUGUAGAAUACUUUGGUUUUCUGACAUAAUUCAACAUGUCCAUUAAGAAUCAAUGAAAAUACUUCCAACUCUAUAAUCACGAUACUUGGACAGCUCGUUGUUUAUAUUAAAUCAAUAAGAAUGAAUGGUCAAAAAGACAUCUGAACUAUCACUUUUUCACGAGUUUCACACUCAAAACUAUUAGUUGUUCCAUUUUUCUACCUGAACUAUCAUCUAUGUAUCAAAAUGCACCUUAACUAUCAGCGGUUCCUUUUUCGUUCAGUUGAGUUGAGUUGUGUUUUAAUACAUAGAUGGUGAUAGUUCAGGUGAAAAAAUGGCACGACUGAUAGUUGGACGUCAAACACGCAAAGAACGAUAAUUCAGGAGUGCUUUUGACCCAUUAUUUCUCAAUCAAUAAUUGUAUAGUAUUUUAACAUAGACUUACUGGAUCGACUGCUUCAACGUCACCAGUAAAGGAUGAUCCAUCGCAAUAUCUAAUUCUAAUUCUGUUCCAGUUGUAAAAGUCUACAAUUUCCAAAACACAAUCAAUCAGAAUAAUGUUUUAAGAAUAAAAAAGGCGUGAAAACGAUUUAUAUGAACAAGGAUGAAACUCUACCUGGAUUAAACUUCGCCUUGUUGCUCAAAAUCCCCGAGAAGGACACUGUCUUUACCAUCAGUUUUGAUGAUCCCAAUCGUGUUUUUGUACGAGCAAGGCAAGUUGUGGCGUUGUUGCACCAUGCUCCUCCCUGAAAAUUCCCAUAGACAUAGGUAUGAAUUCAGAUGAAAAUUCAUUUACGCGAUCUAUCAUUUUAAAAAUUUCAAUAAAACUCACUCGGAAUGUGUUCAAAAUUCAUGUAAUAACUCGUUUUUUAUAACAAUGCUAUCCAGACCAACUUACGCACACCUCGACGAUCUUGUUUCAAGAAUUCAAAAGGGUAUCAUAGAGCCUAAAAAUCUACAUUUUAACUCUUCGGAGACAUCUGAUUUGGAACAAUACAGAGAACAUUAACAAAUCGAGAAAUGAUCCAAAUUUACUCAUAAAAAAAAAAGGCACCAAACAAACCUCAAGUUGGAUGAACCAAUUGUUAACACCUGCUCCAAAUCCUUUAUCAAAAUGGUAUGCUGGCGGACUCCCAUCCAAACAUACUGCAAACACAACAUUGACAUCAAAAAAAUCAAAACAUUUUCACAUUCCUAAAUAUUUUUUUACUCUGAGUCAGUGACGGAUUCAGGAUUUAGACAUCGUCAAUUCUAAUUUGAACUUAUAAGUCCAAAAAAUAUAUAUUUAACUCCAUAUUUUUUCACAAAAAUAUACCCAUGACGUCAACUGUGGAUCUAGGGAUGGAGCUACAGUUCUUACGAGUUUUGGAUUUGCUUUGGUCUAGACCAAGUAGUUGUGUUAAAUUCACUUAGUAUGUAUAAAUAUUAAUAAGCUACCAUUUCUAAGAACUCAUAAACUCAAAAUCUUAACUCGGCCUUUGAUCAGAUUCCCCCUCAAAAUCAAUACAUUUCCACAUUCCUGAAAUCUUUUCCAUAGUCGGAUUCAGAAUUUAAACGUCAUAGACUCUAAGUUGAAACUACAAGUUCUAAAAUAUAUAUUUAACUCUGUCUAUAUAUAUUAUUUGUUUCCCACAUCAAAAUACAUAAUAAUGUAUUUGUAUAUAAAUAAUGUGAUUGAAAGAAAUUCUUACCAGCUCCUUUAGCUACUGCACUCUCUAGAUAAGUAAUAUCAACUGGAUGACCUUCACUAAUUAAAACAAUUAGCAAAGUAAUUAUUGCAUGUAACCAUAGUUGCAUUGCCCUUUUUACCAUCCUGCAUAUUAAUUACAUAUGUUAAAAAUAAGUACAAAUCAAUAUAAAUAACCAAAAAAUAAAAAAGAGCAGAAAAGUCUAAAUAAUGAAACAACAAAGAAAAGCCAAGAAAAGAAAAACAUCUCAUUUUGAGAAAGAUUUAAUACUUACAUUUAAUAUACUACCUGUAUCUCUGUUUUAGCAAGAUUUUAUUUCUUAACCAUGUCAGAACAAACAUAAAAAUUACUACAAAUACAGAAAUGAAAUUUAAGUUCAAUAUAAUUACCUGGAAUAGCAAUGAUUCUGAAGGGAAAAAAAAUGUCAAAUGAAAUUAUUUUUGUUGAAAUUUUGCAGUAUAAAUUUAGCUAGCUGUGUAUUUUGUGUUUGGAGCUAAAAUUAGAAAAAAUAAAUUGAGGGGGAACAAAAAAGCAGGGUCCCUAAAGCAUCUGAUGUCUGAAAGUAUAGAGCAGAAGUAUAUAUUUAUACUAAAAAAAAGUAAUUGGGUGUGCUAUAACUCCCGUUAUGUACGGAGUACGGAAAGUGUCGGAUCACAAAAAUCUACUGAACGCAACUUCACUUUCCAUUUUUGCAAGCACUAUUUCAACGUCUUGGACUCGUGACCUGACUCUUGUCAGACGACAAUAACUUUAUCAGUUACUUCAAAACUUUCCUUUAAAAGCAUAUAUUUAUAUUGAAAAAAAUAACUGUCUACAUUGAUGUUAUCAUGUCGAUGAUCUAUUAAAAACAGUCUAUUUAUCAUCCGAGUUAGUAAUAAACUCUGUUUACAUACUUAUUUUAUUUAAGAUCACUUAUAAAAUUAUACUGAAUAUAUUUUAUUCGUUGGUGAUGUUAUCAAUUUUUUAUACUGAAUGUAGUUUAAUGUGUUAUAUUAAUUUACUGUACAUUUAUUUUUGUAACAUUUAACAGUUACUGAAGCCGUUACUAUUCUUGAAGAAUUCUUGUGAUGAUUCUGAAAAUUUAAUCAAAAAUAUUGUCUGUUUAAGAUUUUCAAAAAAAAAUAAAAAUUUAAAAGCUUCUUUUAGUAGAGAAGUACAAAACUUUACAUCAUCCAAUCACUUUCACUUGUUAUAGCACAGUAACAGGUCUUAUUUUCAUAAUUUUUCAUAUUUUAUGAAGAUUUACUUGUAGAAUUCUUUGCAUAAUUUAACACUAUACACAAUGACGAAUCUAGCACAUAUUAUGUAGAUUUAAGAGGAAUCAAUUACUUUUGUAAGGGUAACAUAUAUUAAGAGAAACAAUAACAUACAUAUACAGUCUCAUAAUAAAUGUAUUUUUAUAGGGCAAAAAAAUUAUUUUCGGUAGUCCGUAAACUCAAGAGUCUUGUUUCAAAACACAUUUGAAAAAAAAAUUGGGGAAUAAAUAUCUAUAGAUAUUUCAUUGUGAAUUCAUUUAUUAUUGCACUUUAACUUAACAUCACUAUAAAAUAUAAAUUCAUAAAUUUUACUCCAUGUGAUGAGUUCAUGACUGAGCUACAGGCAAAGGUGAAUUCGAUCACAGAUCUCCCACAUGAGAGCAAGGGCGGAUCUAAAGUCAAUUUUGGGGUGCUCCGACACCAGUUACAUCCUAUGCAGAGUAGAUAUAGUUUUAUAUAAAAUAUAUAAAAAUCGAUAUAAGACUUAAAAAAUCAUCUAGCAAAUCAAAAAGAUAGAUGCAUAGGUAUUUUAUUUUCGAGGCGGAACUUUAAAGCCUGAGCGUCAAUAUAUGUGUUCCGAUUUUUCAAGCAUUCAUAAUUUCUAAAUCCGCCACUGCAUGCAAGAUGCACCUACCAAACACUCAAUCAUGCCCUUGCGGGCAAUAAUAAUACUGCAUCUUAAUAUAUGCUUUUUAUUCAUUUUUAUAUUAUUGUAGGAUGAGAAUCUUUUCAAAAGCUUCCCUGUUUUGGUAUCCAAAAUAAAGAAAGAGGAGAGAAAGAUCCAAUCUUAAAGCUGUUUUUUUUUUUAUUUCUUUUAAAAAUGAAUAAUAAAGUGCCUGAAAGCAAUUAAAAUUAUUUGAAAAAAGGAAGCUGCCGACACUUCACUAUAAGUUCAUUAUUCGAAGGUAAUAUGUGCUUUUUGUUGAAGAAAAAAGGUUGCCUAGUUUGGCUUAUUGUUAUUUCUUCCUAGAUUAUCAUAUUAUUUUAAAUAUUAUAUAUAUAUAUAUGAAUGUCGUCUUUCGUCUUUCCUUAUUUAACAACUAUUUAAUAGCAUCAUUCUUAUAUAAUAAGAAAAAGUAACUAAAAAGUAGAUAUUAAAGUAAGUUUAAGAUGAACAAUUUUAUAAACUUUAUAAAGUCAUUAUUUAUUUCUUAAAUUCUAUAUUCGGUCAAAUAUAGACAUAUAAAAUGAGAUGAAGGAGUAUAUGUAACUGGGGGUAGGGGAUGGAGAACUAGAAAUGAAAUUAAAUAUGAGAAACAAACAACAACUUAAGAGUUCAAAUAUUCAAUCGAUUGAGCUAUUAAAAUUCCUUUAUUUUUACAUUCUCUCUUUUUAUUUGCAUGUUUUGUUUGAGUUGAGCAAUUAUCAUAAUCAGUCUCUUUAUCAUCAAGAAAAGAAUAAGAUAUAUGUAUAUAUGAUGAUGCUUCUCAAAUUUUACCUGUAUGAAUAUAUUGGGUAUACUGUUAUUGUUAUUUGUGCGCUUUUUUAUUUUCUUUUUUCAAACUACUUUAAAAUCCUUUUCUUGAACGAAUGUGUAUUGAAAAGGAUAAAUAUUGUGUAUACGAUAUUCUUCUUCGAUUUCACUCAUGAUAGAUAUAUCAAUACUGUCGCUUCUGCAUUUUGAUAUUUUUAUCUUUUAAAAUUACUUUAAAAUACUUUCCUUGAGCGGAUUAUCCAUAGAAACAAUCUAUGUACCUGUGAAAAGAAAUGAGAUCCAUUAAUAUAUAUACACUUUUUUUUUAUAUUCUACUUGUGAAAAUAUAUUGAAUAUUAUAUUAUUAUUUUUUUAAAAAUAAAAAGUGGUUGCCAAGUAUAGUGAUGUUGUGCACAGAUUUGACAAAUGCCAUGUGCUAAGUUAUGGAACCUUAUCGGUUUACGCGUUCCACAUUCAAUGAAUGGAGAAAAACUGUUGGAGUGAAAUUUGGAAAGUAAGUGAUCAUUAUUCUUUCUUUGUUUUGUCUUUUUUUUUUCUUUGUGAUAGUGUAUUUUUCUUGAAAAUUUUUUGAUGAUCCAUAUCAUGAAAAUAAUAAUUUUUGGAAGUUAAAAUUAAAGUUAAAGUUGAAACUAAAAUUAGUGUUGUGUUUGAUUAUGCAUAUAAAUUGGACUUAUUUUUAAAAUUUUGUGAGAAAAGUAAGAGUAAAAAAGUGAAAUAAAUUUAAUUAUUUUUAUUUUUAAAAAUAAUUUUUAUUAAAAUAAAAUAAUUUUAAUGGCCAAACACUAUUACCUUAUUUUUCUCACUAAAUAAUUUUUCAAAAAAAAAAAAAACAAAUUAUGAGGACCAAACGUCUACUUAUUCUAAAUUUUUGGAGGAUCAAUGUAAUAGAGUGUUUUUUUAAUAAAAAAAGUUGUUUCAUUAUUAAAAUAGUAUAAUACAGUCACUUUUAAAAUUUUGUAUACAUUCACCAAAUAAAAAAUGUUUAAAUUCAGAAUAUAGUAUCGUGAGUGAAGUGAGAUACUUAUAUUCCUAGAUAAAUAAAUAUCAUUUAUUUAGUAACGGAAGGAAUAAUAUAUAAUCAACAAAACAACAACAUAAUCAAUGAACUUUAACAAGUGAGUGUGAGGAGGAUAGAACGCAUAUUAUAAGGAUUACUAUCUCGUAAAAUUAAGAAAUUGUUUCUGAAAGAUCAUCGGCUCAAAUGCAUCAAAUCCAAACAUAUCAAUUAAUAACAAAACUAAUAACAUCACAAAAUCAUAUGUAGAUCGAAACAUAGAUAAAUAACAUAUGACGAUUGAUAUCAAAAGUAAAAAAGUACGGUAGCAAUUACUACGAUACAUACCAACAAAUAUAUACCUACGAACAACAAGACAUCACUCUAUUCUUAAUUACCUAACUAAUACUUUAUCUUAGUUAGCGUCCUUCAUAAUUUUCUAUUUAAAAUCAUAUCUUCGUUAAGCCAGACCUACGUUAAGAUCUAUCUAAUCACUUGUAUAAUAAUAAAGUAAUCUUUUUCUUAUAAAGAAAAACUUGAAAUAUAGAACAAAAAAUUUAUGUCCAAAUGGGUGUUGGUGGUUCGAAAUAGAGAGGCGUCAAGCGGAAGCUUAAAAUUUGCAAAUUAUGGAAUGAUACAUCAGACGACAAAGAAAACUAAACUAAAAACAUAAUAUUAUUGAUAUAUUUUGAUCAAGAGACAUAUAAUGAAAACCUAAUAUCGAAAAACAAUAAACCUAUUGGGAGAUAUUCCCCCUCCUCCCCUUAAACAGAGACUCUUUGAAUACUACAUUAUAGAUGUUAUUGUAUUUUUAGUACAAAAAGAAGGGUCUUCUAUUUAUAAAGUUCUAAAACCUUUUUCUAAGAAAAAGGUUUGUCAAAUAUAAAAAAAUUUUAUAUUUUUCUUUUCAAAAAAAUAAAAGUAAUUAUGGUAUUACUUUUAUUUCCCUUCUAAGAAAAAUAUAACUUAAUUUUAAUAAAAAAAAUUAGGACAAAAACCAUGGAUCUUUGAAAAAUGGAAUAACUAAAUUAUUUUUAUUUCAUUUCAAUGUCUACUUUUCCUUUCUAUCUCCCAUGCAGCACUUUUCCAAGUAGGACCACAUGAGAAAGAGAAGGAUGAUGUUUCCUAGAAAAGCACAUAUGAAUAAUUUAAAAGGGCUAUUAGGUAAACACACGUGAAUGCCGGUGAUUAUUUUAUGUCAUAUUACUCUCUGCGUCUUCUUCAACUAAUUUCAAUAUUUUACAUAUUUGCUUUUACUUUUUAUUCCUUCAUAAUUUCUUUUUAUUGAAAUUAGAUAGUAAAAUUAAAAUUCUUUUUCACUUUAUAAAUUUUUGUAAAAGUUGGAGUUGGAAUCAUAGCUUUAUCUUUUAAAAAUUUAGCAAAAUUAUUCAAUUUUGACUUAUUUAUUCAAAAUAUAUAAUUAAAUUUAAUCUAAAAAAAUAAUAUUUCAAAAUAUAUAACCACAUAAUAAGAUAAAUUAGAUCACAUAUACAAGUUACAACAUACUAUUACAAAUAUAUUUUAACUUUAUUUGAAAAUUUUGAAGUUGAAGUUAUAUUUUAUUAUAUAACUAUACAAAUAAUAAAAUUAGUCAUUUUUAUAACUAUCACAAAAAUUACCUUAAAAUUUGAAAAAGAAGUGAGGAUAAGAUUUUGGAUAUUUUUCAAAUUUAAAUUAUAUUAGAAAGAAAUUAUAUUAUACUUUUUUAAAAAUAUUUCUAAAAAAUAUUUCUAUUAUCAGACUUUAUAUUGUUGGGUCCGUGCCUUGCACGGACAUUUCGUAACUAGUAUAUAUAUAAGGUAUGAUAAAUAAUUUGAUGGUGAAAUAAUAAUAAUAAUUUAAAAAUAUUUUGUAAUAAUUUUAUUUAAUUUAUAGUAAUAGAUAUUAUAUAUAUUUCUUAUAACUAUGAUGUUUUGAACUAGCUUUUUACCUACCUUUACUAAAUUCACCAGAUACCUACAAGCAAUAAUUAUUAGAUAAGAUGGGAAGAUUUAACUAGUGCUUUUUAUUUCUAUUAGAAUUUGUAACUUGAUGUUCUCGAUUAGCUCUAUUGACCAACCACCAGAUGCAAAUGGAUAUUAUUUAAUUUCAAGAAUAAUCUCAUAAAAUAUCAUUAUAUAUGGCGGCCCACCAAUCAAAUCAUUGGUAAAUUGAGUUGUGAACCAUUGUUGAACCAAGCUGUCAUUCACCAACCAGACAUCAUUUCUUUGUUGGAUUCUUCUUAUUUUCAUUCGGCACAUGGGAAGACACAGCCCAAGAUUUCAAGUUUUCAACUAAGAAGGUUCAACGUUUGAAGAAAAAUUAAUCGAUGAGAUUUAAUAUCUAUUAUAUAUAUAAGUUAAUCUCAAUCAUACAUAUAUAGUAUAGUUCUCUGUUGAAGAGGGUUCAUUGUCAAAGGCCGCUUCUACCUCCACAUUUGAUGUUCUAACUAAUUUGAAUUUAUGCUAAAAAAUUUCAUAUUAAAGGGGUAACAUGUGCCCCGUAACUUAGGUGAUUUCAUGCUGAGAGAGUUCAAGUACGAGCAGUGGCGGAUGUACAUGUAUUCCAGGGGUUCAUUCGAACCCUCUUCGUCGGAAAAUUAUACUAUUUUUACAUGAUAAAAAAAAAAUUAUGUAUAAAUAAUAGAGACUGAACCUCCUUCAACUAGUCCGUAUAUGUACUACUGAAUUCCCUCACUGAAAAUCCUGGAUCCGCCUCUGAGCAUGAGGGAUCAAUUUAAUGAUGAAAAAAUACUUACUAUUCCAUGAUACUAUUGAGUGGUCCCAACCGGAGAUCUAAUUGUUGGUGUUUAUCCUGACUUUCUUACCAUAAUUAGGUUUUUCUUUAGGUGUCGUAAUUGAGUUUCCUUUAAGGAAAAGAAAAACAUAUUCUCCAUAUUUGGCUAAUCCUUAUUCUUAUAGGAAAAAGGUUAUAGACUCUAUAAAUAGAGGCCCCUUUCUUCUUAUUUUGUACCAUCCACAAUGUAGUUUUAGGAGUUUGAAAGUUUCGUUUGGGAGAAACUUUGUGAGACACAAGUGUUACAGUAUCACUUGUGUGACUGUUAUGAACCAAUUAUCCUACAUUGGAAAAAUAGAGAAAUUCUAAGGGGAUUAUAAGUCAAAUGGGUUCUCCUACCUAUUAGAUUUGUCUUUUAGGUUGGACUCUCCCAUUUGGUUUAUAACAUUGGUGCUUUCAUUGAGAGUCCCACGCGUUGGGCCGUGACUCGGAGUGAUGGCCUGGACCCAAGAGGGGAUGCCAGCCAUGACCAACUGGGCGUAGCUGUGACCAACGAGGAUCAAUCCACAAGUGGGGAGCUGUGCGUUGGGUUGUGACUCGUAGUGGUGGCCUGGACCCAAGAGGGGUGCCAGCCGUGACUAACUGGGCAUAGCCGUGACCAACGAGAAUCGAUCCACAUGUGGAGCUGCGAAUCAGAGUGGUGGCCUGGACCUAAGAGGGGUGUCAGCCGUGGCCAAUGAGGUCGUUGGUUCUCAAGCGGAGACGAUUGUUAUGAACCAAUUAUCCCACAUUGAAAAAAUAGAGAAAUGCUAAAGGGAUUAUAAGUCAAAUGAGUUCUCCCACCUAUUAGACUAGUCUUUUUAUAUAGUGGAUUGCUCAUCUCUUUGUAGAUGUAGGUCGAUUGACCGAACCACGUUAAAUUAUUGUGUCUCUUUUGAUGUAUUUCUUGUUUGUCUUCUUAUUUGGCGUCUUUUGAGGUUUACUUUGCUAGCUUUCACGGUCCUAACACUAAUGCGGGAUAACCUUAUUCGUGCAUGUCCAAUUUCACGAAUAAAUUAAAGUGAAGUACUAAAAAAGUAUUUCAGCUCUUCCUUACAAGAUUUCAUUGGAUAAAGAAUUUAAAUAAGAAGGAAAAUUAUUGGAACUAAUCAUAUUAAACUCAAUAUUAACACGCACCAAUUAAGAGUAAAAUAAAAAUAUAUAUAUACGAAAUGUAUUUAUUUAAAUAAAUUUAAUUAACUAACAAAGAAAUAUUAUCAUAUUAAAAAGUUGAUUGUGCUAAAAAGUUGUGUAGGAAUUCGGUAUGGAAUUGCAGGAUAUUCAUAACACACAAAAAGGAAAAAAAACAACAACUCUAAACAGAUUUUCUUGCGUUUAAAUUUAUUAACUAGUAAUGAAUAAGUUUCAAGACAAACCUGAUAGUGAAGUUUGUAAUACAAAAUAUGAAGACUAUGCGUAUCCACACCAAAAGCGAUCUGUGCUAUCAACUCGUUGAUCAAUAAAACUCACAAAAAAAAUUGUAUUAUGAAUAAUGUAUUGAGAUUUUAAAAAAAUAAAAAAUCAACUCACAAUAAAGUAAGAUGAAAAUACUUUUUUUUAUUAAUUAUAUUUUCUCUCUUGAUUUUGAACUGUCACACUUUUAAUAAAGUUGUUUCCUCAUAAGAAUUUUCUCAUAGCGAAAACCUUUUGAUCACGAUUCAAAUUUUUUCUCGUAAUGAAAACUUUUUUUAUAAACUUAUUUUAUAGAAUCUUUCCAUCACCCGUUUAUAUAAUAUUUUUUUCUUAUUUAAUUAAGGUAAUAAUUUAGUUGAGGUAAGAAUUUAAUUUUAUAAUUAAACUUUUAUAGAAAAUUUUCCAAAUUACUGAAUCUCGGCUACACGGUGCAGGGUCCAAUUCAAAUUAGAUGGAAUAUAUAAGUCCUCUCUUUUAAUAGUACUAGUUUAGAUCUACGUUAUUCGCGCAUAUAUUUCACAUUAAUUAAUUCAAAUGUUAAUGUAAAAAUGUAGAAUUUAUUUAAUUAAAUCUAAUUUUUAUCAAAAAAAAUUCAAAUUUGAUUAAUAUUCAUCUAAAACCUGUAAACUAUAACAACAAUAUAAUGAUAGAGAUAUGUAAACAAUACAAUUAAAUAUAACCUUUACAAAAAAAAUUUCCUCAAAGCCGACGGGCAUUCAUUUACCACCUGUAAACUACAACAAAAUAACAUAAUGAUAGAGAUAUCAAAGCAAUACAUCUAAACUUAACUUUUACAUAAAAAAAAAAUCCCAAAUCAGAGAUAUUAAAACAAUACAAUUAAACCUAAUUUCCACCUAAUUUUUUUUAAGUCAGUCGACAUUUAUCUACCACCUAUAAACUAUGACAAAACAAUACGAUAAAAGAGAUAUCAAAACAAUACAAUUAAACCUAACAUUUACACAUAAAAAAUUCUCAACGCUGAUCAAUUCAUCUACGACCUAUAAACUACCAUCUACGACCUGUAAAUUAUCACAAAACAAUACACUAAUAGAGAUAUUAAAAUAAUACAGUUAAACCCAACCUUUAUCCAAAAAAAUUCUUCAAAGCCGACCGACAUUCAUCGAGUACUGUAAAUUAAAAUAAAAUAAUAUAAUAAUAAAGAUAUCAAAACAAUGCAAUUACAACUAAAAUUUACAUAAAAAAAAUUUCAAAGCCAACCGACAUUCAUCUACGAUCUGUAAACUACAAUAAAACAAUAUGAUAAUGAUUGCAAAACUCCAGUCUCUGAAAAUACAAAAAAAUAAAUAAAUAAAUAAAUAUAGUAGAAGUAGAAGAAGAUAUAUAUAUAUAUAUAUAUACACACACACGUUGAAUUCAUGUUUAAAUUAUUUGCCCUUCAUUAAAAGUUUCUACAAUAGAUAAAAUCAUCUUUUCCCUAUUUUUCUCAAAUUAUUUUUAUUUAAUUAUUAUUAUAUAUAAGUAAAAUAUUUAUAAGAACUUGAAUCCAAAUUAAAAUUGGAUGAGUUUAUUGCGUUAAAGUCCAAUUUGACAUUGGAUUGAGUUUCAAAAAUUAAGGGACUUCACCUUUGGCCGUGUGUAUUGUAUGAAAAGUUCAUGAAAAUUAAACGGUAUUGCAAUUUUAAUUAAGAGUUGGAAUUCAACUUUCACCAUACAAUAAGUAUAUUCCUAAGUUUUUUUUCCCCAAAAAAUAAAGCAACUAUCCAAAAAUAAGACAAAUUUGUUAUUCUAGUGUAUAUGUUGAAUUUUAUUUCAAACAAGUUGUACAGUUUAUUAUAAUUAGAAUUCUUUUAAUAAUGGUGAUUUUUUAUUUUUUAAAAUAUAUAUAUUAUUAGUAUUUAUGUAUAAUUAUAAUUUUAAAAAGUAGUAAAAAGACGAUUUUGUCUAAAGGAGAGUAUUUUAAUGGAGGAUAAAAAGUUCAAAUCACUUUUCUAAGGGUUUUCAUACUUUAAUAUUACUAGUUUAGGUGUACGCGCCUUGCGCGUGUACCUCACUUUAAUAAGUUCAAACAUUACAUUAAAUAGGAUAUUUUUUUAAAUAAUAAAGAUGAAUAUAAUAAUUAAAUUUAAUAUUUUUUGAGUAUGUAAAGAUGGAGAAUUUAUUUACUAAACCUAAUAUUUACCAAAAAUAUUUUUAAAAUUCGAUCGAUAAUUAUCUAACAUCUGUAAAUUGUAACAAAACAAUAAAAUGAUAGAAACAUCAAAAUAAUACAAUUAACUCUAAUCUUUAUACACAAAAAAAUUUUCAAAGUCGUCCGACACUCAUCUACCACUUGUAAACAAUAACAAAAUAAUACGAUAAUAGAGAUAUCAAAAUAAUACAACUAAACCUAACCUUUACAUAAAAAAAUACCUCAAAGCCGACUAACAUUUAACAUUUAUCUAUCACCUGUAAUCUGCAACAAAAUAAUACGAUAAAAGUGAUAUCAAAACAAUACAAUUAAACUUAAAUUUUACACACAAAAAUUUCUCAAACCCGAUCGAGAUUCAUCUACGAACUGUAAACUACCACAAAAUAACAAACUAAUAGAGAUAUUACGAUAAUACAAUUAAACCUAACCUUUACCUAAAAAAAAUUUUCAAAGCCAACCAACAUUUAUCUAGUAUCUAUAAAUUAAAAUAAAACAAUA